AAUAAUUAAUAAUAAUGAAAACGCCUCAACAAAUUGUGUAACCCCCGUAAGCGAAUGGAAAUUUCUAGAAAGACAACUAACUACGUCGUAGGUCAACGGAAAAUCGAUAGAACACAGCUGCGUCUAAAAAGAGAAAGGUAGAUCGUCAUUCCAAUACGAGUGAUAGAGAAACGUAUGUUAUUGAUCAAACUGCCGCAGUGUACAAGCGCGCUAAACGUCACGUAGACCUUCUCGAACAAUCUCGAAGGGGGGAAAAUCUAUAAAUACUCCCUCCUCGAAUUUUGCGGCGUAGUUUUGUGUUUGUGUUGUGUCUGGUGGGUACGAGGAGCUGGUAAAGUAAUGAAGGUCAACCAGGACAAAGGAUGACGUUUGUAUUUCAGUAUCACUGUUUUUGAUUUAUUUUGUUCAACAAUUUUGAAAAUUCUUAGACGUUAUGUCUAUUUGUACUAAAAUAGCUUGCUGAGAUUUUGUGAAUUAUUGAGAAAAUAUGAAUUAUUUAACCUGGUUACACCUGGCCAGUGUAAACGGGUUUAUUUCUGAUUUAUAUAUGAAGAUUUUUUAAAAGUAUUUGUAAUAAAUAAUAUAUGAGCAAAAACAGCAAGUUUAGCACACAUUUAAGUUGUUUUGUCGAUAUUGGGAUCCAAAAAUUUCAAUUAAUUUCAGAGUAUUGCACCAUAUGACGUUAACAUCGUAAUCCAAUAUGGCGACUAGGGUGCGGUUCGCCAUCUUUUCGAGAUUCGAGACGUAGUAAUAGAUCGAUCGAUAGGUACCUAUUUUAUUCUGAGGAGGUUUCCAAUAAGCAUAUUUUUACCCAAAAACUGGUAUGAUUCAAAAUAAUAAAAUACUUAGAAGGAAGCUUCGGCUUCCAUUAGGACCUAAAGCCAAUUUAGUUGGCAUCUUUUAGACUUUUUGUAGAUACCUAUUCUAUUGGUUGGCAAGAUGGUCGUUUAUUGUUCAGAAGACUAAAGCCCCCUUUAAGCGAUCUCUUAUAGUACGGGCGCUACUGGCAAACUUAGGAUGGAGUUAAAAAAUUUACUUAUUGGUUAUCUACCCGAGUUUUAUAAAUUUGUACUAAUUUUAUUCUGAUAUAAGGACUGUAAACAACAACAUAUUCUUACACUUUUUUUUUUUGUAAAUUAGCGUUCUACAUUUUAAAAACUGUAACGAAAUCUAUUUUGAAAACCUACUGUACUACUUAUUUUACCAAUUUUUGCUGUCAUUUUCUUAGACCCUUCUACUAAAAUGAUAGGACUUUUAUACUAGUUGGCAUUUGUACUGAAAAAUCCUCAAUAAAUAUAUUACAAUAAUCAUUAGUCUUGUCGGUUAUUCUUUGAAGUUGAAAUACUACCUACUGCUUUCUAAAAGCGAGAUAUUAGUCAGAAUGUAUAGGAAAUCACAAUAUUGUGGGCUUGAAUAAAGCUACCUCAAAGUAAUAGUUUCAAACUAUCGCAAAAUAUUUUUCUUUAUUUGUGACCAAAGUAUGUAAAUAUUAAAUAUGACUCAUAUUAACUUAUACAACAAAAUUGGCCGACUACAAAUAUCCAUAUGUUACAGCUUUCCCUGUAUAUUGAAACAGUGUAGCAGUUGGUAAACAGCCAAGAAUAAUAUAUGUUGCUACAUUUUUUAAUUGCAAUAUACUGCUUUUUUGGUAUAUUUGACCAGUAAAAAUAUAAAGUUAGGGCACCAAAUCGGGAAGUGUCUUGUAACAACUUCUAAAGGCUACAAUAUGCUUAUGUUAGUAAUACAUACAGCCAGUACAAGUUGUAAAUUUUCGUGGUGUGUACAACGCAAAGUUGUAUGCUUGUCCAGUUAAUUCAAAAUUUAACUAAUUACAAAAUUUUUAUCUAAUUUUCAAAAUUGAUUAAAUAUGGAAAUAUAUCAACAGUCACAUAUUGUGAAUAUAUUUUACAUUCUGAAUACAUAUUACUAUUAUCAAAACUGACUUCGAUAUCACCUGUAGGAGAUAGAUUUAAAAAAAAUCGAGCAUUAAGGGCGUAUUAACAGUAAGUACAAGAUUUAGACUUUUUAACAUUUUUUUUUAUUUUUUCUCAAUUUAUAUUUGCGUCUCUCUUCCUUUGUUUACGUUUAAACUAACCCAAAUUUUUGAUAGGUACUAGAUUUGCAAACACACUAUCACAUUAGAGAGAUACUAGACCCAUGUUAGGAAUAGUUACUAAAAUGGUUAUUUCCACUUGACAAAGUUUUGGUAUUUUAUAUUUCAGAUCUCCAUUGAAAAUUGAUUUAGGUUAUUUUUAUUUGAAUAGUACACAACAUUGGCAUGUUUAGGUAUAAAAACAGAAUAUAGGUUCUGAAUUGGUUAUUUACAAAAAUAUUUAAAUUUAAAUCAAAUUUAUUAUUCACAUUUAAAAAAUUCUCAUUUAGGUUUGCCUCGAUUGUAUUUUAGAUACACUGUAAUUUUUUAAAGAAAAAAUCCACAUGCUUUAUUAAGUCCCAGUUGUGGUACCUAUAUGGUUAUUCUGUAGUGUGUUUGUCGAUGUUUAGGACCGUUUUAUAUUAGAUGAUUUCAAUAUGUUAGGUGUAGGUUUUAGCACCAGUAAUUUUUAGUUAAAAAACAAAAUUUGGUUAAAGAACGUACUAAAACAAAUAGUAAGUUUGUGUGGGUAAAUCAUAUUGUAAAAUAAUCGUGUAAUUAAAUAAGGUUAUUUAACAGUAACAAUUGCAAAUACUGCAAAGCUAGGUAAUUAUCAUUAUAUAGGAUUUGGAUAGGUAGAGUUUAAGAAACUAAAUCCACUGGUCUGGUUUUUGAUCAACAUAAAUGAUUUAUUUUUAAGAGUCAUUUCAACCUUUAUUGCUUCUCUUUAGGGUUAGGGUAACUACAUUUAUAGUAAUUUUUAAUAAACAGCUACUUCUAUCCACUUAGGUAUUUCUAAUUUCUUGCAGGUAAAAUCAAUAAUACAAAAUUGUCUUUCCUAUUAACAUUAGAAAAUAUACUUGUUAUAGUUAAAAUUACACAUUGAAACCAAAAAUUAUUACUUUAGCAGUUAGAAUUAUUUUGUGGGUUGGUUUACAUUGGGUUGAUAACUCUGGUCACUUACAUUUUUGGAUUUUAAGAAAGAUUUAAAUCCGGAGGAAAUAUAUUACAUAUAACUAUAUUUAUUUUAUAGUAAUUUACGGUUAUAUAUACGAUUUUUAAAGGUAUUUCUAAUUUCUUGCAGGUAGACUUUUGUGGGUUGAUCAAUAUUUGAAAUAGAAAUUGUUUGUAAAUACAUUAGGUAAUUUGCUGAUAUGCUAUCUUAUAGUGAUGAACUCGCUAAUAACAGCCAAAAUAACGCAAAAUAUGGAAAACAUUAAGUUGUGAGUAAAAAGAAAUGAAACUAGUAGAGUUGGAAAAUUUAGCGAUAAAAACCUAUAAAUUUUCAAAUCUAUUUAUUGUUUCCCACCUUAGACGUAUUGGAUGAUUUUGGCAACUGUCACUGUGACAGUGACAAUUUUAGUUGACAUACUCCUGAUAUGUCUAAAGGUGGGAAACAAUAAAUAGAAUGUAAAUUUAUAGGUUUUUAUCGCUAAAUUUAGUUUCAUUUCUUUUUAUCUCAAAACUUGAUAUGUUUUCCACCUUUUGCGUUAUUUUGCCGGCUAUUAGCGCGCUCAUCACUGUACAUAUAGGUACACUGAAUGUUCAUGUGAGUGCGCACUAUGUCCCAUAUCGUCGGUCUAAAUCGCAAAUUGCCUAAGUCCAUUUUUUGCGAAAAUUAUUUUUUGGUUUCAUCUAGUAGUAGACGGUAAAAGCUACCGCCUGACAAUUCCCACAAGCGCAAUUAUUAUUUUAUUUCGCGGCAAUUUCGCUAAACGAAAGUUAUUUUCCUCAUAAAACAGGCAAACUCCACACUUUUUUGUCUCUCCUGUAAAACUUUCAAUUUGUGACUUAGGCAAUUUGCGAUUUAGAAUAUAUUGCAUGACAAGAAAUGCAUUAUUGUCUUUUGCUAUUAACAUUUCAGGGUUUAUAAGUGAAUGUGAUGUAUACAUAGAAAGUAAUUUGACUUACAUUUUGCUUUAUAUUUUUUUUAGUUUGCCUAACUUAAUUAGUUGUCCCAUAUGUUAUUUGUUUGGUUUUAUAUUGUUUAUGUUGGAUUUUACAUCUGUAUUAUUAUUAUGUAUGAUUAUUCUUAUAGCUGUCAUUUUUAUUGUAGUGUAAACUUUAACCCCAGUGUUUGUUUUUCUUUACUUGCUUAUCAUAAGGUCUUGAAUGAACAAUGAUUAUGUGCAUUUAUAACAAAAUUCCCUUCUAUAAACCAUAGGGGGUAGGAAUGAAAUGCACUGUCAUGUCAAAUGUGCACGAGUCUGUUUCUCCCCAUGCAACUCCUUUUUUUGUUAAGUUGUUUUGCUAUUACGUCGUUCAGUCUCCCUAAGUCUUCCUCUUUUCUUUUUCUCUUGUGCUGCAGUUUUCUAUAGACUUAUUUCUGCCCGGUAUUUCACUCUUCAGUCGUUUUAGAUGACCCCACGUCCCACCAGCUUAACUGUCUUUUUUCAACACUGCCAUCGACUAUAUUUUUAAUUACUCCCUCUAACAUUAGUACCCAGGACUCGGCCUUAAAACAUUUCUGUUAUUUCGUUCUUGUUGAUGAUUGGUCUUGCUAUUGCCUGGUAUAAUUUAUUCGUUUUAUAUAUCCUUUUAUUUAUCUCUACUCCUACUUCUUGUCUGACAUUUUCUUCAAUUGUCACUCCUAAAUAUUCAAACGUUUUCAUCAGUUUUAAUUUCUGUGUCUUAUUUACCUUAUUUACCUAAUAUCCUUUUAUUUAUCUCUACUCCUACUUCUUGUCUGACAGUUUCUUCAAUUGUCACUCCUAAAUAUUCAAACGUUCUCAUCAGUUUUAAUUUCUGUGUUUUAUUUACCUUUUAUCUAGUGCAAGCCAGAUAUACAAUAAUUCAUUAACGUUUUGUCAUCAUCUUCUAAGUACAUAGUUGUUGCUACACAAUAUUUUGGAUCUAUUUUACAAACAUCUUAAAAACUGUUCCAAAUAAUUUUUUACAUUGAAGUAUAUAAAUAUUUUUGCCUUUUAUUGAUUUUUCCUUAAAAAGGUUUGUUAGUAUGGUCAUCCUAAUUGUUAGGUUUACCAAUUCUUCGCAAACAUGCGCUAAUGAAAAACGGUUAAUAAUCAUUAUAAGCUACGUUAAUAUACUUUAUAAGCUACGAUGAUAUACUUUAUAAGCUACGAUGAUAUACUUUAUAAUAAGCUACGAUGAUAUACUUUAUAAUGUCCUUUAUACUACGUUUAAAGGUCAAUUAACAACUCUUCGUACAUACUACGAGCGCAUGCAACGAUUUUUUGGUUUGCCAGAAAACUACCAAUUUAAGGAUUUUUUAAAAAUUAUAACAUUUAUUUAUGUAUCUAAUUAAUUUUCAUUGUUAAAAAAAUAGUUCACUUCAGAUUUAACUAUAUUUACUCAUUUUUCCUAUGGAAAUUCAAAGACUGUGUUCAAAUUUUUGUAAUUUGCUCGAUAUUUCCCUCCUCAACGAAUCAUCUACGAUAAAAAUAUAUAGUAUACUACGUUUACUAUAUAUAAACUACGAUAAAUAUAUAUAGUAUACUACGUUUACUAUAUAUAAAGCGCAUAGAGGAUGUCUGUUAGUACGAAAUAUUCGCGAUUAGCUUUCCAACAUACAUGCGCAAUAACAUCUGGAUCCCUCUUACUACGCCUAUCGACAAAUUGUGCUAAUUUGGGUACAGUCUUUCAAUUUCCAUGACAAAAAUGAUUGAUUGAACAGUUGUCCAGAGGUGUUCGUAAAAUAGUUUUUUUUCCACACAAAACUAUCUCAUUUUAAUUUUUCAUGUAUUAUUUGGUAAAUCGUUAGCACAUCCUAUUCUUGUACGAUAAUCUCCUACAUCUCUCUUCCAGCCAGUUACUCAGCCCAAUUCGAGUCAUGGUCUCGCUCCACAAAACUCUGCAUCCUCAAUGUUCUCCUUUGUGGAGUCAAAUACAUUACAUACUUCAUUCAUAUUUUCCCUACGACAAUAUUGAAUUUUAUACUUUCAUUUUAAUAUUUUUUUUGGCGUUGAUCUUUUCAUUUUACCUUUCUACGUCUUGCAUCAUACUUUCUGGUUUAAUUCCAGCUUAAUAUUGUAGUUUAAUAACAAAAGUUAACAAAAUGCUCUUGUUAUGCUAAAUUUUAUAAGUGUUUAGGCUUUUCGAAUGAGAAUAAAGGUUUAAUGCUUAAAAAAUAAUGCUUGUACAAUGUUGAGAUGGCUAAAAAUGGUUGCACUUAGCCACUUUUUAGUGUUUUUGUAUAAUAUGGGGUUUUUAUUUUUUGUAACAUAUUGAUUGUCUCGAUUGUCAAUAUUGACUUUCUUUUAUGCAUAACGAAAUCAUCGGCAUUUUUUGCAAGAGUAGGUGAUUAGUAAUGUAUGAAUUACAUUUAAUGCAUUAAAAUAUUAGGUGUUCAAGUCCCUAGCAUCUUAAAUUUUCCUGAAAUGGACUUUCGUUAUUAUGACCAUCAUAACAAAAACACUUGGGGUUCAAGAAAACUAUAGACCGAAAUUUCGCGAUUAGCUUACCAAUAAUCAUUUAAAAAGAAGUAGUGUAAGUUGGGAAGAAGAACCAAAUACAUCGACGAUUAUGUCAGAAAGCGAAGUCAAUUUUAAGGAUAUUUUUGUUUGCUUUGUAGUUCUACAUUGCUUCAUAUAUUUACUCACUUUUAUUAUUAUUAUUAUGUACAUUAGGGAGGUUGCCUUUUUUCUCUUCCAAUACUUAAUAAUCUAAUUUUUUACAUCUAGGUGUAACAACUUGGGUUCUUUUUUCAUAUUUGUAAUAAUUAAAAUGAAUUCAUAUUUUUUUUGCUUUUCCGACAACACUUACAAUCUUUGCAUUUGGGAUAGCUCACAUAACAUUUUUUUCAUAAAUUAAAACGCCUUUAAGAAAAUGUUAAAUGUAUAAAAUACUUUUUCGACGCGUUUUAAAAAUUUUUUUGAGAUCAUAGUAAUUUUUUUUCAAAAUUAGAACAGUUUUACUUUGCCUCCUCCCCUAACAAGCACGCUAAUAACAUCAAGCGUAGCACGCUAAUAACAUCAAGCGUAGCACGCUAAUAACAUCAAGCGUAGAACAUAAUAUAAACAUAAUAUGCGCCAAGAUGAUGAAGGUUAGACCGAAAAUAACGCGAUUAGUUUUCCAUGAACAUGCGCAUCAACGUCCAUGGAUUCUUCUUUUAAUUUUGUAAAACUGUUCACACGCUAUUAUUUUCGAAAAAAGUUUAUUAAUACAAUUAACAUUUUUUUUUAUUUCAUAAUUUUAAUUUUGGGGGCAGUUUUUGCGUGUAAAUAUUUAUUAUUGUUGUAGUUUCUAUAAUAUAUAAUUAUUUCGAAUCAAGUUUUAAGUUUGGGUAAUCGAUUUUUUGAGGUUUGUGGGGUAAGUGACCAGAAUUUUUAAUGCAAUUUGUUUUCCUAAGGUAUUUGACAAUAACAAGGUGCUCCAUACAAUAAUUUAAUCUUGUAAAGCAGUUUUCGGUAUACAUAGAAACGUAUCUUUAUCAACAUAAUAUAUCAACGUGUAAUAAAAAAACAAUAAGUAAUUAUAAAAAUAGAUUUUAUUGAUAUAUUAGGAUUUAUUGCUAGUUCAAGUGAGACUUAAUGUUUAUUUUGAAUAUAUUUCAACUUUAUUAAUAUAAAAACAUAUACUGACAUGAGUACCUGAUGUGAUUAAUUAAAAUCUCUGAUUUGCCCACUUUAUGACUCGUCGAUGAGUGACCAAUUUUUCUUAUAUUUAAACAGUUAAGUAUUAUACUGAAUUCAUAAGUAUUUAAAAAUCUAAAUAAAAUUAAUAAUCUGACCUAAACGUUAAGCUGACAUUUGUUAUUAACGUUAAGCUGAUAUUUUUGAUCAAAGGUUUAUCUCAUUGUUUAGUAAUCCUUAAAAAAGCUUUGUUAUUAUGGCCUUCAUAACAUCAUAUUUCAAAUGCGCUGAAAAGAGAAGAAUAUAGACCGAAUAUUUCGCGAUUAGACUUUAACAUAUUUCAAAAAGUAACAUUAAUGAAAAAAAGAAGCAUUCGUCACAACAUGCGCAUGUAUUAGUUUACUAUCUUUUUGUCAGAACGCUUAGUGGAUUUAAGGAUUUAUCAUAAAAUUUUUAAAUGGUUGCUUAAUGCAAAAUAUGGUUCAUCAACUAACAAUCUAGUAAAAUAAUAUGAAAAUAUUUAUGUAUGUAUUAUGAAGAUAUCUGGAUACUUUUUUGAGAACUAAAUAUUUUUAGAUAGAACAAUUUUUUGAAUUCAUUUUUAGGAUUAUAUUAUAUUUCAAUAGUUUUUACAAACUAAACAAUAUUAUUAUUCCUCAAACUCAAAAUGUUUAUUUUUCAAUUUUAUUUUUUUGUCGCUUUGUUCCUUCGCUUUUUCCUCUUGUUAUUUUUCUUCAUUUUUCCUUCACUGGUUUGACGUUUUCCUGAAUAUACUGACAGUGGAGGUUACUGUUACAUGUGGAGAUAAAAACUUAAAUGUGGAGUAAGAAGUACAAGAUCGAAUGUUGUGGCCCAGAAGUAUACCGCAGAAGAACUGAAAAAAGAUCAAUAGACCGCCAGAAUAUCGAAAAACGAUAUCACAGAUACACGGACGAACAAAUUCAUGAGCGUAGAGAGCAAAAUCGGGAUAAAUAUAAAGUACAUGUAAGGAAAGUUACCCAGUAGGCCAGAAUGACUGAGUACGAUCAAUAACAAAAGUAGAGGACAUAACAGGCCACACUGCUAGACAAAGAAACCAACCUUGGAUCGCAACAAUACAACAUUGGAGACCUUACAAAAGUAAACGACAAAGAGGAAGACCACAGGUGAGAUGGGGAUGGGUUGGUCCAAACAUAGACGUAGAAAGCUAAGAAGAAGGCCGGUACCAACAUACGCAGCGGAAACAAGAGCUGAACGUCUCAUAAAAAUAUUGAGAAAUGGAAGUGUUAAGAACCAUCAGAGGAACCUUUCUCAGAUAAAUAAUAAGGAAUGAGGAUACGUUAAGGGAAUCGGAGUCCAAUUUGGGUUAAGAUGUGACACGAGCACGACAAAGAGCAAAACGGACAAAACACAAACUCGAUACAAAAAGACCACUAGAAAGACCAAGAAACGGUGGUAAGACAUUUGGACAUCAAUAUCACAAGAGCUGGGAGGAUAGAAUAAAAAGAACCAUGUUGAAUACAAGAAGAUCGUUGAUUGCAUGAAGCAAACCUGGAAAAGCUUUAAAAUUAUCUUUGAGUCAUGGCAUUGUAGAGAUCAAUGAAGGAUAUAAGUAGAUACAGAAUGUUUUUCCCAACUUAAAAACCGCUAUUAUCCCGCAUCCACUGAAACAUGGACCUUGCAAAAGAAAAAUCAUGAUCUACCUUAAAAUUCCAUGGUAUACCUGUAGGAAAAAUGAAGUUAUAAAAAUAAAAUUCGACUACUGACAUAUCAAAAUUACUAAUUUCACAGUAAUUGUAUUUGGACAGAGCGAAGGAACAAGCCAAGACGAAGAAAACUAAAAACAAUAGAUUAUUAUUAUCUCUGUUCCUCUAAUAAAACUGAUAGUCUGUGUGAUUGUCCCACGACAAAGAAAAAAAAAAUAAGAAAAUAAGUUCCGAUAGAUUUUCAUCUAAACUCUUUUCUUGAUUCUUUUAUUUCUUUUUUCUGUCUCUUAAAUACUUUCAUAUACAUAUACAUAAUCAAAAUUGAAGAAAAUUUGUUAAGUUCCAAACGGUUUUGGAUUGUAAUUUUUGUAGUACUACGAGUAGGGCUAAGUCUCUUCGAAAGCGCACAUCAGUUAGAUCGUUUUUGGUUCGCGAUUAGGUUCCAGUGCAUGCGCAGAAGUAAUUCUGGAUCUUCGACAUCGACAGCCUGAAAGCUACAUUGAUUAGAAUUUGGAAACGUUUCGCACUAAACAGUUUUCUUUAAGAAACACUUUCAGUAGAACAUACUACAUAUUUUUACUACACAUUUCAUAAUUUAUUUUAAACACUUAAUAAAAAUAUACGUAAGAUUUAUCACUUUUAACAAAAUUAUGCCAAGAAAAAUAAUUUCUAAAUGUAAUCAAUAGAUAAUUUCUUAAGACGUCUAUUUUUAAAUUGUUGGUGUUAAAUAACAACAAUAAUAUAAACAUUUUUAUAAAUAUGAAAAAAUGAUGCUAAUUUUUCAAAAUAUUCUUAAAUCUUGAGACCUUAGAAAUGUAAAAUAAUCCAUUUUUUUAAUACAACAAUUCUAGAAAACAAAAUAUUAAACGUAUUUUAUAAUAACUACUUAUGUAAAAUUAACAAAUAAUAAUUAACGAAAAAAGUUUUUUCCAUAUUUUAGUUUUUUUUAUUGAAGUCAAAUGUGUUAAAAUGUAAUAAAUUACUGGUGCUGAAAAAGUGACAAACAAUAUCGUAAUAUCGAGGGCUAUUAAUUUUUAUUUAUUUUUUUUUUCGCUAGAUAUUUCGAAAAAAAUCGUGAUUUAGAAUAUUGCACAUAUUUUUAUAAUAUCUUAAUUUUAUAAUAAUUAAAUAUUUAUAUGGAGGUUGAUAUUUUUUAUCGAAACACAGGGUAUAUAGUAACAUUUUUAAAUACAUAUUGAACUUCUUUGACACGUGUAGUUCAGCUUUUCAAGAAACAUUAUUUUGAUCUGUUAGUUUUAAUGGGUUGAUUACUAUAAAUGUUAGAAUAGUAACUAAUCGGGAGAGCCAUAGCACAUGUAAGUAAAUAGGUAGAGUUCUUGUUCCGAAUUUUGCACAAAACUCUUCAUUGUUUUUUUUCGGGUAUUUUAUUAACUCAUGAAAAUGGUAUGUUCGACAUGUAACUAAAUAAUAGGUAUUUGGUAGGAUUAAUAUUUCAUUUAGAUACUUUCAUAUAGGUAUAGGAUGGUUUAGGUAAUGUCACUUUCUUUCGCUCUACCACAAGAUGCUUUCCACGGCAGGUAUUUUAAGUUUUAGUUUGAAUAACUAUAUUUAGCAAAUUUUAUUAAGUUAUAUAUCUUCCCUCUUACGCUAAAAUACCACUCUUUUGAUACAUUUACAUCUGUACAUCAUAAUAUGAAUAUUAUAUAAAGUACCUAACUGAACACAAAUAAAACAUCAAUUGAUUAAGAUCUAGAUACUUAACGAAAAAUAUAAAGUUGACAUUUAUUGAAAUACAAUUUUAGAGUACCUAUACAAUCAGUUUAUAAUCCUUUAUUGUUACAACUUAAUCUGCAUUUAUAUGAUGAAAUAUACACAAAAUAAUAUAUUAUUAAUAUUUAAAAUAGAAAAUAAGUAGUCUAAAAAUUUGUUUAAUUUUUUUUUGAGAUACCUAAAACAGUGGUUUUAGUAAUGAAUCAAUAUGGAGAUAAAUACUGAUAAUAAAGAAAUAUUAAAAAGAUUUUAUAUAAACUAAAGCUUAUAUUACUACAAUAGGUACAAUCCAAACCAGCACAUUUAAAAAAGUGUCCAAAAUAUUUCAGGAUCUUCUUAAUAUGAAUUUUCUUAUGGUUGCAGCAGUUCAAAACUUGGUCUUAAAUUCAGCCGAGAUUAAAGAAUAUUUAGGGCAUUAUAUAAAUAAAUUAUUCUCACCAGGUUAUAUAAUUAUGGCAUUUAAAGCUUAAGGUAAUGAACGCAUACAAUUUUCCAUUAGUCCUUUUGUUCAAAAUGAAAUAUCAUUUCAAAUGCAAUGCAUACAUGUUUCUAAUGUUAAAAUAAUUGAGAGAAUAAUUCUAUAAAAAAUCUGAGAUGAUACAUUUACAAAGGUUUGACAAUUUUAUAACACCGAAGUUGUAGGUUAUUUGCGAGGUAAGAUAGGUAGAAUUAUUUUGACGCUACGUUUCCAAGCAGAUAUAUUCUUCUGAAAGAUCCAAAUCCCAAAAUGAAGACUCUUUAUUUGAAUAAUAGAGCAAAAGCUUGCGACAUUUAUAUACAAGAUUGAUUGGUACAUUUGUGAUAUUCUUAUCCAAAGUAAAAUCUUCCAAAAAUGACGCAUAUAUUUUCAACUGCCCAUUUCUUAUUAUGCUAUAUCAAGAAAAAACUACAAAAAAUCUAAAAUGAUACAUUAAUACAAAGGUUUGACAAUUUUAUAACACCGAAGGUGUAGGUUAUUUCGAAGGUGCAAUAAGGUAGAAUUAUUUCGACGCUACGUUUCCAAUCAGGUAUAUUUUUCUGAAAAAAUCCAAAUCCCAAAAUGUAGACUAUUUGAAUAAUAGAGCAAAAGCUUGCGACAUUUAUACACAAGAUUGAUUGGUACAUUUGUGAUAUUCUUAUCUAAAGUAAAAUAUUUCAAAAACGACGCAUAUAUUUUCAACUGCCCAUUUCUUAUUAUGCUAUAUCAAGAAAAAACUACAAAAAAUCUAAAAUGAUACAUUAAUACAAAGGUUUGACAAUUUUAUAACACCGAAGGUGUAGGUUAUUUCGAAGGUGCAAUAAGGUAGAAUUAUUUCGACGCUACGUUUCCAAAUAGGUAUAUUCUUCUAAAAGAGUAAUCCAAAUCCCAAAAUGUAGACUCGUUUUAUUUGAAUAAUACAACGAAAGUUGUUAUACAUGAUUGAUAGGUAAAUUUGUUAUAUUCUGAUCCUAAGUAAAAUCUUCCAAAAUCAUUUCAAAUACAACGUAUUUUUCUCUCCCCGUUUCUAUUUUUUCUAGAAAAAAAAAAACUACAAAAAAUCUAAAAUGAUACAUGAAUACAAAGGUUUGACAAUUUUAUAACACCGAAGGUGUAGGAUAUUUCGAAGGUACAAUAAGUUAGAAUUAUUUUGACGCUACGCUUCCAACAAGGUAUAUUCUUCUGAAAAAAUCCAAAUCUAAAAAUGUAGACUCUUUUUGUUAGAAUAAUAAAGCGAAAGCUUGCGAAAUAGAUACAAAAUGUAUUGGUAAAUUUGUAAUACUCUGAUCUAAAGUAAAAUCUUUCAAAAACAUUUCAAAUACAACGCAUAUACAAAUUUUCAGUUGCCCCUUUCUUAUUUAUACAUACUAUAUCAAGAAAAAACUAGAAAAAAUCUGAUGAUACAUUAAUACAAAGGUUUGACAAUUUUAUAACACCGAAGCUGUAGAUUAUUUCGAAGGUACAAUAAGGUAGAAUUAUUUCGACGGUAUGUUUCCAAAAAGGUAUAUUCUUCUAAAAAAUGCAAAUCCCAAAAUUUAGACCAUUAUUAUUUGAAUAAUACAGCGAACGGUUGCAAAAUUUAUAAAAUAUUGAUUGGUUUUGUAAUAUUCUAAUCCAAAGUAAAAUCUUCCAAAAUCAUUUCAAAUACAACGCAUACAUUUUUCUCGCCCCGUUCCUUAUAAUACUAUAUCAAGAAAAAACCAAAAAUCUAAAAUGGUACACUAAUACAAAGGUUUGACAAUUUUAUAACACCGAAGGUGUAGGUUAUUUCGAAGGUACAAUAAGGCAGAAUUAUUUCGACGCUACUUUCCAAAAAGGUAUAUUCUUCUGAAGAAUCCAAAUCCCAAAAUGUCUCUUUUUAUUUCAAUAAUACAGCAAAAUCUUGCGAAAUUUAUACAAGAUUGAUUGGUAAAUUUGUGAUAUUCUGAUCAAAAGUAAAAUCUUCCAAAAACAUUUCAAACACUACGUAUAUAUUUUCAACUGCCCAUUUCUUUUAUGUACUAUAUCAAGAAAAACUACAAAAAAUCUUAAAUGAUACAUUAAUACAAAGGUUUGACAAUUUUAUUACACCGAGGGUGUAGGUUAUUUCGAAGGUGCAAUAAGGUGGAAUUAUUUCAACGCUACGUUUCCAAAAAGGUAGGGGAGAGUUGGAUAAAACGGGAUACCUAGCCUAGAGACUCAACUAGUGCUGCUAUCAAUCGGACAACGACGAAAACUUGUUCUCAGUCGUCAUUUUAACAUUCUCAGUUCGUUUUACCUCGAUGCCAUUAUUUGAUGAAAAGUUGUUGUGUUUAGAAUUGUUUGACUAUAUUUUUUUGGUACUUUGUACUUUUAAGUGCGUUGUUUUCUACAUUAUUUUGCGUACAUAUCUAAACAUUAUAAUUCCGGUGACUAUUACAUUUAUUUAUAAGCACUCAUUAACGAAUAUUCUCAUGUGUGGUCUAUCUGAUUUUACUUUCACGUUUAGGCAGGAGCCAUUUUUGUUUUGAAAAAUGUCAGUUGGACAAAACGGGACACUUAUAAGUUGGAUAAAAUGGGAUACAGUUUUUUAUGUCCCGUUUUAUCCACCUAUUUAUUUGUUGGCCUAUUAGUUUUUUUAAAUAUCGAUAAAGCGCUCAUACUGCAGAAAAGAACAUUUUUAUGUGACUUCUGUUCUGAUAUACGUACCUAGUCCUAAAUAAAAGAUCUUAUUUCCCAUUUUGCAAUAAAACAUAAAGAAGGCCUAUUUCUAAGUUUUGACUACUGAAGAUAUUAUUUUUUCAAAGGUAAAUUUUGCUUUGCAGUCUUAUAUCUACUUAAAUAUACUUUUUAGAUCAUUUUAUGCAAAAAAUUAAAUAUUGUGAACCUAUCCCGUUUUAUCCAACCGUGGUAUGCUAAAACGGGAUGUGCAGGACUUUAAUAAAUAUUUUUUUUACUAUUUUCCAGUCAUUAAAAAUAGCUAAAAAUAUGUUUUUGUGUGCUUCAAUAAAUGUUAUACCUAUAAAAAAUAAUAAUAUGAUAAUUUCUUUAACAUUGUUUCCGUAAUAAAAAUAAACAAGAAUGGUAUCCCGUUUUAUCCAACUCUCCCCUAUCUAUAUUCUUCUAAGAAAAAUCAAAGGGCAUCAAUGUUGACUCUUUUUAUUUGAAUAAUACAACGAAAUUUGCGAAAUUUAUACAAGGUUGAUAGGUAAAUUUGUGAUAUUCUGAUCCAAAACUGUUUCAAAAAUAUAUCGAAUACAAUGCAUACAUUUUUCUCUCCCCGUUUCUUAUAAUUUCAAGAAAAAUCUACAAUAAAUCUAAAAUGAUACAUUAAUACAAGGUGUAACGAUUUUUAUGACACCGAAGGUGUAGGUUAUUUCGAAGGUACAAUAAGGUAGAAUUAUUUCGACGCUACGUUUCCAAAAAGGUAUAUUCUCUGAAAAAAUCCAAUCCCAAAAUGUAGACUAUUUUUACUUGAAUAAUUAAUACAGCAAAAUCUUGCCAAAUUUAUACCAGAUUGAUUGGUAAAUUUUUGAUAUUCUGAUCCAAAGUAAAAUCUUCCAAAAACAUUUCAAAUACAACGACCACUAAUAUAUUCAGUUGCCAUUUUUUAAUAUCUAAUAUGAAGAAAAAAACUACAGAAACACUGAAAUGAUACAAAGGUUUGACAACUUUAUAAGGUUAUUUCAAAGGUACAAUAAGGUAGAAUUAUUUGGACGCUACGUUUCGAAAAAGAUAUAUUCUUCUAAGACAAAUCGAAAAGACCCAUUGUAGAUUUUUUUAAUGAAAUUUAUUCAGAUUGAUUGGUAAAUUUGUAAUGUUCUGAUCCAAAGUAAAAUCUUCCGAAGUAAUUUCAAAUUCAACGCAUACGUUUUUGUCUCCCCGUUUCUUAUAAUUUCAAGAAAAAUCUACAAUAAAUCUAAAAUGAUACAUUAAUACAAAGGUGUAACAAUUUUAUGACACCGAAGGUGUGGGUUAUUUCGAAGGUACGAUAAGGUAGAAUUAUUUCGACGCUACAUAUCCAAAAAGGUAUAUUCUCUGAAAAAAAUCCAAUCAAAAAAUGUAUACUCUUUUUACUUGAAUAAUUAAUACAGCAAAAGCUUGCCAAAUUUAUACCAGAUUGAUUGGUAAAUUUGUGAUAUUCUGAUCCAAAGUAAAAUCUUCCAAAAACAUUUCAAAUACAACGACCACUAAUUAUCUAAUUACCAUUUUUUAUUAUCCAAUAUGAAGAAAAACUGAAAUGAUACAUUGAUACAAAGGUUUGACAACUUAUAUAAGGUUAUUUCAAAGGUAAAAUAAGGUAGAAUAAUUUGGACGCUACGUUUCCAAAAAGAUAUAUUCUAAGAAAAAUCAAAAAGACCCAAUGUAGAUUUUUUAAUGAAAUUUAUACAAGAUUGAUUGGUAAAUUUGUAAUAUUCUGAUCCAAAGUCAUUUCAAAUACAACGCAUGCGUUCUUCUCUCCCCGUUUCUUAUAAUACUAUGUCAGAGAAAACCAAAAAUCUAAAAUGAUACACUAACACAAAGGUUUGACAAUUUUAUAACAGCGAAGCUGUAGAAUAUUUCGAAGGUACAAAUGGGUGCGUUCGGACGACCAUAGCGGCUGGCUGCCAGCAGAAAUCGGCUGAGUGGUUGCAUCCAGCCGUGAUAGGGAAAGCUUAGUAAAUCUCUCGGCGGCUGGCUUCCAGCGGUGACGUCUGACAGCUACUGCUGGCUCGGCUGUCCAGCCGCUGUGGUCGUCCGAACGCACCCAUUAUUUCGACGCUACGUUUCCAAAAAGGUAUAUUCUUCUAAAAAAUCCAAAUCCCAAAAUGUAGACGAAAUUUAUAAAAGAUUGAUAGGUAAAUUUGUGGUAUUCUGAUCCAAAGUAUAAUAUCCUUUUAAAAAUAUAUCAAAUACAACGCAUACAUUUUUCUCUCCCCGUUUCUUAUAAUUUCAAGAAAAAUCUGAUAUGGUACCUUAAUACAAAGGUUUGAUAAUUUUAUAACACCGAAGAUGUAGGUUAUUUCGAAGGUGCAAUAAGGUAAAAUUAUUUCGACGCUACGUUUCCAAAAAGGUAUAUUAUAAAAAAAUCCAAAUCCCAACUCUUUUUACUUGAAUAAUACAACGAAAGCUUGAGAAAUUUAUACAAGAUUGAUACUCAAAAUAUUACAUCAAGAAAAACUACAAAAAAUCUGAAAUGAUACAUUGAUUCAAAUGUUUGACAAUUUUAUAACACCGAAGGACUAGGGUAUGAAUAUUUCGAAGGUACAAUAAGGUAGAUUUAUUUUGACGCCCGUUUCCAAAAACGUAUAUUCUCUGAAAAAAUCCAAAUCCCAAAAUGUUCAGACUCUUUUUACUUGAAUAAUAACAGCAACAUUUUGGGAAAUUUAUACAAUAUUGAUUGGUAAAUUUGUAAUAUUCUGAUCCAAAGUAAAAUCUUCCAAAAACAUUUCAAAUACAACGACCACUAAUAUAUUCAACUGCCAUUUCUUAUUAUCCAAUAUCAAGAAAAAACUACAGAAAAACUGAAAUGAUACAUUGAUACAAAGGUUUGACAACUUUAUAAGGUUAUUUCGAAGGUACAAUAAGGUAGAAUUAUUUGGACGCUACGUUUCCCAAGAGGUAUAUUCUUCUGAAAAAUCCAAAUUCCAAAAUUUAAACUCUUUAUUUCAAUAAUACAGCAAAAGCUUGCGAAAUUUAUACAAGAUCAAUUGGUAAAUUUUUGAUGUUCUGAUCCAAAGUAAAAUCUAAAAUAAAAAUUUCAAAUACAACUCAUAUAUUUUCAACUACCCAUUUCUUAUUAUACUAUAUAACAAGAAAAAACUACAAAAAAUCUGAAAUGAUAUAUUAAUACAAAUGUUUGACAAUUUUAUUACACCGAAGGUAUAGGUUGUUUCGAAGGUACAGUAAGGUAGAAUUAUUUCUAUGCUACAUUUCCAAAAAAGUUUAUUCUAAAAAAAUCAAAAGGCCCCAAUGUAGACUCUUUUUAUUUUAAUAAUACAACGAAAGUUGCGAAAUUUAUACAAUAUUGAUAGGUAAAUUUGUCAUAUUCUGAUCCAAAGUAAAAUCUUCCAAAAAUAUUUCAAAUACAGCGCACACCUUUUCUCUCCCCGUUUAUUAUAGUAUAUUGAGAAAAGACUACAAAAAUCUGAAAUGAUACAUUAAUACAAAUAAUCGUACUAUUUUAUUAUUUCACCAAAAGUGCCUUUUAUUAUGCAAGGAAAAAAUUAUUACUGAAUUUUGAAGGUUGAUUAUGUUUAGUAAGACGAUUUUUAAGGUUAUCUAAUACAAAAAAAAUAUUUUAAUUAUGGGUAGAUUUAUAACUGGCCAAAUUGAUAGAAAAGAUACCAGCAUGCCCCCUAAUAAUUUCUGGAAUGUAUUUUAUUAAUUUUAUUUUCUCCUUAAUGUAAUUUCUUUUGAAUUAAACUGCUUUUCUAUUUUAACGUUUAAACUACAAUCUAAUAUUCUUUAUUUUUAUGGGUCUUUUUUACAAUAUGUUAUACUUUUAUAUAUUUUUUAUUUAAUUUUCGUUUUAUGUAUUUUUUCUUCUAGUCCAUAUUUUUGUACGGGUAUUCUACAUACCACUAUUACUUAAUUUGAUUUAAUUUAGACAAAGAUUGGUAAAAUUUUGACUAUUUGAUUGCUUGCAAGGUAGAAUUAUGCCAAAUUUUAUUGCUCUACAAAAAUCAUUGAGUAAUUCGAGAAAACAUUGAAAAACAUGUAAAAGAUUAUGUUCAGUAGACUGUAUUUUCGUCCAAAAUUAAAUAUUCCAACGUUUCAACUACUUUAUGAUAAUUAUUUGACUAUUUCAAGAUAUCCAAUUUACUAAAGACUAGAUAUAUAUUUUAAGAAAUAUACAGUUCCCAUCUAGUUUGAGUAAUAUACCAAAAGAUUUGCGAAUCUAUAAAAGGUUGAUGGUUCAAAUUUGUGGUAUUGUGGUUCAAAAGAAAAUCUUUCCAAAAUAAUUUCAAUAUCUACGAUGCAUGCAGUUUUCGAGUGCCUUAGUUUUUUCAUUAUACGUAAAAAACAACAGCUAUAAGUGCUGGUUUCGAAGGGGUCACUAGUUUGGUUAGUUUUCAACGCCAACUACAUCCCUUAUCUACAAAAUCUGAUUAUUUGUCAAUUCUUUAAAAUGACACAAAAUGAUAAAUCCAAUGGUAUGGUCCCCAAAAUGUUUUCACAAAGGCACAAAGUUAAAUUCAAAGACGUCUCAUAAAUUUUUCCAAUCUCUGUUUUUUAUAAUACAAUAUCAAAAGAACAACUUACAAAAGAAUCUUAAAUGGAAUAUUAAGGCAGAAGUUUGCCCAUUGCACAACAUUCAAGGCAAAGGUUAUUUUGAAAGUGUCCUAAUUAACGUAGCACACGUUCCCCAGGUUGUAUUCCUUAAAAAGAAAUCAGUAAAUUCGCUUCUAAUUUGAGUAUUCAAAUAAAAGAUUCAAAAGUACUUUAACCCGUACCUUUUUGAAUAUUUAUACGAAGAGUUUUGUAUACAAUUGCACUGCCCGUUUUUUUUAAUACGAUAUCAAAAAAAAUACAACAAAAAUCUAAAAUGACACACUAAUACAAAGGUUUGACAAUUUUAUAAUGUCGAAGGUGUAGGUUAUUUCGAAGGUAAAAUUACGGUAGAAUUAUUUCGUAAUUUGAGAAAACAUUGAAGAACAUGUAAAAUAUUAUGUUCAGAAGACUGUAUUUUCGUCCAAAAUUAAAUAUUCCAACGUUUCAACUACUUUAUGAUAAUUAUUUGAUUAUUUCAAGAUAUCCAAUUUACUAAAGACUAGAUAUAAUCUAAGAAAUAUACAGUUCCCAUCUAGUUUGAGUAAUAUACCAAAAUACUUGCGAAUCUAUAAAAGGUUGAUGGUUAAAAUUUGUGGUAUUGUGGUCCAAAAGGAAAUCUUUCCAAAAUAAUUUCAAUAUCUACGAUGCAUGCAUUUUUCGAAUGCCUUAGUUUUUUCAUUCUACGUAAAAAAUAACAGCUAUAAGUGCUGGUUUCGAAGGGGUCACUAGUUUGGUUAGUUUUCAACGCCAACUACAUCCCUCAUCUACAAAAUCUGAUUAUUUGUCAAUUCUUUAAAAUGACACAAUAUGAUAAAUCCAAUGGUAUGGUCCCCAAAAUGUUUUCACAAUGGCACAAAGUUAAAUUCAAAUACGUUUCAUAAAUUUUUUCCAAUCUCUGUUUUUUAUAAUACAAUAUCAAAAGGACAACUUACAAAAGAAUCUUAAAUGGUAUAUUAAGGCAGAAGUUUGCCCAUUGCACAACAUUCAAGGCAAAUGUUAUUUUGAAAGUGUCCUAAUUAAGCUAGAACACGUUCCCCAGGUUUUAUUUCUUAAAAAAAUCAGUAAAUUCGCUUCUAAUUUGGGUAUUCAAAUAAAAGAUUCAAAAGUACUUUAACCUGUACCUUUUUGAAUAUUUAUACGAAGAGUUUUGUAUACAAUUGCACUGCCUUUUUUAAUACGAUAUCAAAAAAAAUACAACAAAAAUCUAAAAUGAUACACUAAUACAAAGGUUUGACAAUUUUAUAAUGUCUAAGGUGUAGGUUAUUUCGAAGGUAAAAUUACGGUAGAGUUAUUUCGACCCUACGUUUCCAAAAAGUUAUAUUUUUCCAAGAAAAAUCAAAAUUCCCCAAUCUAGGCUCUUUUUAUUUAACUAAUACAGCGAAAGCUUGAGAAAUUCAUAUGAGAUUGAUGGGUAAAGUGAUAUUCUGGUCCAAAGUAAAAUCUUCCAAAACCAUUUCAAAUACGAUGCAUAUAUUUUUGACCCCGUUUCUAAUAAAACUAUAUUGAGCAAAAACUAAAAAAUCUGGAAUGCUAGAGAAAUACAAAGGUUUGACAAUUUUAUGACAUCGAAGGUAUAGGUUAUUUCGAUGGUACAAUAAGGUAGAAUUAUUUCGACGUUACAUUUCCAAAAAAUUAUAUUUUUCCUAGAAAAAUCAAAAUGCCCAAAUGUAGAUUCUUUUUAUUUGAAUGAUACAGCGAAAGCUUGCGAAUUUUAUAUGAUAUUGAUUGGUAAAUUUGUGAUAUUCUGAUCCAAAGUAAAAUCUUCCAAAACGACGCAUAUAUUUUUGACCCCGUUUCUUAUUAAACUAUACUAAAAAAAAAACUAAAUAAAAAUCUGGAAUGAUAGAAUAACACAAAGGUUUGUCAAUUUUAUUACAUCGAAGGUAUAGAUUAUUUCGAAGAUACAAUAAGGUAGAAUUCUUUCGACGCUACGUUUUUCAAAAAGUUAUAUUCCUCUAAGAAAAAUCAAAAUUCAUCAAAGUAGACUUUUUUAUAUACAGCGAAAGCUUGCGAAAUUUUAAAAUUGUUGCUUAAGUUUCUGGUAUUCUUGUCCAAAAUGAAAUAUUCCACAAAAAAUUUCAACACCAUGCACAUAAUAUAUCUUCUAUUUUGAAAACAUCUAAGGUAUUUCCAUGCCACCUUUUACAAAACGUGUGUUAUUAUACUUGAAAUUAUACUUGAAAAUUGACAGCUAUAAGUGCUGGUUUCGAAGGGGUCACUAGUUUGGUUAGUUUUCAACGCCAACUACAUCCCUCGUCUACAAAACUAAUAAUUGUCUAUUCUUUAAAAUUCAAUGUUUUUAUGUGAAAUAAUGAUAAAAAAAAGUAUAAGUUCUUAUAUUUAUCGUAGAUUUCUGAUUACAAAUUUAGAAUAUGUAAACAUUAAUUACCAAAAACUCUCGUUCAAAUAGCAUCCAUUUUACGAAAUGAUGAUCUUACCAAAAGUGCCUUAUUACUUAUUGAUUAAAUAUAUACAUAUAAAAAAUAUGCACCCAAUAAAAAAUGCAUUACCAUUCAAUGGUAAUGUUUUGAUGGCUUGUAGAAGAGUACAUAAAAUAAUACCUUUCAGAUACCCACCGUAUUAUAAAGCAAAAUAUUUUAUUAACUAUAUAUGGGACAAUUUUGUUAAAAUAAUUCGGUAAAAUCGAAUCCAAAGACAUAUUUAACAAAUACAUACAAUAAUAUUCUAUAUUCUAUAUCAACAAAAUAUCGAGUCACUUUAAGCGAAGACUUAGCUAUUUGACUACAUUCUUCUAAAAUAUAUUGCUUCAAGAAAAAUCCAAUAUUUUUUAUAAAUAAUAUAUUUUUACAAAAAAUCUACAAAAAUCUUAAAUGAUGAUAUAUUAAUACAAUAGUUUAACACGAUUUGAUAAAAAUGAACAUUGUUAACAGUGCAAGAUUUACAAAAUAUAUAAAAAAUUGUUAUUUAAAUUUUUUUUUCUAUUUACAUUGAAAAUGAAAAGUUUUACGCAAUAAUUCAAAUAUAACAAAUACAUUUUACUGAUACUACCUAUUUUACAUAAUUCUUCGAAAAUCUAAUAUGAUAACUGUUUUUCAUGAUUUGUAGUAAGAUUAUCGACCUCUCUAUAAUCAACCAUACAAGUUUGAACUAGAUAUUGCCCACCUCAUAUAAAGCACAAACAUUUUUAGAGUUAUGUAAGUAGAUAUACAACAGUCUUUUUAUUACUGAAUCCUUGCUUUUCUCCUUUGUCUUUACAGCAAAGUCAUAAUUUUCUGUAUAAAGUAUACUAGUUUUCGCUUAAAAUGAUUCAAAAAACUUGUCAUUUUGUACAAUUUAGAUUUUUUUUAUUUUAUAAGUCGUUUGUUUAUUCGAUGGCCAGUUCCUUUUGGUAUUUUUCUGAUAAUAAAUCGAAAAAUCUCCACUCUUCCUUUUUCGAUGUAUCUUUUUUAGUAAAAUAACUUCCUAAAUUAGGUAUGUGUUCUCUGGUCUACAUUAUGUUAUUUCUUCUUCUUCUUCUUCUUUUAUAUAGGCAGUACUGCCUGUUUUUCUUCAACGGUGCCUUUCAUUCUGCCCCUAAGUUGUCAUUCCAUCUUUUCCUUGGGCGUCCUAUACUUCUCCUGCCUAACGGUGACUUGUCCCUGGCUAUUCUUACUACAAGGAUAGUAAGAAUUAUGUUAUUUAAGAGUGUAAAAAACAUACAGUAAUGAUUAAUUAAUAUCAUCAUUAGUGAUUUUAUAACCAUAAUUUCUUCUAGUUUGAUUUAUUUAACUUGACAUUAAAAUGAAGUUAUUUAUUUUUGUUAUUUUUUAUCUGAUUUUGUUUUUUUAUUGUUCCUUGAAGAGGUUUUGCGAGUACGGCCAUCGUAGCCAUUAGGUUAAGUUCUUCUUAUCGACGACAAACAUGCGCAAGAAGUGUAGAUCGAAAUAUUCGCGAUUAGAUUCUUCAGAUAUAGCAAUAAUAACAUCCAAUGCUAAGGGCGCAUGCAACGAAGCUUUUUCUGCCGGAAAGCUUGGCCGAUUUGAGGAACAAUUUUUUCAAAUUUUUAGUUAUAUCAUUUUUUAGUUUAAUUUCAAUUCAAUUCUACUACCACGUAAAACUUACCAUUUUUUACAAGCCAUAUACGAGUGUUAUAAAAUGUGUUCUUCUUUCAUUUUACUAUUUUUUAUGGUAUAACAUCGUCGGUACUGAAUAUUUUUUACACUCAUAAAUAUCAGUAGGCCUAUAUUGUAGCUGUGGUAUAUUUUCAGUUUGACUAUGCUUUAUUUGUAGUGGGUGUAAAUAUAACAACGUCCAAAUAAUAUAACUUUUAUUAAUUCGAUGCUACUUUUAUAUAUUUUUCAAUAUUAACAUUUGCUUUAAAAAGAAUUAGUUAUUUAAAUUUAAAAGUACAGAAUAAUAUAUUAAGGCAAUUCUUCUGUCUAUACCAAUAAAAUCAAAGGCACUAUUAAUUCGACUAUAUCUACAUUUUCCUUUUUUAAAUUGAUUGCUAAAUUUUGUUGUAAUUUUAAAUCUGGCUAAAAUGCAUAAUUUUAAUUUCGUCCAUUUUGUAUAAAUAAUAGGUACUAGUAAUAAAAAAAUUCUAAAAUUUUUAAUUAAUACGUUUGACAAAUUUUUGAUUAUUUGAAGACAUCUAAUGUAGACCUAUUUCCUCGCUAGAUUAGCAAAACUAUACUUCUAUAAACAAAACCCAAAAGGUUUUUUUACAUCAAUAAUACAUCUAAAGGCUUGGGUAAUUCAUAAACGAAUGAUUGUUAUAACGUUUAAAAUACAAUGCCUACAUUUUUAAUCCCCAUUUCUUAUAACACCAUUAAGGAAAACUACAAAAAUUUUUAAAUGAUACAUAAAUACAAAAGUUUAACAAUUUUAUAACGACAAAGGUUCUGAUUAUUUCGAAGGUAAAAUAAGAUAACAUUAUUUCGACGCCACGCUCCCAAAAGUUAAUUUCUCUAAGAAUAAUCAAAAAGCCUCAAGGUAUACUCUACUUUAAUGAUACAGCGAAAGCUUGGAAAAUUCGUAAAAGGUUAAUUAUUGGUUUUGUGAUAUUCUGGUCCAAAGUGAAACAUCCCAAAAACAUUUCAAAUAUGACGCAUACAUUUUUUACUUCCCGUUUCUUAUAAUACUAUACAGAAAAAACUACAAAAUAUCUUAAAUAAUACAUUAAUGCAGCAAACAGUUUGGCAACUAUAUAACAUCGAAUGUAUAGAUUAUUUCAACUUUACAAUAAGGUAGAAUUAUUUCAAUGGUACAUUUUCCAAAAAGUUACAUCUCUCCUAGAAAAAUCAAAAAGUCGCAAUGUAAAUUCUUGUUAUUUUAACAAAACAGCGAAAGCUGGCAAACAUAAUAAAAUAUUGGUAAAUUUGUGCUAUUCUGGUCCAACGUGAAAUCUUCCAAAAAUAUUAUAUAAUACUACCAACUACAUAUAUAAAUAAUUAGUACAAACGUUUGACAAUUUUAUAACAUCGCAGGUAUAGAUUAUAUCAAAGACAAAAUAAGGUAGAACUAUAUCGAGGCUACGUUUCCAAACUGUGACAAAAAAUCUUAAAUGAUUCAUUACCACAAAGAUUUGACAAUUUUAUAGCAUUGAAGGUGCAAUAAGGUAGAAUUAUAUCGACGCUACGUUUUCAAAAAACAACAAAAAAUCUUAAAUGAUACAUUAAUACAAAGGUUUGACUAUAACAUCGAAGGUAAAAAUUAUUUCAAAGGUUCAAGAAGCUAAAAAUUAUUUCUACGCUACGUUUUCAAAAAACUACAAAAAAUCUUAAAUGAUAAUUCUUACAAAGGUUUGCUAAUUUUAUAACGUCAAAGGUAUGGAUUAUUUCAAAGGUACAACAAGGUAGAAUUAUUUCGACGCUACGUUUUCAAAAAACUACAAAAAAUCUUAAAUAAUACAUUAAUACAAAGGUUUGACUAUAACAUCGAAGGUAAAGAUUAUUUCAAAGGUUUAUUUCAAAAUCCUUAAAUUAAUACAAAGGUUUGACAAUUUGAUAACAUCGAACGUAUAUAUAGAUUGUAUCAAGGGUACAAUAAGGUAGAAUUAUUUUGACGUACGUUUCCAAAAAACUACAAAAAAUCUUAAAUAAUACAUUAUUUCGAAGGUACAAUAAGGUAGAAUUAUUUCGACGCUAUGUUUUCAAAAAACUACAAAAAAUAUUAAAUGGUACCUACAUUCUUACAAAGGUUUGACAAAUUUAUAACAUCGAAGAUAUAGAUUAUUUCAAAGGUUCAAUUUCGACGCUACAUUUCCAAAAAACUACAAAAAAUCUUAAAUAGUACAUUAUUACAAAGGUUUGACAAUUUUAUAACAUUGAAGGUAUAGAUUAUUUUAAUGGUUCAAUUUCGACGCUACAUUUCCAAAAAACUAAAAAAAAUCUUAAAUGGUACAUUAUUACAAAGGUUUGACAAUUUUGUAACAUUGAAGGUAUAGAUUAUUUUAAUGGUUUAAUUUCGAGGCUACAUUUCCAAAAAACUACAAAAAAUCUUAAAUAAUACAUUAUUACAAAGGUUUGAUAAUUUUAUAACAUCGAAGCUAAAAUUAUUUCGAAGGAACAAUCAGGUAGAAUUAUUUCUUAUUUUGUUAACACCGAAGUUAUGGAUUAUUUCAAAGGUACAAUAUGUUAGAAUUAUUUCGACGCUAUGUUUUCAAAAAACUACAAAAAAAAUUAAAUGGUACCUACAUUAUUACAAAGGUUUGACAAAUUUAUAACAUCGAAGAUACAGAUUAUUUCAAAGGUUCAAUUUCGACGCUACAUUUCCAAAAAACUACAAAAAAUCUUAAAUGGUACAUUAUUACAAAGGUUUGACAAUUUUAUAACAUUGAAGGUAUAGAUUAUUUUAAUGGUUCAAUUUCGACGCUACAUUUCCAAAAAACUACAAAAAAUCUUGAAUGAUACAUUAUUACAAAGGUUUGAUAAUUUUAUAACAUCGAAGCUAAAAUUAUUUCAAAGCAACAAUCAGGUGGAAUUAUUUCUUAUUUUUCAACACCGAAGGUAUGGAUUAUUUCAAAGGUACAAUAUGUUAGAAUUAUUUCGACGCUAUGUUUUCAAAAAACUACAAAAAAUAUUAAAUGGUACCUACAUUAUUACAAAGGUUUGACAAAUUUAUAACAUCGAAGAUAUAGAUUAUUUCAAAGGUUCAAUUUCGACGCUACAUUUCCAAAAAACUACAAAAAAUCUUAAAUGGUACAUUAUUACAAAGGUUUGACAAUUUUAUAACAUUGAAGGUAUAGAUUAUUUUAAUGGUUCAAUUUCGACGCUACAUUUCCAAAAAACUACAAAAAAUCUUAAAUGAUACAUUAUUACAAAGGUUUGAUAAUUUUAUAACAUCGAAGCUAAAAUUAUUUCAAAGGAACAAUCAGGUAGAAUUAUUUCUUGUUUUUUAACACCGAAGGUAUGGAUUAUUUCAAAGGUACAAUAGGUUAGAAUUAUUUCGACGCUAUGUUUUCAAAAAACUACAAAAAAUAUUAAAUGGUACCUACCUUAUUACAAAGGUUUGACAAAUUUAUAACAUCGAAGACAUAGAUUAUUUCAAAGGUUCAAUUUCGACGCUACAUUUCCAAAAAAUCUACAAAAAAUCUUAAAUGAUACAUUAUUACAAAAGUUUGAUAAUUUUAUAACAUCAAAGGUAUGGAUUAUUUCAAAGGUGCAAUAAGGUAGAAUUAUCUCGACCCUACGUUUUCAAAAAACUACAAAAACUAUUAAAUGGUAAAUUAAUACAAAUGUUAGGCAAUUUUAUAACAUCGAAGGUAUGGAUGGAUUUUAUUUCAAUGGUAAAAUAAGUUAGAAUUAUUUUGACGCUGAGUUUUCAAAAAAAUUACAAGAAAUAUUAAAUGGUACAUUAAUACAAAGGUUUGGCAAUUUUUUACGUUUCCAAAAAAUUACAAAAAUUCUUAAAUGAUACAUUAUUACAAAGGUUUGAUUAUAACAUCGAAAGUAAAAGUUAUUUUAAAGGUUCAAGAAGGUAGAAUUAUUUCGACGCUACGUUUUCAAAAAACAAAAAAAAAUGUUAAAUGAUACAUUAAUACAAAGGUUUGACAAAUUGAUAACAUCGAACGUAUAGACAGAUUAUAUCAAAGGUAGAAUUAUUUUGACGCUACGUUUUCAAAAAACUACAAAAAAUCUUAAAGGAUACAUUAAUACAAAGGUUUGACAAUUUUAUAGCAUUGAAAGUGCAAUAGGUUUGAUUUGACAAUCGACGCUACGUUUUCAAAAAACUACAAAAAUCUUAAAUGAUACAUUAAUACAAAGGUUUGAUUAUAACAUCGAAGGUAAAGGUUAUUUUAAAGGUUCAAGAAGGUAGAAUUAUUUCGACGCUACGUUUCCAAAAGACUACAAAAAUUCUUAAAUAAUACAAUAUUACAAAGGUUUGACUAUAACAUCGAAGGUAAAGAUUAUUUCAAACGUUCAAGAAGGUAAAAUUAUUUCGAAGCUACGUUUUCAAAAAACUACAAAAAAUCUUAAAUGAUACAUUAAUACAAAGGUUUGAUUAUAACAUCGAAGGUAAAGGUUAUUUUAAAGGUUCAAGAAGGUAGAAUUAUUUCGACGCUACGUUUCCAAAAGACUACAAAAAUUCUUAAAUAAUACAAUAUUACAAAGGUUUGACUAUAACAUCGAAGGUAAAGAUUAUUUCAAACGUUCAAGAAGCUAGAAUUAUUUCGACACUACGUUUUCAAAAAACUGCAAAAAAUCUUAAAUGAUACAUUAAUACAAAGGUUUGAUUAUAACAUCGAAGGUAAAGGUUAUUUUAAAGGUUCAAGAAGGCAGAAUUAUUUCGACGCUACGUUUUCAAAAAACUACAAAAAAUCUUAAAUGAUACAUUAAUACAAAGGUUUGACACUUUUUUAACAUCGAAGGUAUAGAGUAUAGAUUAUUUCAAUGAUACAUUAAGGUAGGAUUAUUUCGACGCGACGAUUCCAAAAAACUACAAAAAAUCUUAAAUAAUACAUUGAUAUAAAGGUUUGACUAUAACAUCGCAGGUAAAGAUUAUUUCAAAGGUUCAAGAAGGUAGAAUUAUUUCGACGCUACGUUUUCAAAAAACUACAAAAAAUCUUAAAUGAUACAUCAUUACAAAAGUUUCACAAUUUUCGAGCAUCGAAGAUAUAGAUUAUUUCAAAGGUUCAAUAAGGUAUAAUUAUUUCGACGCUACGUUUCCAAAAGACUACAAAAAUUCUUAAAUAAUACAAUAUUACAAAGGUUUGACUAUAACAUCGAAGGUAAAGAUUAUUUCAAACGUUCAAGAAGGUAGAAUUAUUUCGACGCUACGUUUUGAAAAAACUACAAAAAAUCUUAAAUGAUACAUUAAUACAAAGGUUUGGAUAUAACAUGGAAGGUAAAGGUUAUUUUAAAGGUUUAAGAAGGUAGAAUUAUUUCCACGCUACGUUUUCAAAAACUACAAAAAAUCUUACAUGACACAUUAUUACAAAGGUUUUACAAUUUUAUAGCAUCGAAGGUAUAGAUUAUUUCAAAGAUACAAUAAGGUAGAAUUAUUUCGACGCUACGAUUCCAAAAAACUAUAAAAAGUCUUAAAUAAUACAUUAAUACAAAGGUUUGACAAUGUUAUAGCAUUGAAGGUGCAAUAGGGUAUAAUUAUUUCGACGUUACGUUUUCAAAAAACUACAAAAAAUCUUAAAUGAUACAUUAAUACAAAGGUUUGAUUAUAACAUCGAAGGUAAAGGUUAUUUUAAAGGUUCAAGAAGGUAGAAUUAUUUCGACGCUACGUUUCCAAAAGACUACAAAAAUUCUUAAAUAAUACAAUAUUACAAAGGUUUGACUAUAACAUCGAAGGUAAAGAUUAUUUCAAACGUUCAAGAAGCUAGAAUUAUUUCGACGCUACGUUUUCAAAAAACUACAAAAAAUCUUAAAUGAUACAUUAAUACAAAGGUUUGAUUAUAACAUCGAAGGUAAAGGUUAUUUUAAAGGUUCAAGAAGGCAGAAUUAUUUCGACGCUACGUUUUCAAAAAAUACAAAAAAUCUUAAAUGAUACAUUAAUACAAAGGUUUGACAUUUUUAUAACAUCGAAGGUAUAGAGUAUAGAUUAUUUCAAUGAUACAUUAAGGUACGAUUAUUUCGACGCGACGAUUCCAAAAAACUACAAAAAAUCUUAAAUAAUACAUUGAUAUAAAGGUUUGACUAUAACAUCGCAGGUAAAGAUUAUUUCAAAGGUUCAAGAAGGUAGAAUUAUUUCGACGCUACGUUUUCAAAAAACUACAAAAAAUCUUAAAUGAUACAUCAUUACAAAAGUUUCACAAUUUUAGAGCAUCGAAGAUAUAGAUUAUUUCAAAGGUUCAAUAAGGUAUAAUUAUUUCGACGCUACGUUUCCAAAAGACUACAAAAAUUCUUAAAUAAUACAAUAUUACAAAGGUUUGACUAUAACAUCGAAGGUAAAGAUUAUUUAAAACGUUCAAAAAGGUAGAAUUAUUUCGACGCUACGUUUUCAAAAAACUACAAAAAAUCUUAAAUAAUACAUUAAUACAAAGGUUUGACAAUGUUAUAGCAUUGAAGGUGCAAUAGGGUAUAAUUAUUUCGACGUUACGUUUUCAAAAAACUACAAAAAAUCUUAAAUGAUACAUUAAUACAAAGUUUUGAUUAUAACAUCGAAGGUAAAGGUUAUUUUAAAGGUUCAAGAAGGUAGAACUAUUUCGACGCUACGUUUUCAAAAAACAAAAAAAAAUGUUAAAUGAUACAUUAAUACAAAGGUUUGACAAAUUGAUAACAUCGAACGUAUAGACAGAUAUAUCAAAGGUAGAAUAAGGUAGAAUUAUUUUGACGCUACGUUUUCAAAACGCUACAAAAAAUGUUAAAAGAUACAUUAUUACAAAGGUUUCACAAUUUUAUAGCAUCGAAGAUAUAGAUUAUUUCAAAGGCUCAAUAAGGUAGAAUUAUUUCGACGCUACGUUUUCAAAAAACUACAAACAUUCUUAAAUAAUAUAAUAUUACAAAGGUUUGACUGUAACAUCGAAGGUAAAGAUUAUUUCAAACGUUCAAGAAGGUAGAAUUAUUUCGACGCUACGUUUUCAAAAAAUACAAAAAAUCUUAACUGAUACAUUAAUACAAAGGUUUGACUGUAACAUCGAAGGUAAAGAUUAUUUCAAACGUUCAAGAAAGUAGAAUUAUUUCGACGCUACGUUUUCAAAAAACUACAAAAAAUCUUAAAUUAUACCUACAUUGCUAUAAAGGUUUGACUAUAACAUCGAAGGUAAAGAUUAUUUCAAAUGUUAAAGAAGGUAGAAUUAUUUCGACGCUACGUUUUAAAAAAUCUUAAAUGAUACAUUAAUACAAAGGUUUGAAACUUUUAUAACAUCGAAGGUAUAGAUUAUUUCAAAGAUACAAUAAAGUAGGAUUAUUUCGACGCGACGAUUCCAAAAAACUACAAAAAAUCUUAAAUAAUACAUUGAUAUAAAGGUUUGACUAUAACAUCGCAGGUAAAGAUUAUUUCAAAGGUUCAAGAAGGUAGAAUUAUUUCGACGCUACGUUGUCAAAAAACUACAAAAAAUCUUAAAUGGCACAUUAUUACAAAGGUUUCACAAUUUUAUAGCAUUGAAGGUGCAAUAGGGUAGAAUUAUUUCGGCGCUACGUCUUCAAAAAACUACAAAAAAUCUUAAAUAAUACAUUAAUACAAAAGUUUGAUUAUAACAUCGAAGGUAAAGGUUAUUUUAAAGGUUCAAGAAGGUAGAAUUAUUUCGACGCUACGUUUUCAAAAGACUACAAAAAAAUCUUAAAUGAUACAUUAAUACAAAGGUUUGACAAGGUACAAAACUUUUGCACAUUUCAGGUGUAGAAUAUUUCGAUGGUACAAUAAGGUAAAGCUAUCUCAACAAUACGAUUCCAAAAAGUUACAUUUCACUAUGAAAAAUCAAAAGAUCCAAACUUGAAUAAUUUCUUCGCUAGAUUCCCAACGCUGUAUUUGUCUAAGCAAAACCUAAAAUGUAAAUUUUUUUUUCAAUGCUACAAAGAAGGCCUGCAAUAUUUCUGGUACAAAUUGAAAUAUCCCAAAAACAUUUCAAAUACGACGGCAUACAUUGAUAACUCCCCGUUUCUUAUAAAACUAUAUCAAGCGAAAACUACAAAAAAUCUUAAAUGAUACAUUAAUACAAAUGUUUGACAAUUUUUGCACAUUGAAGGUGUAGGUUACUUCGAAGGUACAAUAAGGUAGAACUAUUUCAACACUACGAUUCCAAAAAGUUACAUUUCUCCAUAAAAAAUCAAAAGAUCCAAACUUGAACAAUUUCUUCGCUAGAUUCCCAAAGCUAUAUUUGUCUAAGCAAAACCUAAAAGGUAAAUUUUUUUUCAAUGCUACAAGGAAAGCUUGCAAUAUUUCUGGUACAAAAAGAAAUCUUCCAAAAACAUUUCAAAUACGACGCAUACCUUGUUUACUCCCCGUUUCUUAUAUAUCUAUAUCAAGAAAAAACUACAAUAAAUCUUAAAUGAUACAUUAAUACAAAGGUUUGACAAUUUUUUCACAUUGAAGGUGUCGAUUAUUUCGAAGGUACAAUAAGCUAGAACUAUUUCAACACUACGAUUCCAAAAAGUUACAUUUCUCCAUGAAAAAUCAAAAGAUCCAAACUUGAAUAAUUUCUUCGCUAGUUUCCCAAAGCUAUAUUGGUCUAAGCAAAACCUAAAAGGUAAAUCAUUGUUCAAUGCUACAACGAAAGCUUGCAAUAUUACUGAUACAAAGUGAAAUCUCCCAAAAACAUUUCAAAUACGACGCAUAUAUUUUUUACUCCCCGUUUCUUAUAAAACUAUAUCAAGAAAAAACUACAGAAAAUCUUAAAUGAUAGAUUAAUAUAAAGGUUUGACAAUUUUUUCAAAUUGAAGGUGUCGAUUAUUUCGAAGGUACAAUAAGGUAGAACUAUUUCAACACUACGAUUCCAAAAAGUUAUAUUUCUCUAUGAAAAAUCAAAAGGUCCAAAUUUGAAUAAUGUCUCGCUAGAUUCUCAAAGCUAUAUUUGCUCAAGCAAAACCGAAAAGUCUAUUUUUAUUUGAAUGAUACAAAGAAAGCUUGCAAAAUUUCUGGUUGAAACUGAAAUCUCCCAACAACAUUUCAAAUACGACGCAUACAUUUUUUAGUCCCCGUUUCUUAUAAAUCUAUAUCAAGAAAAAACUACAAUAAAUCUUAAAUGAUACAUUAAUACAAAGGUUUGACAAUUUUUUCACAUUGAAGGGGUCGAUUAUUUCGAAGGUACAAUAAGGUAGAACUAUUUCAACACUACGAUUCCAAAAAGUUACAUUUCUCCAUGAAAAAUCAAAAGAUCCAAACUUGAAUAAUUUCUUCGCUAGAUUCCCAAAGCUAUAUUGGUCUAAGCAAAACCUAAAAGGUAAAAUUUGUUUUCAAUGCUACAACGAAAGCUUGCAAUAUUUCUGGUACAAAGUGAAAUCUCCCAAAAACAUUUCAAAUACGACGCAUAUAUUUUUUACUACCCGUUUCUUAUAAAUCUAUAUCAAGAAAAAACUACAAUAAAUCUUAAAUGAUACAUUAAUACAAAGGUUUGACAAUUUUUUCACAUUGAAGGGGUCGAUUAUUUCGAAGGUACAAUAAGGUAGAACUAUUUCAACACUACGAUUCCAAAAAGUUACAUUUCUCCAUGAAAAAUCAAAAGUCCAAACUUGAAUAAUUUCUUCGCUAUUUUCCCAAAGCUAUAUUGGUCUAAGCAAAACCUAAAAGGUAAAUCAUUGUUCAAUGCUACAACGAAAGCUUGCAAUAUUACUGGUACAAAGUGAAAUCUCCCACAAGCAUUUCAAAUACGACGCUUACAUUGUUUACUCCCCGUUUCUUAUAAAACUAUAUCGGGAAAAAACUACAAUAAAUCUUAAAUGAUAUAUUAAUACAAAGGUUUGACAAUUUUUGCAUAUUGAAGGUGUAGAUUAUUUCGAAGGUACAAUAAGGUAGAACUAUUUCAACACUACGAUUCCAAAAAGUUAUAUUUCUCUAUGAAAAAUCAAAAGGUCCAAAUUUGAAUAAUGUGUCGCUAGAUUCUCAAAGCUAUAUUUGUUCAAGCAAAACCGAAAAGUCUAUUUUUAUUUGAAUGAUACAAAGAAAGCUUGCAAAAUUUCUGGUUGAAACUGAAAUCUCCCAACAACAUUUCAAAUACGACGCAUACAUUUUUUACUCCCCGUUUCUUAUAAAUCUAUAUCAACAAAAAACUACAAUAAAUCUUAAAUGAUACAUUAAUACAAAGGUUUGACAAUUUUUUCAGAUUGAAGGUGUCGAUUAUUUCGAAGGUACAAUAAGGUAGAACUAUUUCAACACUACGAUUCCAAAAAGUUACAUUUCUCCAUAAAAAAUCAAAAGAUCCAAACUUGAAUAAUUUCUUCGCUAGAUUCCCAAAGCUAUAUUUGUCUAAGCAAAACCUAAAAGGUAAAUUUUUUUUCAAUGCUACAAGGAAACCUUGCAAUAUUUCUGGUACAAAAAGAAAUCUUCCAAAAACAUUUCAAAUACUACGCAUACAUUAUUUACUCCCCGUUUCUUAUAAAACUAUAUCAAGAAAAAACUACAAUAAAUCUUAAAUGAUACAUUAAUACAAAUGUUUGACAAUUUUUGCACAUUGAAGGUGUAGGUUACUUCGAAGGUACAAUAAGGUAGAACUAUUUCAGCACUACGAUUCCAAAAAGUUACAUUUCUCUAUGAAAAAUCAAAAGAUCCAAACUUGAAUAAUUUCUUCGCUAGAUUCCCAAAGCUAUAUUUGUCUAAACAAACCCUAAAAGGUAAAUUUUUUUUCAAUGCUACAACGAAGGCUUGCAAUAUUUCUGGUACAAAGUGAAAGCUCCCAAAAACAUUUCAAAUACGACGCAUAUAUUUUUUACUCCCCGUUUCUUAUAAAACUAUAUCAAGAAAAAACUACAAAAAAUCUUAAAUGAUAGGUUAAUAUAAAGGUUUGACAAUUUUUUCACAUUGAUGGUGUCGAUUAUUUCGAAGGUACAAUAAGGUAGAACUAUUUCAACACUACGAUUCCAAAAAGUUACAUUUCUCCAUGAAAAAUCAAAAGAUCCAAACUUGAAUAAUUUCUUCGCUAGAUUCCAAAGCUAUAUUGGUCUAAGCAAAACCUAAAAGGUAACUCAUUUUUCAAUGCUACAACGAAGGCUUGCAAUAUUUCUGGUACAAAGUGAAAGCUCCCAAAAACAUUUCAAAUACGACGCAUAUAUUUUUUACUCCCCGUUUCUUAUAAAACUAUAUCAAGAAAAAACUACAAAAAAUCUUAAAUGAUAGGUUAAUAUAAAGGUUUGACAAUUAUUUCACAUUGAAGGAGUUGAUUAUUUCGAAGGUACAAUAAGGUAGAACUAUUUCAACACUACGAUUCCAAAAAGUUACAUUUCUCCAUAAAAAAUCAAAAGAUCCAAACUUGAAUAAUUUCUUCGCUAGAUUCCCAAAGCUAUAUUUGUCUAAGCAAAACCUAAAAGGUAAAUUUUUUUUCAAUGCUACAAGGAAAGCUUGCAAUAUUUCUGGUACAAAGUGAAAUCUUCCAAAAACAUUUCAAAUACGACGCAUACCUUGUUUACUCACCGUUUCUUAUAAAACUAUAUCAAGAAAAAACUACAAUAAAUCUUAAAUGAUACAUUAGUACAAAGGUUUGACAAUUUUUUCACAUUGAAGGAGUAGAAUAUUUCGAAGGUACAAAAAGGUACAAUGAUUUCAACACUACGAUUCCAAAAAGUUAUAUUCCUCUAUGAAAAAUCAAAAGAUCCAAACUUGAGUAAUUUCUUCGCUAGAUUCCCAAAGCUAUAUUUGUCUAAGCAAAUCCUAAAAGGUAAUUUUGUUUCAAUGCUACAAGGAAAGCUUGCAAUAUUUCUGGUACAAAAGAAAUCUUCCAAAAACAUUUCAAAUACGACGCAUACAUUGUUUACUCCCCGUUUCUUAUAAAACUAUAUCAAGAAAAAACUACAAUAAAUAUUAAAUGAUACAUUAUUACACAGGUUUGACAAUUUUUGCACAUUGAAGGUGUAGAUUAUUUCGAAGGUACAAUAAGGUAGAACUAUUUCAACACUACGAUUCCAAAAAGUUACAUUCCUCUAUGCAAAAUCAAAAGAUCCAAACUUGAAUAAUUUCUUCGCUAGUUUCCCAAAGCUAUAUUGGUCUAAGCAAAACCUAAAAGGUAAAUCAUUGUUCAAUGCUACAACGACAGCUUGCAAUAUUACUGGUACAAAGUGAUAUCUCCCAAAAACAUUUCAAAUACGACGCAUAUAUUUUUUACUCCCCGUUUCUUAUAAAACUAUAUCAAGAAAAAAUUACAAAAAAUCUUAAAUGAUAGGUUAAUAUAAAGGUUUGACAAUUUUUUCACAUUGAAGGUGUCGAUUAUUUGGAAGGUACAAUAAGGUAGAACUAUUUCAACACUACGAUUCCAAAAAGUUACAUUUCUCCAUGAAAAAUCAAAAGAUCCAAACUUGAAUAAUUUCUUCGCUAGAUUCCAAAGCUAUAUUGGUCUAAGCAAAACCUAAAAGAUAACUCAUUUUUCAAUGCUACAACGAAAGCUUGCAAUAUUUCUGGUACAAAUUGAAAUCUCCCAAAAACAUUUCAAACACGACGCAUAUAUUUUUUACUCCCCGUUUCUUAUAAAACUAUAUCAAGAAAAAACUACAAAAAAUCUUAAAUGAUAGGUUAAUAUAAAGGUUUGACAAUUUUUUCACAUUGAAGGUGUCGAUUAUUUCGAAGGUACAAUAAGGUAGAACUAUUUCAACACUACGAUUCCAAAAAGUUACAUUUCUCCAUAAAAAAUCUAAAGAUCCAAACUUGAAUAAUUUCUUCGCUAGAUUCCCAAAGCUAUAUUUGUGUAAGCAAACCCUAAAAGGUAAAUUUUUUUUCAAUGCCCCAAGGAAAGCUUGCUAUAUUUCUGGUACAAAGUGAAAUCUUCAAAAAACAUUUCAAAUACGACGCAUACAUUAUUUACUCCCCGUUUCUUAUAAAACUAUAUCAAGAAAAAACUACAAUAAAUCUUAAAUGAUACAUUAAUACAAAGGUUUGACAAUUUUUUCACAUUGAAGGUGUCGAUUAUUUCGAAGGAACAAUAAGCUAGAACUAUUUCAACACUACGAUUCCAAAAAGCUACAUUUCUCCAUGAAAAAUCAAAAGAUCCAAACUUGAAUAAUUUCUAAAAGUUUCCCAAAGCUAUAUUGGUCUAAGCAAAACCUAAAAGGUAAAUCAUUGUUCAAUGCUACAACGAAAGCUUGCAAUAUUACUGAUAAAAAGUGAAAUCUCCCAAAAACAUUUCAAAUACGACGCAUAUAUUUUUUACUCCCCGUUUCUUAUAAAACUAUAUCAAGAAAAACUACAAAAAAUCUUAAAUGAUAGAUUAAUAUAAAGGUUUGACAAUUUUUGCACAUUGAAGGUGUAGAUUAUUUCGAAGGUACAAUAAGGUAGAACUAUUUCAACACUACGAUUCCAAAAAGUUACAUUCCUCUAUGAAAAAUCAAAGGAUCCAAACUUGAAUAAUUUCUUCGCUAGUUUCCCAAAGCUAUAUUGGUCUAAGCAAAACCUAAAAGGUAAAUCAUUGUUCAAUGCUACAACGAAAGCUUGCAAUAUUACUGGUACAAAGUGAAAUCUCCCACAAGCAUUUCAAAUACGACGCUUACAUUGUUUACUCCCCGUUUCUUAUAAAACUAUAUCGGGAAAAAACUACAAUAAAUCUUAAAUGAUAUAUUAAUACAAAGGUUUGACAAUUUUUGCAUAUUGAAGGUGUAGAUUAUUUCGAAGGUACAAUAAGGUAGAACUAUUUCAACACUACGAUUCCAAAAAGUUAUAUUUCUCUAUGAAAAAUCAAAAGGUCCAAAUUUGAAUAAUGUGUCGCUAGAUUCUCAAAGCUAUAUUUGUUCAAGCAAAACCGAAAAGUCUAUUUUUAUUUGAAUGAUACAAAGAAAGCUUGCAAAAUUUCUGGUUGAAACUGAAAUCUCCCAACAACAUUUCAAAUACGACGCAUACAUUUUUUACUCCCCGUUUCUUAUAAAUCUAUAUCAACAAAAAACUACAAUAAAUCUUAAAUGAUACAUUAAUACAAAGGUUUGACAAUUUUUUCAGAUUGAAGGUGUCGAUUAUUUCGAAGGUACAAUAAGGUAGAACUAUUUCAACACUACGAUUCCAAAAAGUUACAUUUCUCCAUAAAAAAUCAAAAGAUCCAAACUUGAAUAAUUUCUUCGCUAGAUUCCCAAAGCUAUAUUUGUCUAAGCAAAACCUAAAAGGUAAAUUUUUUUUCAAUGCUACAAGGAAACCUUGCAAUAUUUCUGGUACAAAAAGAAAUCUUCCAAAAACAUUUCAAAUACGACGCAUACAUUAUUUACUCCCCGUUUCUUAUAAAACUAUAUCAAGAAAAAACUACAAUAAAUCUUAAAUGAUACAUUAAUACAAAUGUUUGACAAUUUUUGCACAUUGAAGGUGUAGGUUACUUCGAAGGUACAAUAAGGUAGAACUAUUUCAGCACUACGAUUCCAAAAAGUUACAUUUCUCUAUGAAAAAUCAAAAGAUCCAAACUUGAAUAAUUUCUUCGCUAGAUUCCCAAAGCUAUAUUUGUCUAAGCAAACCCUAAAAGGUAUAUUUUUUUUCAAUGCUACAAAGAAAGCUUGCAAUAUUUCUGGUACAAAAAGAAAUCUUCCAAAAACAUUUCAAAUACGACGCAUACAUUGUUUACUCCCCGUUUCUUAUAAAACUAUAUCAAGAAAAAACUACAAAAAAUCUUAAAUGAUAGGUUAAUAUAAAGGUUUGACAAUUUUUUCACAUUGAUGGUGUCGAUUAUUUCGAAGGUACAAUAAGGUAGAACUAUUUCAACACUACGAUUCUAAAAAGUUACAUUUCUCCAUGAAAAAUCAAAAGAUCCAAACUUGAAUAAUUUCUUCGCUAGAUUCCAAAGCUAUAUUGGUCUAAGCAAAACCUAAAAGGUAACUCAUUUUUCAAUGCUACAACGAAGGCUUGCAAUAUUUCUGGUACAAAGUGAAAGCUCCCAAAAACAUUUCAAAUACGACGCAUAUAUUUUUUACUCCCCGUUUCUUAUAAAACUAUAUCAAGAAAAAACUACAAAAAAUCUUAAAUGAUAGGUUAAUAUAAAGGUUUGACAAUUAUUUCACAUUGAAGGAGUUGAUUAUUUCGAAGGUACAAUAAGGUAGAACUAUUUCAACACUACGAUUCCAAAAAGUUACAUUUCUCCAUAAAAAAUCAAAAGAUCCAAACUUGAAUAAUUUCUUCGCUAGAUUCCCAAAGCUAUAUUUGUCUAAGCAAAACCUAAAAGGUAAAUUUUUUUUCAAUGCUACAAGGAAAGCUUGCAAUAUUUCUGGUACAAAGUGAAAUCUUCCAAAAACAUUUCAAAUACGACGCAUACCUUGUUUACUCACCGUUUCUUAUAAAACUAUAUCAAGAAAAAACUACAAUAAAUCUUAAAUGAUACAUUAGUACAAAGGUUUGACAAUUUUUUCACAUUGAAGGAGUAGAAUAUUUCGAAGGUACAAAAAGGUACAAUGAUUUCAACACUACGAUUCCAAAAAGUUAUAUUCCUCUAUGAAAAAUCAAAAGAUCCAAACUUGAGUAAUUUCUUCGCUAGAUUCCCAAAGCUAUAUUUGUCUAAGCAAAUCCUAAAAGGUAAUUUUGUUUCAAUGCUACAAGGAAAGCUUGCAAUAUUUCUGGUACAAAAGAAAUCUUCCAAAAACAUUUCAAAUACGACGCAUACAUUGUUUACUCCCCGUUUCUUAUAAAACUAUAUCAAGAAAAAACUACAAUAAAUAUUAAAUGAUACAUUAUUACACAGGUUUGACAAUUUUUGCACAUUGAAGGUGUAGAUUAUUUCGAAGGUACAAUAAGGUAGAACUAUUUCAACACUACGAUUCCAAAAAGUUACAUUCCUCUAUGCAAAAUCAAAAGAUCCAAACUUGAAUAAUUUCUUCGCUAGUUUCCCAAAGCUAUAUUGGUCUAAGCAAAACCUAAAAGGUAAAUCAUUGUUCAAUGCUACAACGACAGCUUGCAAUAUUACUGGUACAAAGUGAUAUCUCCCAAAAACAUUUCAAAUACGACGCAUAUAUUUUUUACUCCCCGUUUCUUAUAAAACUAUAUCAAGAAAAAAUUACAAAAAAUCUUAAAUGAUAGGUUAAUAUAAAGGUUUGACAAUUUUUUCACAUUGAAGGUGUCGAUUAUUUCGAAGGUACAAUAAGGUAGAACUAUUUCAACACUACGAUUCCAAAAAGUUACAUUUCUCCAUGAAAAAUCAAAAGAUCCAAACUUGAAUAAUUUCUUCGCUAGAUUCCAAAGCUAUAUUGGUCUAAGCAAAACCUAAAAGAUAACUCAUUUUUCAAUGCUACAACGAAAGCUUGCAAUAUUUCUGGUACAAAUUGAAAUCUCCCAAAAACAUUUCAAACACGACGCAUAUAUUUUUUACUCCCCGUUUCUUAUAAAACUAUAUCAAGAAAAAACUACAAAAAAUCUUAAAUGAUAGGUUAAUAUAAAGGUUUGACAAUUUUUUCACAUUGAAGGUGUCGAUUAUUUCGAAGGUACAAUAAGGUAGAACUAUUUCAACACUACGAUUCCAAAAAGUUACAUUUCUCCAUAAAAAAUAUAAAGAUCCAAACUUGAAUAAUUUCUUCGCUAGAUUCCCAAAGCUAUAUUUGUCUAAGCAAAACCUAAAAGGUAAAUUUUUUUCAAUGCUACAAGGAAAGCUUGCAAUAUUUCUGGUACAAAGUGAAAUCUUCCAAAAACAUUUCAAAUACGACGCAUACCUUGUUUACUCACCGUUUCUUAUAAAACGAUAUCAAGAAAAAACUACAAUAAAUCUUAAAUGAUACAUUAAUACAAAUGUUUGACAAUUUUUGCACAUUGAAGGUGUAGGUUACUUCGAAGGUACAAUAAGGUAGAACUAUUUCAGCACUACGAUUCCAAAAAGUUACAUUUCUCUAUGAAAAACCAAAAGAUCCAAACUUGAAUAAUUUCUUCGCUAGAUUCCCAAAGCUAUAUUUGUCUAAGCAAACCCUAAAAGGUAAAUUUUUUUUCAAUGCUACAAAGAAAGCUUGCAAUAUUUCUGGCACAAAAAGAAAUCUUCCAAAAACAUUUCAAAUACGACGCAUACAUUGUUUACUCCCCGUUUCUUAUAAAACUAUAUCAAGAAAAAACUACAAUAAAUCUUAAAUGAUACAUUAAUACAAAGGUUUGACAAUUUUUUCACAUUGAAGGUGUCGAUUAUUUCGAAGGUACAAUAAGCUAGAACUAUUUCAACACUACGAUUCCAAAAAGUGACAUUUCUCCAUGAAAAAUCAAAAGAUCCAAACUUGAAUAAUUUCUUCGCUAGUUUCCCAAAGCUAUAUUGGUCUAAGCAAAACCUAAAAGGUAAAUCAUUGUUCAAUGCUACAACGAAAGCUUGCAAUAUUACUGGUACAAAGUGAAAUCUCCCACAAGCAUUUCAAAUACGACGCUUACAUUGUUUACUCCCCGUUUCUUAUAAAACUAUAUCGGGAAAAAACUACAAUAAAUCUUAAAUGAUAUAUUAAUACAAAGGUUUGACAAUUUUUGCAUAUUGAAGGUGUAGAUUAUUUCGAAGGUACAAUAAGGUAGAACUAUUUCAACACUACGAUUCCAAAAAGUUAUAUUUCUCUAUGAAAAAUCAAAAGGUCCAAAUUUGAAUAAUGUGUCGCUAGAUUCUCAAAGCUAUAUUUGUUCAAGCAAAACCGAAAAGUCUAUUUUUAUUUGAAUGAUACAAAGAAAGCUUGCAAAAUUUCUGGUUGAAACUGAAAUCUCCCAACAACAUUUCAAAUACGACGCAUACAUUUUUUAGUCCCCGUUUCUUAUAAAUCUAUAUCAAGAAAAAACUACAAUAAAUCUUAAAUGAUACAUUAAUACAAAGGUUUGACAAUUUUUUCACAUUGAAGGGGUCGAUUAUUUCGAAGGUACAAUAAGGUAGAACUAUUUCAACACUACGAUUCCAAAAAGUUACAUUUCUCCAUGAAAAAUCAAAAGAUCCAAACUUGAAUAAUUUCUUCGCUAGAUUCCCAAAGCUAUAUUGGUCUAAGCAAAACCUAAAAGGUAAAAUUUGUUUUCAAUGCUACAACGAAAGCUUGCAAUAUUUCUGGUACAAAGUGAAAUCUCCCAAAAACAUUUCAAAUACGACGCAUAUAUUUUUUACUACCCGUUUCUUAUAAAUCUAUAUCAAGAAAAAACUACAAUAAAUCUUAAAUGAUACAUUAAUACAAAGGUUUGACAAUUUUUUCACAUUGAAGGGGUCGAUUAUUUCGAAGGUACAAUAAGGUAGAACUAUUUCAACACUACGAUUCCAAAAAGUUACAUUUCUCCAUGAAAAAUCAAAAGAUCCAAACUUGAAUAAUUUCUUCGCUAGAUUCCAAAGCUAUAUUGGUCUAAGCAAAACCUAAAAGGUAACUCAUUUUUCAAUGCUACAACGAAGGCUUGCAAUAUUUCUGGUACAAAGUGAAAGCUCCCAAAAACAUUUCAAAUACGACGCAUAUAUUUUUUACUCCCCGUUUCUUAUAAAACUAUAUCAAGAAAAAACUACAAAAAAUCUUAAAUGAUAGGUUAAUAUAAAGGUUUGACAAUUAUUUCACAUUGAAGGAGUUGAUUAUUUCGAAGGUACAAUAAGGUAGAACUAUUUCAACACUACGAUUCCAAAAAGUUACAUUUCUCCAUAAAAAAUCAAAAGAUCCAAACUUGAAUAAUUUCUUCGCUAGAUUCCCAAAGCUAUAUUUGUCUAAGCAAAACCUAAAAGGUAAAUUUUUUUUCAAUGCUACAAGGAAAGCUUGCAAUAUUUCUGGUACAAAGUGAAAUCUUCCAAAAACAUUUCAAAUACGACGCAUACCUUGUUUACUCACCGUUUCUUAUAAAACUAUAUCAAGAAAAAACUACAAUAAAUCUUAAAUGAUACAUUAGUACAAAGGUUUGACAAUUUUUUCACAUUGAAGGAGUAGAAUAUUUCGAAGGUACAAAAAGGUACAAUGAUUUCAACACUACGAUUCCAAAAAGUUAUAUUCCUCUAUGAAAAAUCAAAAGAUCCAAACUUGAGUAAUUUCUUCGCUAGAUUCCCAAAGCUAUAUUUGUCUAAGCAAAUCCUAAAAGGUAAUUUUGUUUCAAUGCUACAAGGAAAGCUUGCAAUAUUUCUGGUACAAAAGAAAUCUUCCAAAAACAUUUCAAAUACGACGCAUACAUUGUUUACUCCCCGUUUCUUAUAAAACUAUAUCAAGAAAAAACUACAAUAAAUAUUAAAUGAUACAUUAUUACACAGGUUUGACAAUUUUUGCACAUUGAAGGUGUAGAUUAUUUCGAAGGUACAAUAAGGUAGAACUAUUUCAACACUACGAUUCCAAAAAGUUACAUUCCUCUAUGCAAAAUCAAAAGAUCCAAACUUGAAUAAUUUCUUCGCUAGUUUCCCAAAGCUAUAUUGGUCUAAGCAAAACCUAAAAGGUAAAUCAUUGUUCAAUGCUACAACGACAGCUUGCAAUAUUACUGGUACAAAGUGAUAUCUCCCAAAAACAUUUCAAAUACGACGCAUAUAUUUUUUACUCCCCGUUUCUUAUAAAACUAUAUCAAGAAAAAAUUACAAAAAAUCUUAAAUGAUAGGUUAAUAUAAAGGUUUGACAAUUUUUUCACAUUGAAGGUGUCGAUUAUUUGGAAGGUACAAUAAGGUAGAACUAUUUCAACACUACGAUUCCAAAAAGUUACAUUUCUCCAUGAAAAAUCAAAAGAUCCAAACUUGAAUAAUUUCUUCGCUAGAUUCCAAAGCUAUAUUGGUCUAAGCAAAACCUAAAAGAUAACUCAUUUUUCAAUGCUACAACGAAAGCUUGCAAUAUUUCUGGUACAAAUUGAAAUCUCCCAAAAACAUUUCAAACACGACGCAUAUAUUUUUUACUCCCCGUUUCUUAUAAAACUAUAUCAAGAAAAAACUACAAAAAAUCUUAAAUGAUAGGUUAAUAUAAAGGUUUGACAAUUUUUUCACAUUGAAGGUGUCGAUUAUUUCGAAGGUACAAUAAGGUAGAACUAUUUCAACACUACGAUUCCAAAAAGUUACAUUUCUCCAUAAAAAAUCUAAAGAUCCAAACUUGAAUAAUUUCUUCGCUAGAUUCCCAAAGCUAUAUUUGUGUAAGCAAACCCUAAAAGGUAAAUUUUUUUUCAAUGCCCCAAGGAAAGCUUGCUAUAUUUCUGGUACAAAGUGAAAUCUUCAAAAAACAUUUCAAAUACGACGCAUACAUUAUUUACUCCCCGUUUCUUAUAAAACUAUAUCAAGAAAAAACUACAAUAAAUCUUAAAUGAUACAUUAAUACAAAGGUUUGACAAUUUUUUCACAUUGAAGGUGUCGAUUAUUUCGAAGGAACAAUAAGCUAGAACUAUUUCAACACUACGAUUCCAAAAAGCUACAUUUCUCCAUGAAAAAUCAAAAGAUCCAAACUUGAAUAAUUUCUAAAAGUUUCCCAAAGCUAUAUUGGUCUAAGCAAAACCUAAAAGGUAAAUCAUUGUUCAAUGCUACAACGAAAGCUUGCAAUAUUACUGAUAAAAAGUGAAAUCUCCCAAAAACAUUUCAAAUACGACGCAUAUAUUUUUUACUCCCCGUUUCUUAUAAAACUAUAUCAAGAAAAACUACAAAAAAUCUUAAAUGAUAGAUUAAUAUAAAGGUUUGACAAUUUUUGCACAUUGAAGGUGUAGAUUAUUUCGAAGGUACAAUAAGGUAGAACUAUUUCAACACUACGAUUCCAAAAAGUUACAUUCCUCUAUGAAAAAUCAAAGGAUCCAAACUUGAAUAAUUUCUUCGCUAGUUUCCCAAAGCUAUAUUGGUCUAAGCAAAACCUAAAAGGUAAAUCAUUGUUCAAUGCUACAACGAAAGCUUGCAAUAUUACUGGUACAAAGUGAAAUCUCCCACAAGCAUUUCAAAUACGACGCUUACAUUGUUUACUCCCCGUUUCUUAUAAAACUAUAUCGGGAAAAAACUACAAUAAAUCUUAAAUGAUAUAUUAAUACAAAGGUUUGACAAUUUUUGCAUAUUGAAGGUGUAGAUUAUUUCGAAGGUACAAUAAGGUAGAACUAUUUCAACACUACGAUUCCAAAAAGUUAUAUUUCUCUAUGAAAAAUCAAAAGGUCCAAAUUUGAAUAAUGUGUCGCUAGAUUCUCAAAGCUAUAUUUGUUCAAGCAAAACCGAAAAGUCUAUUUUUAUUUGAAUGAUACAAAGAAAGCUUGCAAAAUUUCUGGUUGAAACUGAAAUCUCCCAACAACAUUUCAAAUACGACGCAUACAUUUUUUACUCCCCGUUUCUUAUAAAUCUAUAUCAACAAAAAACUACAAUAAAUCUUAAAUGAUACAUUAAUACAAAGGUUUGACAAUUUUUUCAGAUUGAAGGUGUCGAUUAUUUCGAAGGUACAAUAAGGUAGAACUAUUUCAACACUACGAUUCCAAAAAGUUACAUUUCUCCAUAAAAAAUCAAAAGAUCCAAACUUGAAUAAUUUCUUCGCUAGAUUCCCAAAGCUAUAUUUGUCUAAGCAAAACCUAAAAGGUAAAUUUUUUUUCAAUGCUACAAGGAAACCUUGCAAUAUUUCUGGUACAAAAAGAAAUCUUCCAAAAACAUUUCAAAUACGACGCAUACAUUAUUUACUCCCCGUUUCUUAUAAAACUAUAUCAAGAAAAAACUACAAUAAAUCUUAAAUGAUACAUUAAUACAAAUGUUUGACAAUUUUUGCACAUUGAAGGUGUAGGUUACUUCGAAGGUACAAUAAGGUAGAACUAUUUCAGCACUACGAUUCCAAAAAGUUACAUUUCUCUAUGAAAAAUCAAAAGAUCCAAACUUGAAUAAUUUCUUCGCUAGAUUCCCAAAGCUAUAUUUGUCUAAGCAAACCCUAAAAGGUAAAUUUUUUUUCAAUGCUACAAAGAAAGCUUGCAAUAUUUCUGGCACAAAAAGAAAUCUUCCAAAAACAUUUCAAAUACGACGCAUACAUUGUUUACUCCCCGUUUCUUAUAAAACUAUAUCAAGAAAAAACUACAAUAAAUCUUAAAUGAUACAUUAAUACAAAGGUUUGACAAUUUUUUCACAUUGAAGGUGUCGAUUAUUUCGAAGGUACAAUAAGCUAGAACUAUUUCAACACUACGAUUCCAAAAAGUGACAUUUCUCCAUGAAAAAUCAAAAGAUCCAAACUUGAAUAAUUUCUUCGCUAGUUUCCCAAAGCUAUAUUGGUCUAAGCAAAACCUAAAAGGUAAAUCAUUGUUCAAUGCUACAACGAAAGCUUGCAAUAUUACUGGUACAAAAUGAAAUCUCCCAAAAACAUUUCAAAUACGACGCAUAUAUUUUUUACUCCCCGUUUCUUAUAAAACUAUAUCAAGAAAAACUACAAAAAAUCUUAAGUGAUAGAUUAAUAUAAAGGUUUGACAAUUUUUUCACAUUGAAGGUGUCGAUUAUUUCGAAGGUACAAUAAGGUAGAAGUAUUUCAACACUACGAUUCCAAAAAGUUACAUUUCUCCAUGAAAAAUCAAAAGAUCCAAACUUGAAUAAUUUCUUCGCUAGUUUCCCAAAGCUAUAUUUGUCUAAGCAAAACCUAAAAGGUAAAUCAUUGUUCAAUGCUACAACGAAUGCUUGCAAUAUUACUGGUACAAAGUGAAAUCUCCCAAAAACAUUUCAAAUACGACGCUUACAUUGUUUACUCCCCGUUUAUAAUAAAACUAUAUCAAGAAAAAACUACAAUAAAUCUUAAAUGAUACAUUAAUACACAGGUUUGACAAUUUUUGCACAUUGAAGGUGUAGAUUAUUUCGAAGGUACAAUAAGGUAGAACUAUUUCAACACUACGAUUCCAAAAAGUUACAUUCCUCUAUGAAAAAUCAAAGGAUCCAAACUUGAAUAAUUUCUUCGCUAGUUUCCCAAAGCUAUAUUGGUCUAAGCAAAACCUAAAAGGUAAAUCAUUGUUCAAUGCUACAACGAAAGCUUGCAAUAUUACUGGUACAAAGUGAAAUCUCCCACAAGCAUUUCAAAUACGACGCUUACAUUGUUUACUCCCCGUUUCUUAUAAAACUAUAUCGGGAAAAAACUACAAUAAAUCUUAAAUGAUAUAUUAAUACAAAGGUUUGACAAUUUUUGCAUAUUGAAGGUGUAGAUUAUUUCGAAGGUACAAUAAGGUAGAACUAUUUCAACACUACGAUUCCAAAAAGUUAUAUUUCUCUAUGAAAAAUCAAAAGGUCCAAAUUUGAAUAAUGUGUCGCUAGAUUCUCAAAGCUAUAUUUGUUCAAGCAAAACCGAAAAGUCUAUUUUUAUUUGAAUGAUACAAAGAAAGCUUGCAAAAUUUCUGGUUGAAACUGAAAUCUCCCAACAACAUUUCAAAUACGACGCAUACAUUUUUUACUCCCCGUUUCUUAUAAAUCUAUAUCAACAAAAAACUACAAUAAAUCUUAAAUGAUACAUUAAUACAAAGGUUUGACAAUUUUUUCAGAUUGAAGGUGUCGAUUAUUUCGAAGGUACAAUAAGGUAGAACUAUUUCAACACUACGAUUCCAAAAAGUUACAUUUCUCCAUAAAAAAUCAAAAGAUCCAAACUUGAAUAAUUUCUUCGCUAGAUUCCCAAAGCUAUAUUUGUCUAAGCAAAACCUAAAAGGUAAAUUUUUUUUCAAUGCUACAAGGAAACCUUGCAAUAUUUCUGGUACAAAAAGAAAUCUUCCAAAAACAUUUCAAAUACUACGCAUACAUUAUUUACUCCCCGUUUCUUAUAAAACUAUAUCAAGAAAAAACUACAAUAAAUCUUAAAUGAUACAUUAAUACAAAUGUUUGACAAUUUUUGCACAUUGAAGGUGUAGGUUACUUCGAAGGUACAAUAAGGUAGAACUAUUUCAGCACUACGAUUCCAAAAAGUUACAUUUCUCUAUGAAAAAUCAAAAGAUCCAAACUUGAAUAAUUUCUUCGCUAGAUUCCCAAAGCUAUAUUUGUCUAAGCAAACCCUAAAAGGUAAAUUUUUUUUCAAUGCUACAAAGAAAGCUUGCAAUAUUUCUGGUACAAAAAGAAAUCUUCCAAAAACAUUUCAAAUACGACGCAUACAUUGUUUACUCCCCGUUUCUUAUAAAACUAUAUCAAGAAAAAACUACAAAAAAUCUUAAAUGAUAGGUUAAUAUAAAGGUUUGACAAUUUUUUCACAUUGAUGGUGUCGAUUAUUUCGAAGGUACAAUAAGGUAGAACUAUUUCAACACUACGAUUCCAAAAAGUUACAUUUCUCCAUGAAAAAUCAAAAGAUCCAAACUUGAAUAAUUUCUUCGCUAGAUUCCAAAGCUAUAUUGGUCUAAGCAAAACCUAAAAGGUAACUCAUUUUUCAAUGCUACAACGAAGGCUUGCAAUAUUUCUGGUACAAAGUGAAAGCUCCCAAAAACAUUUCAAAUACGACGCAUAUAUUUUUUACUCCCCGUUUCUUAUAAAACUAUAUCAAGAAAAAACUACAAAAAAUCUUAAAUGAUAGGUUAAUAUAAAGGUUUGACAAUUAUUUCACAUUGAAGGAGUUGAUUAUUUCGAAGGUACAAUAAGGUAGAACUAUUUCAACACUACGAUUCCAAAAAGUUACAUUUCUCCAUAAAAAAUCAAAAGAUCCAAACUUGAAUAAUUUCUUCGCUAGAUUCCCAAAGCUAUAUUUGUCUAAGCAAAACCUAAAAGGUAAAUUUUUUUUCAAUGCUACAAGGAAAGCUUGCAAUAUUUCUGGUACAAAGUGAAAUCUUCCAAAAACAUUUCAAAUACGACGCAUACCUUGUUUACUCACCGUUUCUUAUAAAACUAUAUCAAGAAAAAACUACAAUAAAUCUUAAAUGAUACAUUAGUACAAAGGUUUGACAAUUUUUUCACAUUGAAGGAGUAGAAUAUUUCGAAGGUACAAAAAGGUACAAUGAUUUCAACACUACGAUUCCAAAAAGUUAUAUUCCUCUAUGAAAAAUCAAAAGAUCCAAACUUGAGUAAUUUCUUCGCUAGAUUCCCAAAGCUAUAUUUGUCUAAGCAAAUCCUAAAAGGUAAUUUUGUUUCAAUGCUACAAGGAAAGCUUGCAAUAUUUCUGGUACAAAAGAAAUCUUCCAAAAACAUUUCAAAUACGACGCAUACAUUGUUUACUCCCCGUUUCUUAUAAAACUAUAUCAAGAAAAAACUACAAUAAAUAUUAAAUGAUACAUUAUUACACAGGUUUGACAAUUUUUGCACAUUGAAGGUGUAGAUUAUUUCGAAGGUACAAUAAGGUAGAACUAUUUCAACACUACGAUUCCAAAAAGUUACAUUCCUCUAUGCAAAAUCAAAAGAUCCAAACUUGAAUAAUUUCUUCGCUAGUUUCCCAAAGCUAUAUUGGUCUAAGCAAAACCUAAAAGGUAAAUCAUUGUUCAAUGCUACAACGAAAGCUUGCAAUAUUACUGAUACAAAGUGAAAUCUCCCAAAAACAUUUCGAAUACGACGCAUAUAUUUUUUACUCCCCGUUUCUUAUAAAACUAUAUCAAGAAAAAACUACAAAAAAUCUUAAAUGAUAGAUUAAUAUAAAGGUUUGACAAUUUUUUCACAUUGAAGGUGUCGGUUAUUUCGAAGGUACAAUAAGCUAGAACUAUUUCAACACUACGAUUCCAAAAAGUGACAUUUCUCCAUGAAAAAUCAAAAGAUCCAAACUUGAAUAAUUUCUUCGCUAGAUUCCCAAAGCUAUAUUGGUCCAAGCAAAACCUAAAAGGUAAAAUUUUUUUUUAAUGCUACAACGAAAGCUUGCAAUAUUUCUGGUACAAAGUGAAAUCUCCCAAAAACAUUCCAAAUACGACGCAUAUAUUUUUUACUCCCCGUUUCUUAUAAAUCUAUAUCGAGAAAAAACUAGAAUAAAUCUUAAAUGAUACAUUAAUACAAAGGUUUGACAAUUUUUUCACAUUGAAGGUGUCGGUUAUUUCGAAGGUACAAUAAGCUAGAACUAUUUCAACACUACGAUUCCAAAAAGUGACAUUUCUCCAUGAAAAAUCAAAAGAUCCAAACUUGAAUAAUUUCUUCGCUAGUUUCCCAAAGCUAUAUUGGUCUAAGCAAAACCUAAAAGGUAAAUCAUUGUUCAAUGCUACAACGACAGCUUGCAAUAUUACUGGUACAAAGUGAUAUCUCCCAAAAACAUUUCAAAUACGACGCAUAUAUUUUUUACUCCCCGUUUCUUAUAAAACUAUAUCAAGAAAAAAUUACAAAAAAUCUUAAAUGAUAGGUUAAUAUAAAGGUUUGACAAUUUUUGCACAUUGAAGGCGUAGGUUACUUCGAAGGUACAAUAAGGUAGAACUAUUUCAACACUACGAUUCCAAAAAGUUACAUUCCUCUAUGAAAAAUCAAAAGAUCCAAACUUGAAUAAUUUCUUCGCUAGAUUGCCAAAGCUAUAUUUGUCUUGGCAAAACCUAACAGGUAAAUUUUUUUUCAAUGCUACAAGGAAAGCUUGCUAUAUUUCUGGUACAAAAAGAAAUCUUCCAAAAACAUUUCAAAUACGACGCAUACAUUGUUUACUCCCCGUUUCUUAUAAAACUAUAUCAAGAAAAAAUUACAAUAAAUCUUAAAUGAUAAUUAAUACAAAUGUUUGACAAUUUUUGCACAUUGAAGGUGUAGGUUACUUCGAAGGUACAAUAAGGUAGAACUAUUUCAGCACUACGAUUGCAAAAAGUUACAUUUCUCUAUGAAAAAUCAAAAGAUCCAAACUUGAAUAAUUUCUUCGCUAGAUUCCCAAAGCUAUAUAUUUGUAUAAGCAAAACCUAAAAGGUAAAUUUUUUUUCAAUGCUACAAGGAAAGCUUGCAAUAUUUCUGGUACAAAGUGAAAUCUCCCAAAAACAUUUCAAAUACGACGCUUACAUUGUUUACUCCCCGUUUCUUAUAAAACUAUAUCGAGAAAAAACUACCAUUAAUCUUAAAUGAUACAUUAAUACAAAGGUUUGACAAUUUUUUCACAUUGAAGAUGUCGAUUGUUUCGAAGGUACAAUAAGGUAGAACUAUUUCAACACUAUGAUUCCAAAAAGUUACAUUUCUCCAUAAAAAAUCAGAAGAUCCAAACUUGAAUAAUUUCUUCGCUAGAUUCCCAAAGCUAUAUAUUUGUAUAAGCAAAACCCAAAAAGGUAAAUUUUUUUUCAAUGCUACAAGGAAAGCUUGCAAUAUUUCUGGUACAAAGUGAAAUCUCCCAAAAAUAUUUCAAAUACGACGCUUACAUUGUUUACUCCCCGUUUCUUAUAAAACUAUAUCGAGAAAAAACUACCAUUAAUCUUAAAUGAUACAUUAAUACAAAGGUUUGACAAUUUUUGCAUAUUGAAGGUGUAGAUUAUUUCGAAGGUACAAUAAGGUAGAACUAUUUCAACACUACGAUUCCAAAAAGUUAUAUUUCUCUAUGAAAAAUCAAAAGGUCCAAAUUUGAAUAAUGUCUCGCUAGAUUCUCAAAGCUAUAUUUGCUCAAGCAAAACCGAAAAGUCUAUUUUUAUUUGAAUGAUACAAAGAAAGCUUGCAAAAUUUCUGGUUGAAACUGAAAUCUCCCAACAACAUUUCAAAUACGACGCAUACAUUUUUUAGUCCCCGUUUCUUAUAAAUCUAUAUCAAGAAAAAACUACAAUAAAUCUUAAAUGAUACAUUAAUACAAAGGUUUGACAAUUUUUUCACAUUGAAGGGGUCGAUUAUUUCGAAGGUACAAUAAGGUAGAACUAUUUCAACACUACGAUUCCAAAAAGUUACAUUUCUCCAUGAAAAAUCAAAAGAUCCAAACUUGAAUAAUUUCUUCGCUAGAUUCCCAAAGCUAUAUUGGUCUAAGCAAAACCUAAAAGGUAAAAUUUUUUUUCAAUGCUACAACGAAAGCUUGCAAUAUUUCUGGUACAAAGUGAAAUCUCCCAAAAACAUUUCAAAUACGACGCAUAUAUUUUUUACUCCCCGUUUCUUAUAAAUCUAUAUCAAGAAAAAACUACAAUAAAUCUUAAAUGAUACAUUAAUACAAAGGUUUGACAAUUUUUUCACAUUGAAGGUGUCGAUUAUUUCGAAGGUACAAUAAGCUAGAACUAUUUCAACACUACGAUUCCAAAAAGUUACAGUUCUCCAUGAAAAAUCAAAAGAUCCAAACUUGCAUAAUUUCUUCGCUAGUUUCCCAAAGCUAUAUUUGUCUUGGCAAAACCUAAAAGGUAAAUCAUUGUUCAAUGCUACAACGAAAGCUUGCAAUAUUACUGGUACAAAGUGAAAUCUCCCAAAAACAUUUCAAAUACGACACUUACAUUGUUUACUCCCCGUUUAUAAUAAAACUAUAUCAAGACAAAACUACAAUAAAUCUUAAAUGAUACAUUAAUACACAGGUUUGACAAUUUUUGCACAUUGAAGGUGUAGAUUAUUUCGAAGGUACAAUAAGGUAGAACUAUUUCAACACUACGAUUCCAAAAAGUUACAUUCCUCUAUGAAAAAUCAAAGGAUCCAAACUUGAAUAAUUUCUUCGCUAGUUUCCCAAAGCUAUAUUGGUCUAAGCAAAACCUAAAAGGUAAAUCAUUGUUCAAUGCUACAACGAAAGCUUGCAAUAUUACUGGUACAAAGUGAAAUCUCCCACAAGCAUUUCAAAUACGACGCUUACAUUGUUUACUCCCCGUUUCUUAUAAAACUAUAUCGGGAAAAAACUACAAUAAAUCUUAAAUGAUAUAUUAAUACAAAGGUUUGACAAUUUUUGCAUAUUGAAGGUGUAGAUUAUUUCGAAGGUACAAUAAGGUAGAACUAUUUCAACACUACGAUUCCAAAAAGUUAUAUUUCUCUAUGAAAAAUCAAAAGGUCCAAAUUUGAAUAAUGUGUCGCUAGAUUCUCAAAGCUAUAUUUGUUCAAGCAAAACCGAAAAGUCUAUUUUUAUUUGAAUGAUACAAAGAAAGCUUGCAAAAUUUCUGGUUGAAACUGAAAUCUCCCAACAACAUUUCAAAUACGACGCAUACAUUUUUUACUCCCCGUUUCUUAUAAAUCUAUAUCAACAAAAAACUACAAUAAAUCUUAAAUGAUACAUUAAUACAAAGGUUUGACAAUUUUUUCAGAUUGAAGGUGUCGAUUAUUUCGAAGGUACAAUAAGGUAGAACUAUUUCAACACUACGAUUCCAAAAAGUUACAUUUCUCCAUAAAAAAUCAAAAGAUCCAAACUUGAAUAAUUUCUUCGCUAGAUUCCCAAAGCUAUAUUUGUCUAAGCAAAACCUAAAAGGUAAAUUUUUUUUCAAUGCUACAAGGAAACCUUGCAAUAUUUCUGGUACAAAAAGAAAUCUUCCAAAAACAUUUCAAAUACUACGCAUACAUUAUUUACUCCCCGUUUCUUAUAAAACUAUAUCAAGAAAAAACUACAAUAAAUCUUAAAUGAUACAUUAAUACAAAUGUUUGACAAUUUUUGCACAUUGAAGGUGUAGGUUACUUCGAAGGUACAAUAAGGUAGAACUAUUUCAGCACUACGAUUCCAAAAAGUUACAUUUCUCUAUGAAAAAUCAAAAGAUCCAAACUUGAAUAAUUUCUUCGCUAGAUUCCCAAAGCUAUAUUUGUCUAAGCAAACCCUAAAAGGUAAAUUUUUUUUCAAUGCUACAAAGAAAGCUUGCAAUAUUUCUGGUACAAAAAGGAAUCUUCCAAAAACAUUUCAAAUACGACGCAUACAUUGUUUACUCCCCGUUUCUUAUAAAACUAUAUCAAGAAAAAACUACAAAAAAUCUUAAAUGAUAGGUUAAUAUAAAGGUUUGACAAUUUUUUCACAUUGAUGGUGUCGAUUAUUUCGAAGGUACAAUAAGGUAGAACUAUUUCAACACUACGAUUCCAAAAAGUUACAUUUCUCCAUGAAAAAUCAAAAGAUCCAAACUUGAAUAAUUUCUUCGCUAGAUUCCAAAGCUAUAUUGGUCUAAGCAAAACCUAAAAGGUAACUCAUUUUUCAAUGCUACAACGAAGGCUUGCAAUAUUUCUGGUACAAAGUGAAAGCUCCCAAAAACAUUUCAAAUACGACGCAUAUAUUUUUUACUCCCCGUUUCUUAUAAAGCUAUAUCAAGAAAAAACUACAAAAAAUCUUAAAUGAUAGGUUAAUAUAAAGGUUUGACAAUUAUUUCACAUUGAAGGAGUUGAUUAUUUCGAAGGUACAAUAAGGUAGAACUAUUUCAACACUACGAUUCCAAAAAGUUACAUUUCUCCAUAAAAAAUCAAAAGAUCCAAACUUGAAUAAUUUCUUCGCUAGAUUCCCAAAGCUAUAUUUGUCUUAAGCAAAACCUAAAAGGUAAAUUUUUUUUCAAUGCUACAAGGAAAGCUUGCAAUAUUUCUGGUACAAAGUGAAAUCUUCCAAAAACAUUUCAAAUACGACGCAUACCUUGUUUACUCACCGUUUCUUAUAAAACUAUAUCAAGAAAAAACUACAAUAAAUCUUAAAUGAUACAUUAGUACAAAGGUUUGACAAUUUUUUCACAUUGAAGGAGUAGAAUAUUUCGAAGGUACAAAAAGGUACAAUGAUUUCAACACUACGAUUCCAAAAAGUUAUAUUCCUCUAUGAAAAAUCAAAAGAUCCAAACUUGAGUAAUUUCUUCGCUAGAUUCCCAAAGCUAUAUUUGUCUAAGCAAAUCCUAAAAGGUAAUUUUGUUUCAAUGCUACAAGGAAAGCUUGCAAUAUUUCUGGUACAAAAGAAAUCUUCCAAAAACAUUUCAAAUACGACGCAUACAUUGUUUACUCCCCGUUUCUUAUAAAACUAUAUCAAGAAAAAACUACAAUAAAUAUUAAAUGAUACAUUAUUACACAGGUUUGACAAUUUUUGCACAUUGAAGGUGUAGAUUAUUUCGAAGGUACAAUAAGGUAGAACUAUUUCAACACUACGAUUCCAAAAAGUUACAUUCCUCUAUGCAAAAUCAAAAGAUCCAAACUUGAAUAAUUUCUUCGCUAGUUUCCCAAAGCUAUAUUGGUCUAAGCAAAACCUAAAAGGUAAAUCAUUGUUCAAUGCUACAACGACAGCUUGCAAUAUUACUGGUACAAAGUGAUAUCUCCCAAAAACAUUUCAAAUACGACGCAUAUAUUUUUUACUCCCCGUUUCUUAUAAAACUAUAUCAAGAAAAAAUUACAAAAAAUCUUAAAUGAUAGGUUAAUAUAAAGGUUUGACAAUUUUUUCACAUUGAAGGUGUCGAUUAUUUGGAAGGUACAAUAAGGUAGAACUAUUUCAACACUACGAUUCCAAAAAGUUACAUUUCUCCAUGAAAAAUCAAAAGAUCCAAACUUGAAUAAUUUCUUCGCUAGAUUCCAAAGCUAUAUUGGUCUAAGCAAAACCUAAAAGAUAACUCAUUUUUCAAUGCUACAACGAAAGCUUGCAAUAUUUCUGGUACAAAUUGAAAUCUCCCUAAAACAUUUCAAACACGACGCAUAUAUUUUUUACUCCCCGUUUCUUAUAAAACUAUAUCAAGAAAAAACUACAAAAAAUCUUAAAUGAUAGGUUAAUAUAAAGGUUUGACAAUUUUUUCACAUUGAAGGUGUCGAUUAUUUCGAAGGUACAAUAAGGUAGAACUAUUUCAACACUACGAUUCCAAAAAGUUACAUUUCUCCAUAAAAAAUCUAAAGAUCCAAACUUGAAUAAUUUCUUCGCUAGAUUCCCAAAGCUAUAUUUGUCUAAGCAAACCCUAAAAGGUAAAUUUUUUUUCAAUGCCCCAAGGAAAGCUUGCUAUAUUUCUGGUACAAAGUGAAAUCUUCAAAAAACAUUUCAAAUACGACGCAUACAUUAUUUACUCCCCGUUUCUUAUAAAACUAUAUCAAGAAAAAACUACAAUAAAUCUUAAAUGAUACAUUAAUACAAAGGUUUGACAAUUUUUUCACAUUGAAGGUGUCGAUUAUUUCGAAGGUACAAUAAGCUAGAACUAUUUCAACACUACGAUUCCAAAAAGCUACAUUUCUCCAUGAAAAAUCAAAAGAUCCAAACUUGAAUAAUUUCUAAAAGUUUCCCAAAGCUAUAUUGGUCUAAGCAAAACCUAAAAGGUAAAUCAUUGUUCAAUGCUACAACGAAAGCUUGCAAUAUUACUGAUAAAAAGUGAAAUCUCCCAAAAACAUUUCAAAUACGACGCAUAUAUUUUUUACUCCCCGUUUCUUAUAAAACUAUAUCAAGAAAAAACUACAAAAAAUCUUAAAUGAUAGAUUAAUAUAAAGGUUUGACAAUUUUUUCACAUUGAAGGUGUCGAUUAUUUCGAAGGUACAAUAAGGUAGAACUAUUUCAACACUACGAUUCCAAAAAGUUACAUUUCUCCAUAAAGAUCAAAAGAUCCAAACUUGAAUAAUUUCUUCGCUAGAUUCCCAAAGCUAUAUUUGUCUAAGCAAAACCUAAAAGGUAAAUUUUUUUUCAAUGCUACAAGGAAAGCUUGCAAUAUUUCUGGUACAAAAAGAAAUCUUCCAAAACAUUUUAAAUACGACGCAUACAUUGUUUACUCCCCGUUUCUUAUAAAACUAUAUCAAGAAAAAACUACAAAAAAUCUUAAAUGAUAGGUUAAUAUAAAGGUUUGACAAUUUUUUCACAUUGAAGGUGUCGAUUAUUUCGAAGGUACAAUAAGGUAGAACUAUUUCAACACUACGAUUCCAAAAAGUUACAUUCCUCUAUGAAAAAUCAAAAGAUCCAAACUUGAAUAAUUUCUUCGCUAGAUUGCCAAAGCUAUAUUUGUCUUGGCAAAACCUAAAAGGUAAAUUUUUUUUCAAUGCUACAAGGAAAGCUUGCAAUAUUUCUGGUACAAAGUGAAAUCUUCAAAAAACAUUUCAAAUACGACGCAUACAUUAUUUACUCCCCGUUUCUUAUAAAACUAUAUCAAGAAAAAACUACAAUAAAUCUUAAAUGAUACAUUAAUACAAAGGUUUGACAAUUUUUUCACAUUGAAGGUGUCGAUUAUUUCGAAGGUACAAUAAGCUAGAACUAUUUCAACACUACGAUUCCAAAAAGUUACAGUUCUCCAUGAAAAAUCAAAAGAUCCAAACUUGCAUAAUUUCUUCGCUAGUUUCCCAAAGCUAUAUUUGUCUAAGCAAAACCUAAAAGGUAAAUCAUUGUUCAAUGCUACAACGAAAGCUUGCAAUAUUACUGGUACAAAGUGAAAUCUCCCAAAAACAUUUCAAAUACGACACUUACAUUGUUUACUCCCCGUUUAUAAUAAAACUAUAUCAAGACAAAACUACAAUAAAUCUUAAAUGAUACAUUAAUACACAGGUUUGACAAUUUUUGCACAUUGAAGGUGUAGAUUAUUUCGAAGGUACAAUAAGGUAGAACUAUUUCAACACUACGAUUUCAAAAAGUUACAUUCCUCUAUGAAAAAUCAAAGGAUCCAAACUUGAAUAAUUUCUUCGCUAGUUUCCCAAAGCUAUAUUGGUCUAAGCAAAACCUAAAAGGUAAAUCAUUGUUCAAUGCUACAACGAAAGCUUGCAAUAUUACUGAUACAAAGUGAAAUCUCCCAAAAACAUUUCGAAUACGACGCAUAUAUUUUUUACUCCCCGUUUCUUAUAAAACUAUAUCAAGAAAAAACUACAAAAAAUCUUAAAUGAUAGAUUAAUAUAAAGGUUUGACAAUUUUUUCACAUUGAAGGUGUCGGUUAUUUCGAAGGUACAAUAAGCUAGAACUAUUUCAACACUACGAUUCCAAAAAGUGACAUUUCUCCAUGAAAAAUCAAAAGAUCCAAACUUGAAUAAUUUCUUCGCUAGAUUCCCAAAGCUAUAUUGGUCCAAGCAAAACCUAAAAGGUAAAAUUUUUUUUUAAUGCUACAACGAAAGCUUGCAAUAUUUCUGGUACAAAGUGAAAUCUCCCAAAAACAUUCCAAAUACGACGCAUAUAUUUUUUACUCCCCGUUUCUUAUAAAUCUAUAUCGAGAAAAAACUAGAAUAAAUCUUAAAUGAUACAUUAAUACAAAGGUUUGACAAUUUUUUCACAUUGAAGGUGUCGAUUAUUUCGAAGGUACAGUAAGCUAGAACUAUUUCAACACUACGAUUCCAAAAAGUGACAUUUCUCCAUGAAAAAUCAAAAGAUCCAAACUUGAAUAAUUUCUUCGCUAGUUUCCCAAAGCUAUAUUGGUCUAAGCAAAACCUAAAAGGUAAAUCAUUGUUCAAUGCUACAACGAAAGCUUGCAAUAUUACUGGUACAAAAUGAAAUCUCCCAAAAACAUUUCAAAUACGACGCAUAUAUUUUUUACUCCCCGUUUCUUAUAAAACUAUAUCAAGAAAAACUACAAAAAAUCUUAAGUGAUAGAUUAAUAUAAAGGUUUGACAAUUUUUUCACAUUGAAGGUGUCGAUUAUUUCGAAGGUACAAUAAGUUAGAAGUAUUUCAACACUACGAUUCCAAAAAGUUACAUUUCUCCAUGAAAAAUCAAAAGAUCCAAACUUGAAUAAUUUCUUCGCUAGAUUCCCAAAGCUAUAUUGGUCCAAGCAAAACCUAAAAGGUAAAAUUUUUUUUUUAAUGCUACAACGAAAGCUUGCAAUAUUUCUGGUACAAAGUGAAAUCUCCCAAAAACAUUUCAAAUACGACGCAUAUAUUUUUUACUCCCCGUUUCUUAUAAAACUAUAUCAAGAAAAACUACAAAAAAUCUUAAAUGAUACAUUAAUACAAAGGUUUGACAAUUUUUUCACAUUGAAGGUGUCGAUUAUUUCGAAGAUACAAUAAGCUAGAACUAUUUCAACACUACGAUUCCAAAAAGUUACAUUUCUCCAUGAAAAAUCAAAAGAUCCAAACUUGAAUAAUUUCUUCGCUAGAUUCCCAAAGCUAUAUUGGUCCAAGCAAAACCUAAAAGGUAAAAUUUUUUUUUAAUGCUACAACGAAAGCUUGCAAUAUUUCUGGUACAAAGUGAAAUCUCCCAAAAACAUUUCAAAUACGACGCAUAUAUUUUUUACUCCCCGUUUCUUAUAAAACUAUAUCAAGAAAAACUACAAAAAAUCUUAAAUGAUAGAUUAAUAUAAAGGUUUGACAAUUUUUUCGCAUUGAAGGUGUCGAUUAUUUCGAAGGUACAAUAAGCUAGAACUAUUUCAACACUACGAUUCCAAAAAGUUACAUUUCUCCAUGAAAAAUCAAAAGAUCCAAACUUGAAUAAUUUCUUCGCUAGUUUCCCAAAGCUAUAUUUGUCUAAGCAAAACCUAAAAGGUAAAUCAUUGUUCAAUGCUACAACGAAUGCUUGCAAUAUUACUGGUACAAAGUGAAAUCUCCCAAAACCAUUUCAAAUACGACGCUUACAUUGUUUACUCCCCGUUUAUAAUAAAACUAUAUCAAGAAAAAACUACAAUAAAUCUUAAAUGAUACAUUAAUACACAGGUUUGACAAUUUUUGCACAUUGAAGGUGUAGAUUAUUUCGAAGGUACAAUAAGGUAGAACUAUUUCAACACUACGAUUCCAAAAAGUUACAUUCCUCUAUGAAAAAUCAAAGGAUCCAAACUUGAAUAAUUUCUUCGCUAGUUUCCCAAAGCUAUAUUGGUCUAAGCAAAACCUAAAAGGUAAAUCAUUGUUCAAUGCUACAACGAAAGCUUGCAAUAUUACUGGUACAAAGUGAAAUCUCCCACAAGCAUUUCAAAUACGACGCUUACAUUGUUUACUCCCCGUUUCUUAUAAAACUAUAUCGGGAAAAAACUACAAUAAAUCUUAAAUGAUAUAUUAAUACAAAGGUUUGACAAUUUUUGCAUAUUGAAGGUGUAGAUUAUUUCGAAGGUACAAUAAGGUAGAACUAUUUCAACACUACGAUUCCAAAAAGUUAUAUUUCUCUAUGAAAAAUCAAAAGGUCCAAAUUUGAAUAAUGUGUCGCUAGAUUCUCAAAGCUAUAUUUGUUCAAGCAAAACCGAAAAGUCUAUUUUUAUUUGAAUGAUACAAAGAAAGCUUGCAAAAUUUCUGGUUGAAACUGAAAUCUCCCAACAACAUUUCAAAUACGACGCAUACAUUUUUUACUCCCCGUUUCUUAUAAAUCUAUAUCAACAAAAAACUACAAUAAAUCUUAAAUGAUACAUUAAUACAAAGGUUUGACAAUUUUUUCAGAUUGAAGGUGUCGAUUAUUUCGAAGGUACAAUAAGGUAGAACUAUUUCAACACUACGAUUCCAAAAAGUUACAUUUCUCCAUAAAAAAUCAAAAGAUCCAAACUUGAAUAAUUUCUUCGCUAGAUUGCCAAAGCUAUAUUUGUCUAAGCAAAACCUAAAAGGUAAAUUUUUUUUCAAUGCUACAAGGAAACCUUGCAAUAUUUCUGGUACAAAAAGAAAUCUUCCAAAAACAUUUCAAAUACGACGCAUACAUUAUUUACUCCCCGUUUCUUAUAAAACUAUAUCAAGAAAAAACUACAAUAAAUCUUAAAUGAUACAUUAAUACAAAUGUUUGACAAUUUUUGCACAUUGAAGGUGUAGGUUACUUCGAAGGUACAAUAAGGUAGAACUAUUUCAGCACUACGAUUCCAAAAAGUUACAUUUCUCUAUGAAAAAUCAAAAGAUCCAAACUUGAAUAAUUUCUUCGCUAGAUUCCCAAAGCUAUAUUUGUCUAAGCAAACCCUAAAAGGUAAAUUUUUUUUCAAUGCUACAAAGAAAGCUUGCAAUAUUUCUGGUACAAAAAGAAAUCUUCCAAAAACAUUUCAAAUACGACGCAUACAUUGUCUACUCCCCGUUUCUUAUAAAACUAUAUCAAGAAAAAACUACAAAAAAUCUUAAAUGAUAGGUUAAUAUAAAGGUUUGACAAUUUUUUCACAUUGAUGGUGUCGAUUAUUUCGAAGGUACAAUAAGGUAGAACUAUUUCAACACUACGAUUCCAAAAAGUUACAUUUCUCCAUGAAAAAUUAAAAGAUCCAAACUUGAAUAAUUUCUUCGCUAGAUUCCAAAGCUAUAUUGGUCUAAGCAAAACCUAAAAGGUAACUCAUUUUUCAAUGCUACAACGAAGGCUUGCAAUAUUUCUGGUACAAAGUGAAAGCUCCCAAAAACAUUUCAAAUACGACGCAUAUAUUUUUUACUCCCCGUUUCUUAUAAAACUAUAUCAAGAAAAAACUACAAAAAAUCUUAAAUGAUAGGUUAAUAUAAAGGUUUGACAAUUUUUUCACAUUGAAGGAGUUGAUUAUUUCGAAGGUACAAUAAGGUAGAACUAUUUCAACACUACGAUUCCAAAAAGUUACAUUUCUCCAUAAAAAAUCAAAAGAUCCAAACUUGAAUAAUUUCUUCGCUAGAUUCCCAAAGCUAUAUUUGUCUAAGCAAAACCUAAAAGGUAAAUUUUUUUUUCAAUGCUACAAGGAAAGCUUGCAAUAUUUCUGGUACAAAGUGAAAUCUUCCAAAAACAUUUCAAAUACGACGCAUACCUUGUUUACUCACCGUUUCUUAUAAAACUAUAUCAAGAAAAAACUACAAUAAAUCUUAAAUGAUACAUGAGUACAAAGGUUUGACAAUUUUUUCACAUUGAAGGAGUAGAAUAUUUCGAAGGUACAAAAAGGUACAAUGAUUUCAACACUACGAUUCCAAAAAGUUAUAUUCCUCUAUGAAAAAUCAAAAGAUCCAAACUUGAGUAAUUUCUUCGCUAAAUUCCCAAAGCUAUAUUUGUCUAAGCAAAUCCUAGAAGGUAAUUUUGUUUCAAUGCUACAAGGAAAGCUUGCAAUAUUUCUGGUACAAAAGAAAUCUUCCAAAAACAUUUCAAAUACGACGCAUACAUUGUUUACUCCCCGUUUCUUAUAAAACUAUAUCAAGAAAAAACUACAAUAAAUAUUAAAUGAUACAUUAAUACACAGGUUUGACAAUUUUUGCACAUUGAAGGUGUAGAUUAUUUCGAAGGUACAAUAAGGUAGAACUAUUUCAACACUACGAUUCCAAAAAGUUACAUUCCUCUAUGCAAAAUCAAAAGAUCCAAACUUGAAUAAUUUCUUCGCUAGUUUCCCAAAGCUAUAUUGGUCUAAGCAAAACCUAAAAGGUAAAUCAUUGUUCAAUGCUACAACGACAGCUUGCAAUAUUACUGGUACAAAGUGAUAUCUCCCAAAAACAUUUCAAAUACGACGCAUAUAUUUUUUACUCCCCGUUUCUUAUAAAACUAUAUCAAGAAAAAAUUACAAAAAAUCUUAAAUGAUAGGUUAAUAUAAAGGUUUGACAAUUUUUUCACAUUGAAGGUGUCGAUUAUUUCGAAGGUACAAUAAGCUAGAACUAUUUCAACACUACGAUUCCAAAAAGUUACAUUUCUCCAUGAAAAAUCAAAAGAUCCAAACUUGAAUAAUUUCUUCGCUAGAUUCCAAAGCUAUAUUGGUCUAAGCAAAACCUAAAAGGUAACUCAUUUUUCAAUGCUACAACGAAAGCUUGCAAUAUUUCUGGUACAAAUUGAAAUCUCCCAAAAACAUUUCAAACACGACGCAUAUAUUUUUUACUCCCCGUUUCUUAUAAAACUAUAUCAAGAAAAAACUACAAAAAAUCUUAAAUGAUAGGUUAAUAUAAAGGUUUGACAAUUUUUUCACAUUGAAGGUGUCGAUUAUUUCGAAGGUACAAUAAGGUAGAACUAUUUCAACACUACGAUUCCAAAAAGUUACAUUUCUCCAUAAAAAAUCUAAAGAUCCAAACUUGAAUAAUUUCUUCGCUAGAUUCCCAAAGCUAUAUUUGUCUAAGCAAAACCUAAAAGGUAAAUUUUUUUUCAAUGCUACAAGGAAAGCUUGCAAUAUUUCUGGUACAAAGUGAAAUCUUCCAAAAACAUUUCAAAUACGACGCAUACCUUGUUUACUCACCGUUUCUUAUAAAACUAUAUCAAGAAAAAACUACAAUAAAUCUUAAAUGAUACAUUAAUACAAAUGUUUGACAAUUUUUGCACAUUGAAGGUGUAGGUUACUUCGAAGGUACAAUAAGGUAGAACUAUUUCAGCACUACGAUUCCAAAAAGUUACAUUUCUCUAUGAAAAAUCAAAAGAUCCAAACUUGAAUAAUUUCUUCGCUAGAUUCCCAAAGCUAUAUUUGUCUAAGCAAACCCUAAAAGGUAAAUUUUUUUUCAAUGCUACAAAGAAAGCUUGCAAUAUUUCUGGCACAAAAAGAAAUCUUCCAAAAACAUUUCAAAUACGACGCAUACAUUGUUUACUCCCCGUUUCUUAUAAAACUAUAUCAAGAAAAAACUACAAAAAAUCUUAAAUGAUAGGUUAAUAUAAAGGUUUGACAAUUUUUUCACAUUGAAGGUGUCGAUUAUUUCGAAGGUACAAUAAGGUAGAACUAUUUCAACACUACGAUUCCAAAAAGUUACAUUCCUCUAUGAAAAAUCAAAAGAUCCAAACUUGAAUAAUUUCUUCGCUAGAUUGCCAAAGCUAUAUUUGUCUUGGCAAAACCUAAAAGGUAAAUUUUUUUUUCAAUGCUACAAGGAAAGCUUGCAAUAUUUCUGGUACAAAGUGAAAUCUUCAAAAAACAUUUCAAAUACGACGCAUAUAUUUUUUACUCCCCGUUUCUUAUAAAUCUAUAUCAAGAAAAAACUACAAUAAAUCUUAAAUGAUACAUUAAUACAAAGGUUUGACAAUUUUUUCACAUUGAAGGUGUCGAUUAUUUCGAAGGUACAAUAAGGUAGAACUAUUUCAACACUACGAUUCCAAAAAGUUACAUUUCUCCAUGAAAAAUCAAAAGAUCCAAACUUGAAUAAUUUCUUCGCUAGAUUCCCAAAGCUAUAUUGGUCUAAGCAAAACCUAAAAGGUAAAAUUUUUUUUCAAUGCUACAACGAAAGCUUGCAAUAUUUCUGGUACAAAGUGAAAUCUCCCAAAAACAUUUCAAAUACGACGCAUAUAUUUUUUACUCCCCGUUUCUUAUAAAUCUAUAUCAAGAAAAAACUACAAUAAAUCUUAAAUGAUACAUUAAUACAAAGGUUUGACAAUUUUUUCACAUUGAAGGUGUCGAUUAUUUCGAAGGUACAAUAAGCUAGAACUAUUUCAACACUACGAUUCCAAAAAGUUACAGUUCUCCAUGAAAAAUCAAAAGAUCCAAACUUGCAUAAUUUCUUCGCUAGUUUCCCAAAGCUAUAUUUGUCUAAGCAAAACCUAAAAGGUAAAUCAUUGUUCAAUGCUACAACGAAAGCUUGCAAUAUUACUGGUACAAAGUGAAAUCUCCCAAAAACAUUUCAAAUACGACACUUACAUUGUUUACUCCCCGUUUAUAAUAAAACUAUAUCAAGACAAAACUACAAUAAAUCUUAAAUGAUACAUUAAUACACAGGUUUGACAAUUUUUGCACAUUGAAGGUGUAGAUUAUUUCGAAGGUACAAUAAGGUAGAACUAUUUCAACACUACGAUUUCAAAAAGUUACAUUCCUCUAUGAAAAAUCAAAGGAUCCAAACUUGAAUAAUUUCUUCGCUAGUUUCCCAAAGCUAUAUUGGUCUAAGCAAAACCUAAAAGGUAAAUCAUUGUUCAAUGCUACAACGAAAGCUUGCAAUAUUACUGGUACAAAGUGAAAUCUCCCAAAAACAUUUCAAAUACGACGCAUAUAUUUUUUACUCCCCGUUUCUUAUAAAACUAUAUCAAGAAAAACUACAAUAAAUCUUAAAUGAUAGAUUAAUAUAAAGGUUUGACAAUUUUUUCACAUUGAAGGUGUCGAUUAUUUCGAAGGUACAAUAAGCUAGAACUAUUUCAACACUACGAUUCCAAAAAGUUACAUUUCUCCAUGAAAAAUCAAAAGAUCCAAACUUGAAUAAUUUCUUCGCUAGAUUCCCAAAGCUAUAUUGGUCCAAGCAAAACCUAAAAGGUAAAAUUUUUUUUUUAAUGCUACAACGAAAGCUUGCAAUAUUUCUGGUACAAAGUGAAAUCUCCCAAAAACAUUCCAAAUACGACGCAUAUAUUUUUUACUCCCCGUUUCUUAUAAAUCUAUAUCGAGAAAAAACUAGAAUAAAUCUUAAAUGAUACAUUAAUACAAAGGUUUGACAAUUUUUUCACAUUGAAGGUGUCGAUUAUUUCGAAGGUACAGUAAGCUAGAACUAUUUCAACACUACGAUUCCAAAAAGUGACAUUUCUCCAUGAAAAAUCAAAAGAUCCAAACUUGAAUAAUUUCUUCGCUAGUUUCCCAAAGCUAUAUUGGUCUAAGGAAAACCUAAAAGGUAAAUCAUUGUUCAAUGCUACAACGAAAGCUUGCAAUAUUACUGGUACAAAAUGAAAUCUCCCAAAAACAUUUCAAAUACGACGCAUAUAUUUUUUACUCCCCGUUUCUUAUAAAACUAUAUCAAGAAAAACUACAAAAAAUCUUAAGUGAUAGAUUAAUAUAAAGGUUUGACAAUUUUUUCACAUUGAAGGUGUCGAUUAUUUCGAAGGUACAAUAAGGUAGAAGUAUUUCAACACUACGAUUCCAAAAAGUUACAUUUCUCCAUGAAAAAUCAAAAGAUCCAAACUUGAAUAAUUUCUUCGCUAGAUUCCCAAAGCUAUAUUGGUCCAAGCAAAACCUAAAAGGUAAAAUUUUUUUUUAAUGCUACAACGAAAGCUUGCAAUAUUUCUGGUACAAAGUGAAAUCUCCCAAAAACAUUUCAAAUACGACGCAUAUAUUUUUUACUCCCCGUUUCUUAUAAAACUAUAUCAAGAAAAACUACAAAAAAUCUUAAAUGAUACAUUAAUACAAAGGUUUGACAAUUUUUUCACAUUGAAGGUGUCGAUUAUUUCGAAGGUACAAUAAGCUAGAACUAUUUCAACACUACGAUUCCAAAAAGUUACAUUUCUCCAUGAAAAAUCAAAAGAUCCAAACUUGAAUAAUUUCUUCGCUAGAUUCCCAAAGCUAUAUUGGUUCAAGCAAAACCUAAAAGGUAAAAUUUUUUUUUAAUGCUACAACGAAAGCUUGCAAUAUUUCUGGUACAAAGUGAAAUCUCCCAAAAACAUUUCAAAUACGACGCAUAUAUUUUUUACUCCCCGUUUCUUAUAAAACUAUAUCAAGAAAAACUACAAAAAAUCUUAAAUGAUAGAUUAAUAUAAAGGUUUGACAAUUUUUUCGCAUUGAAGGUGUCGAUUAUUUCGAAGGUACAAUAAGCUAGAACUAUUUCAACACUACGAUUCCAAAAAGUUACAUUUCUCCAUGAAAAAUCAAAAGAUCCAAACUUGAAUAAUUUCUUCGCUAGAUUCCAAAGCUAUAUUGGUCUAAGCAAAACCUAAAAGGUAACUCAUUUUUCAAUGCUACAACGAAAGCUUGCAAUAUUUCUGGUACAAAUUGAAAUCUCCCAAAAACAUUUCAAACACGACUCAUAUAUUUUUUACUCCCCGUUUCUUAUAAAACUAUAUCAAGAAAAAACUACAAAAAAUCUUAAAUGAUAGGUUAAUAUAAAGGUUUGACAAUUUUUUCACAUUGAAGGUGUCGAUUAUUUCGAAGGUACAAUAAGGUAGAACUAUUUCAACACUACGAUUCCAAAAAGUUACAUUUCUCCAUAAAAAAUCUAAAGAUCCAAACUUGAAUAAUUUCUUCGCUAGAUUCCCAAAGCUAUAUUUGUCUAAGCAAAACCUAAAAGGUAAAUUUUUUUUCAAUGCUACAAGGAAAGCUUGCAAUAUUUCUGGUACAAAGUGAAAUCUUCCAAAAACAUUUCAAAUACGACGCAUACCUUGUUUACUCACCGUUUCUUAUAAAACUAUAUCAAGAAAAAACUACAAUAAAUCUUAAAUGAUACAUUAAUACAAAUGUUUGACAAUUUUUGCACAUUGAAGGUGUAGGUUACUUCGAAGGUACAAUAAGGUAGAACUAUUUCAGCACUACGAUUCCAAAAAGUUACAUUUCUCUAUGAAAAAUCAAAAGAUCCAAACUUGAAUAAUUUCUUCGCUAGAUUCCCAAAGCUAUAUUUGUCUAAGCAAACCCUAAAAGGUAAAUUUUUUUUCAAUGCUACAAAGAAAGCUUGCAAUAUUUCUGGCACAAAAAGAAAUCUUCCAAAAACAUUUCAAAUACGACGCAUACAUUGUUUACUCCCCGUUUCUUAUAAAACUAUAUCAAGAAAAAACUACAAAAAAUCUUAAAUGAUAGGUUAAUAUAAAGGUUUGACAAUUUUUUCACAUUGAAGGUGUCGAUUAUUUCGAAGGUACAAUAAGGUAGAACUAUUUCAACACUACGAUUCCAAAAAGUUACAUUCCUCUAUGAAAAAUCAAAAGAUCCAAACUUGAAUAAUUUCUUCGCUAGAUUGCCAAAGCUAUAUUUGUCUUGGCAAAACCUAAAAGGUAAAUUUUUUUUUCAAUGCUACAAGGAAAGCUUGCAAUAUUUCUGGUACAAAGUGAAAUCUUCAAAAAACAUUUCAAAUACGACGCAUACAUUAUUUACUCCCCGUUUCUUAUAAAACUAUAUCAAGAAAAAACUACAAUAAAUCUUAAAUGAUACAUUAAUACAAAGGUUUGACAAUUUUUGCACAUUGAAGGCGUAGGUUACUUCGAAGGUACAAUAAGUUAGAACUAUUUCAACACUACGAUUCCAAAAAGUUACAUUUCUAAAUAAAAAAUCAAAAGAUCGAAACUUGAAUAAUUUCUUCGCUAGAUUCCCAAAGCUAUAUUUGUCUUGGCAAAACCUAAAAGGUAAAUUUUUUUUCAAUGCUACAAGGAAAGCUUGCUAUAUUUCUGGUACAAAGUGAAAUCUUCAAAAAACAUUUCAAAUACGACGCAUACAUUAUUUACUCCCCGUUUCUUAUAAAACUAUAUCAAGAAAAAACUACAAUAAAUCUUAAAUGAUACAUUAAUACAAAGGUUUGACAAUUUUUUCACAUUGAAGGUGUCGAUUAUUUCGAAGGUACAAUAAGCUAGAACUAUUUCAACACUACGAUUCCAAAAAGCUACAUUUCUCCAUGAAAAAUCAAAAGAUCCAAACUUGAAUAAUUUCUAAAAGUUUCCCAAAGCUAUAUUGGUCUAAGCAAAACCUAAAAGGUAAAUCAUUGUUCAAUGCUACAACGAAAGCUUGCAAUAUUACUGAUACAAAGUGAAAUCUCCCAAAAACAUUUCAAAUACGACGCAUAUAUUUUUUACUCCCCGUUUCUUAUAAAACUAUAUCAAGAAAAAACUACAAAAAAUCUUAAAUGAUAGAUUAAUAUAAAGGUUUGACAAUUUUUUCACAUUGAAGGUGUCGAUUAUUUCGAAGGUACAAUAAGGUAGAACUAUUUCAACACUACGAUUCCAAAAAGUUACAUUUCUCCAUAAAAAUCAAAAGAUCCAAACUUGAAUAAUUUCUUCGCUAGAUUCCCAAAGCUAUAUUUGUCUAAGCAAAACCUAAAAGGUAAAUUUUUUUUCAAUGCUACAAGGAAAGCUUGCAAUAUUUCUGGUACAAAAAGAAAUCUUCCAAAAACAUUUCAAAUACGACGCAUACAUUGUUUACUCCCCGUUUCUUAUAAAUCUAUAUCAAGAAAAAACUACAAUAAAUCUUAAAUGAUACAUUAAUACAAAGGUUUGACAAUUUUUUCACAUUGAAGGUGUCGAUUAUUUCGAAGGUACAAUAAGCUAGAACUAUUUCAACACUACGAUUCCAAAAAGUUACAUUUCUCCAUGAAAAAUCAAAAGAUCCAAACUUGAAUAAUUUCUUCGCUAGUUUCCCAAAGGUAUAUUGGUCUAAGCAAAACCUAAAAGGUAAAUCAUUGUUCAAUGCUACAACGAAAGCUUGCAAUAUUACUGAUACAAAGUGAAAUCUCCCAAAAACAUUUCGAAUACGACGUAUAUAUUUUUUACUCCCCGUUUCUUAUAAAACUAUAUCAAGAAAAAACUACAAAAAAUCUUAAAUGAUAGAUUAAUAUAAAGGUUUGACAAUUUUUUCACAUUGAAGGUGUCGAUUAUUUCGAAGGUACAAUAAGGUAGAACUAUUUCAACACUACGAUUCCAAAAAGUUACAUUUCUCCAUAAAAAUCAAAAGAUCCAAACUUGAAUAAUUUCUUCGCUAGAUUCCCAAAGCUAUAUUUGUCUAAGCAAAACCUAAAAGGUAAAUUUUUUUUCAAUGCUACAAGGAAAGCUUGCAAUAUUUCUGGUACAAAGUGAAAUCUCCCAAAAACAUUUCAAAUACGACGCUUACAUUGUUUACUCCCCGUUUCUUAUAAAACUAUAUCGAGAAAAAACUACCAUUAAUCUUAAAUGAUACAUUAAUACAAAGGUUUGACAAUUUUUACAUAUUGAAGGUGUAGAUUAUUUCGAAGGUACAAUAAGGUAGAACUAUUUCAACUCUACGAUUCCAAAAAGUUAUAUUUCUCUAUGAAAAAUCAAAAGGUCCAUAUUUGAAUAAUGUCUCGCUAGAUUCUUAAAGCUAUAUUUGCUCAAGCAAACCGAAAAGUCUAUUUUUAUUUGAAUGAUACAAAGAAAGCUUGCAAAAUUUCUGGUUGAAACUGAAAUCUCCCAACAACAUUUCAAAUACGACGCAUACAUUUUUUACUCCCCGUUUCUUAUAAAUCUGUAUCAAGAAAAAACUACAAUAUAUCUUAAAUGAUACAUUAAUACAAAGGUUUGACAAUUUUUUCACAUUGAAGGUGUCGAUUAUUUCGAAGGUACAAUAAGCUAGAACUAUUUCAACACUACGAUUCCAAAAAGCUACAUUUCUCCAUGAAAAAUCAAAAGAUCCAAACUUGAAUAAUUUCUAAAAGUUUCCCAAAGCUAUAUUGGUCUAAGCAAAACCUAAAUGGUAAAUCAUUGUUCAAUGCUACAACGAAAGCUUGCAAUAUUACUGAUACAAAGUGAAAUCUCCCAAAAACAUUUCAAAUACGACGCAUAUAUUUUUUACUCCCCGUUUCUUAUAAAACUAUAUCAAGAAAAAACUACAAAAAAUCUUAAAUGAUAGAUUAAUAUAAAGGUUUGACAAUUUUUUCACAUUGAAGGUGUCGAUUAUUUCGAAGGUACAAUAAGGUAGAACUAUUUCAACACUACGAUUCCAAAAAGUUACAUUUCUCCAUAAAAAUCAAAAGAUCCAAACUUGAAUAAUUUCUUCGCUAGAUUCCCAAAGCUAUAUUUGUCUAAGCAAAACCUAAAAGGUAAAUUUUUUUUCAAUGCUACAAGGAAAGCUUGCAAUAUUUCUGGUACAAAAAGAAAUCUUCCAAAAACAUUUCAAAUACGACGCAUACAUUGUUUACUCCCCGUUUCUUAUAAAUCUAUAUCAAGAAAAAACUACAAUAAAUCUUAAAUGAUACAUUAAUACAAAGGUUUGACAAUUUUUUCACAUUGAAGGUGUCGAUUAUUUCGAAGGUACAAUAAGCUAGAACUAUUUCAACACUACGAUUCCAAAAAGUUACAUUUCUCCAUGAAAAAUCAAAAGAUCCAAACUUGAAUAAUUUCUUCGCUAGUUUCCCAAAGGUAUAUUUGUCUAAGCAAAACCUAAAAGGUAAAUCAUUGUUCAAUGCUACAACGAAAGCUUGCAAUAUUACUGAUACAAAGUGAAAUCUCCCAAAAACAUUUCGAAUACGACGCAUAUAUUUUUUACUCCCCGUUUCUUAUAAAACUAUAUCAAGAAAAAACUACAAAAAAUCUUAAAUGAUAGAUUAAUAUAAAGGUUUGACAAUUUUUUCACAUUGAAGGUGUCGAUUAUUUCGAAGGUACAAUAAGGUAGAACUAUUUCAACACUACGAUUCCAAAAAGUUACAUUUCUCCAUAAAAAUCAAAAGAUCCAAACUUGAAUAAUUUCUUCGCUAGAUUCCCAAAGCUAUAUUUGUCUAAGCAAAACCUAAAAGGUAAAUUUUUUUUCAAUGCUACAAGGAAAGCUUGCAAUAUUUCUGGUACAAAAAGAAAUCUUCCAAAAACAUUUCAAAUACGACGCAUACAUUGUUUACUCCCCGUUUCUUAUAAAUCUAUAUCAAGAAAAAACUACAAUAAAUCUUAAAUGAUACAUUAAUACAAAGGUUUGACAAUUUUUUCACAUUGAAGAUGUCGAUUGUUUCGAAAGUACAAUAAGGUAGAACUAUUUCAACACUAUGAUUCCAAAAAGUUACAUUUCUCCAUAAAAAAUCAGAAGAUCCAAACUUGAAUAAUUUCUUCGCUAGAUUCCCAAAGCUAUAUAUUUGUAUAAGCAAAACCUAAAAGGUAAAUUUUUUUUCAAUGCUACAAGGAAAGCUUGCAAUAUUUCUGGUACAAAGUGAAAUCUCCCAAAAAUAUUUCAAAUACGACGCUUACAUUGUUUACUCCCCGUUUCUUAUAAAACUAUAUCGAGAAAAAACUACCAUUAAUCUUAAAUGAUACAUUAAUACAAAGGUUUGACAAUUUUUGCAUAUUGAAGGUGUAGAUUAUUUCGAAGGUACAAUAAGGUAGAACUAUUUCAACACUACGAUUCCAAAAAGUUAUAUUUCUCUAUGAAAAAUCAAAAGGUCCAAAUUUGAAUAAUGUCUCGCUAGAUUCUCAAAGCUAUAUUUGCUCAAGCAAACCGAAAAGUCUAUUUUUAUUUGAAUGAUACAAAGAAAGCUUGCAAAAUUUCUGGUUGAAACUGAAAUCUCCCAACAACAUUUCAAAUACGACGCAUACAUUUUUUACUCCCCGUUUCUUAUAAAUCUGUAUCAAGAAAAAACUACAAUAUAUCUUAAAUGAUACAUUAAUACAAAGGUUUGACAAUUUUUUCACAUUGAAGGUGUCGAUUAUUUCGAAGGUACAAUAAGCUAGAACUAUUUCAACACUACGAUUCCAAAAAGCUACAUUUCUCCAUGAAAAAUCAAAAGAUCCAAACUUGAAUAAUUUCUAAAAGUUUCCCAAAGCUAUAUUGGUCUAAGCAAAACCUAAAAGGUAAAUCAUUGUUCAAUGCUACAACGAAAGCUUGCAAUAUUACUGAUACAAAGUGAAAUCUCCCAAAAACAUUUCAAAUACGACGCAUAUAUUUUUUACUCCCCGUUUCUUAUAAAACUAUAUCAAGAAAAAACUACAAAAAAUCUUAAAUGAUAGAUUAAUAUAAAGGUUUGACAAUUUUUUCACAUUGAAGGUGUCGAUUAUUUCGAAGGUACAAUAAGGUAGAACUAUUUCAACACUACGAUUCCAAAAAGUUACAUUUCUCCAUAAAAAUCAAAAGAUCCAAACUUGAAUAAUUUCUUCGCUAGAUUCCCAAAGCUAUAUUUGUCUAAGCAAAACCUAAAAGGUAAAUUUUUUUUCAAUGCUACAAGGAAAGCUUGCAAUAUUUCUGGUACAAAAAGAAAUCUUCCAAAAACAUUUCAAAUACGACGCAUACAUUGUUUACUCCCCGUUUCUUAUAAAUCUAUAUCAAGAAAAAACUACAAUAAAUCUUAAAUGAUACAUUAAUACAAAGGUUUGACAAUUUUUUCACAUUGAAGAUGUCGAUUGUUUCGAAGGUACAAUAAGGUAGAACUAUUUCAACACUAUGAUUCCAAAAAGUUACAUUUCUCCAUAAAAAAUCAGAAGAUCCAAACUUGAAUAAUUUCUUCGCUAGAUUCCCAAAGCUAUAUAUUUGUAUAAGCAAAACCUAAAAGGUAAAUUUUUUUUCAAUGCUACAAGGAAAGCUUGCAAUAUUUCUGGUACAAAGUGAAAUCUCCCAAAAAUAUUUCAAAUACGACGCUUACAUUGUUUACUCCCCGUUUCUUAUAAAACUAUAUCGAGAAAAAACUACCAUUAAUCUUAAAUGAUACAUUAAUACAAAGGUUUGACAAUUUUUGCAUAUUGAAGGUGUAGAUUAUUUCGAAGGUACAAUAAGGUAGAACUAUUUCAACACUACGAUUCCAAAAAGUUAUAUUUCUCUAUGAAAAAUCAAAAGGUCCAAAUUUGAAUAAUGUCUCGCUAGAUUCUCAAAGCUAUAUUUGCUCAAGCAAAACCGAAAAGUCUAUUUUUAUUUGAAUGAUACAAAGAAAGCUUGCAAAAUUUCUGGUUGAAACUGAAAUCUCCCAACAACAUUUCAAAUACGACGCAUACAUUUUUUAGUCCCCGUUUCUUAUAAAUCUAUAUCAAGAAAAAACUACAAUAAAUUUUAAAUGAUACAUUAAUACAAAGGUUUGACAGUUUUUUCACAUUGAAGGGGUCGAUUAUUUCGAAGGUACAAUAAGCUAGAACUAUUUCAACACUACGAUUCCAAAAAGCUACAUUUCUCCAUGAAAAAUCAAAAGAUCCAAACUUGAAUAAUUUCUAAAAGUUUCCCAAAGCUAUAUUGGUCUAAGCAAAACCUAAAAGGUAAAUCAUUGUUCAAUGCUACAACGAAAGCUUGCAAUAUUACUGAUAAAAAGUGAAAUCUCCCAAAAACAUUUCAAAUACGACGCAUAUAUUUUUUACUCCCCGUUUCUUAUAAAACUAUAUCAAGAAAAAACUACAAAAAAUCUUAAAUGAUAGAUUAAUAUAAAGGUUUGACAAUUUUUUCACAUUGAAGGUGUCGAUUAUUUCGAAGGUACAAUAAGGUAGAACUAUUUCAACACUACGAUUCCAAAAAGUUACAUUUCUCCAUAAAAAUCAAAAGAUCCAAACUUGAAUAAUUUCUUCGCUAGAUUCCCAAAGCUAUAUUGGUCUAAGCAAAACCUAAAAGGUAAAUUUUUUUUCAAUGCUACAAGGAAAGCUUGCAAUAUUUCUGGUACAAAAAGAAAUCUUCCAAAAACAUUUCAAAUACGACGCAUACAUUGUUUACUCCCCGUUUCUUAUAAAACUAUAUCAAGAAAAAACUACAAAAAAUCUUAAAUGAUAGGUUAAUAUAAAGGUUUGACAAUUUUUUCACAUUGAAGGUGUCGAUUAGUUCGAAGGUACAAUAAGGUAAAACUAUUUCAACACUACGAUUCCAAAAAGUUACAUUUCUCCAUAAAAAUCAAAAGAUCCAAACUUGAAUAAUUUCUUCGCUAGAUUCCCAAAGCUAUAUUUGUCUAAACAAAACCUAAAAGGUAAAUUUUUUUUCAAUGCUACAAGGAAAGCUUGCAAUAUUUCUGGUACAAAGUGAAAUCUCCCAAAAACAUUUCAAAUACGACGCUUACAUUGUUUACUCCCCGUUUCUUAUAAAACUAUAUCGAGAAAAAACUACCAUUAAUCUUAAAUGAUACAUUAAUACAAAAGUUUGACAAUUUUUACAUAUUGAAGGUGUAGAUUAUUUCGAAGGUACAAUAAGGUAGAACUAUUUCAACUCUACGAUUCCAAAAAGUUAUAUUUCUCUAUGAAAAAUCAAAAGGUCCAUAUUUGAAUAAUGUCUCGCUAGAUUCUCAAAGCUAUAUUUGCUCAAGCAAACCGAAAAGUCUAUUUUUAUUUGAAUGAUACAAAGAAAGCUUGCAAAAUUUCUGGUUGAAACUGAAAUCUCCCAACAACAUUUCAAAUACGACGCAUACAUUUUUUACUCCCCGUUUCUUAUAAAUCUGUAUCAAGAAAAAACUACAAUAUAUCUUAAAUGAUACAUUAAUACAAAGGUUUGACAAUUUUUUCACAUUGAAGGUGUCGAUUAUUUCGAAGGUACAAUAAGCUAGAACUAUUUCAACACUACGAUUCCAAAAAGCUACAUUUCUCCAUGAAAAAUCAAAAGAUCCAAACUUGAAUAAUUUCUAAAAGUUUCCCAAAGCUAUAUUGGUCUAAGCAAAACCUAAAAGGUAAAUCAUUGUUCAAUCCUACAACGAAAGCUUGCAAUAUUACUGAUACAAAGUGAAAUCUCCCAAAAACAUUUCAAAUACGACGCAUAUAUUUUUUACUCCCCGUUUCUUAUAAAACUAUAUCAAGAAAAAACUACAAAAAAUCUUAAAUGAUAGAUUAAUAUAAAGGUUUGACAAUUUUUUCACAUUGAAGGUGUCGAUUAUUUCGAAGGUACAAUAAGGUAGAACUAUUUCAACACUACGAUUCCAAAAAGUUACAUUUCUCCAUAAAAAUCAAAAGAUCCAAACUUGAAUAAUUUCUUCGCUACAUUCCCAAAGCUAUAUUUGUCUAAGCAAAACCUAAAAGGUAAAUUUUUUUUCAAUGCUACAAGGAAAGCUUGCAAUAUUUCUGGUACAAAAAGAAAUCUUCCAAAAACAUUUCAAAUACGACGCAUACAUUGUUUACUCCCCGUUUCUUAUAAAUCUAUAUCAAGAAAAAACUACAAUAAAUCUUAAAUGAUACAUUAAUACAAAGGUUUGACAAUUUUUUCACAUUGAAGGUGUCGAUUAUUUCGAAGGUACAAUAAGCUAGAACUAUUUCAACACUACGAUUCCAAAAAGUUACAUUUCUCCAUGAAAAAUCAAAAGAUCCAAACUUGAAUAAUUUCUUCGCUAGUUUCCCAAAGGUAUAUUGGUCUAAGCAAAACCUAAAAGGUAAAUCAUUGUUCAAUGCUACAACGAAAGCUUGCAAUAUUACUGAUACAAAGUGAAAUCUCCCAAAAACAUUUCGAAUACGACGCAUAUAUUUUUUACUCUCCGUUUCUUAUAAAACUAUAUCAAGAAAAAACUACAAAAAAUCUUAAAUGAUAGAUUAAUAUAAAGGUUUGACAAUUUUUUCACAUUGAAGGUGUCGAUUAUUUCGAAGGUACAAUAAGGUAGAACUAUUUCAACACUACGAUUCCAAAAAGUUACAUUUCUCCAUAAAAAUCAAAAGAUCCAAACUUGAAUAAUUUCUUCGCUAGAUUCCCAAAGCUAUAUUUGUCUAAGCAAAACCUAAAAGGUAAAUUUUUUUUCAAUGCUACAAGGAAAGCUUGCAAUAUUUCUGGUACAAAAAGAAAUCUUCCAAAAACAUUUCAAAUACGACGCAUACAUUGUUUACUCCCCGUUUCUUAUAAAUCUAUAUCAAGAAAAAACUACAAUAAAUGUUAAAUGAUACAUUAAUACAAAGGUUUGACAAUUUUUUCUCAUUGAAGAUGUCGAUUGUUUCGAAAGUACAAUAAGGUAGAACUAUUUCAACACUAUGAUUCCAAAAAGUUACAUUUCUCCAUAAAAAAUCAGAAGAUCCAAACUUGAAUAAUUUCUUCGCUAGAUUCCCAAAGCUAUAUAUUUGUAUAAGCAAAACCUAAAAGGUAAAUUUUUUUUCAAUGCUACAAGGAAAGCUUGCAAUAUUUCUGGUACAAAGUGAAGUCUCCCAAAAAUAUUUCAAAUACGACGCUUACAUUGUUUACUCCCCGUUUCUUAUAAAACUAUAUCGAGAAAAAACUACCAUUAAUCUUAAAUGAUACAUUAAUACAAAGGUUUGACAAUUUUUGCAUAUUGAAGGUGUAGAUUAUUUCGAAGGUACAAUAAGGUAGAACUAUUUCAACACUACGAUUCCAAAAAGUUAUAUUUCUCUAUGAAAAAUCAAAAGGUCCAAAUUUGAAUAAUGUCUCGCUAGAUUCUCAAAGCUAUAUUUGCUCAAGCAAAACCGAAAAGUCUAUUUUUAUUUGAAUGAUACAAAGAAAGCUUGCAAAAUUUCUGGUUGAAACUGAAAUCUCCCAACAACAUUUCAAAUACGACGCAUACAUUUUUUAGUCCCCGUUUCUUAUAAAUCUAUAUCAAGAAAAAACUACAAUAAAUCUUAUAUGAUACAUUAAUACAAAGGUUUGACAAUUUUUUCACAUUGAAGGGGUCGAUUAUUUCGAAGGUACAAUAAGCUAGAACUAUUUCAACACUACGAUUCCAAAAAGCUACAUUUCUCCAUGAAAAAUCAAAAGAUCCAAACUUGAAUAAUUUCUAAAAGUUUCCCAAAGCUAUAUUGGUCUAAGCAAAACCUAAAAGGUAAAUCAUUGUUCAAUGCUACAACGAAAGCUUGCAAUAUUACUGAUAAAAAGUGAAAUCUCCCAAAAACAUUUCAAAUACGACGCAUAUAUUUUUUACUCCCCGUUUCUUAUAAAACUAUAUCAAGAAAAAACUACAAAAAAUCUUAAAUGAUAGAUUAAUAUAAAGGUUUGACAAUUUUUUCACAUUGAAGGUGUCGAUUAUUUCGAAGGUACAAUAAGGUAGAACUAUUUCAACACUACGAUUCCAAAAAGUUACAUUUCUCCAUAAAAAUCAAAAGAUCCAAACUUGAAUAAUUUCUUCGCUAGAUUCCCAAAGCUAUAUUUGUCUAAGCAAAACCUAAAAGGUAAAUUUUUUUUCAAUGCUACAAGGAAAGCUUGCAAUAUUUCUGGUACCAAAAGAAAUCUUCAAAAAACAUUUCAAAUACGACGCAUACAUUAUUUACUCCCCGUUUCUUAUAAAACUAUAUCAAGAAAAAACUACAAUAAAUCUUAAAUGAUACAUUAAUACAAAGGUUUGACAAUUUUUGCACAUUGAAGGCGUAGGUUACUUCGAAGGUACAAUAAGGUAGAACUAUUUCAACACUACGAUUCCAAAAAGUUACAUUUCUAAAUAAAAAAUCAAAAGAUCCAAACUUGAAUAAUUUCUUCGCUAGAUUCCCAAAGCUAUAUUUGUCUAAGCAAAACCUAAAAGGUAAAUUUUUUUUCAAUGCUACAAGGAAAGCUGGCUAUAUUUCUGGUACAAAAAGAAAUCUUCCAAAAACAUUUCAAAUACGACGCAUACAUUGUUUACUCCCCGUUUCUUAUAAAACUAUAUCAAGAAAAAAUUACAAUAAAUCUUAAAUGAUAAUUAAUACAAAUGUUUGACAAUUUUUGCACAUUGAAGGUGUAGGUUACUUCGAAGGUACAAUAAGGUAGAACUAUUUCAGCACUACGAUUCCAAAAAGUUACAUUUCUCUAUGAAAAAUCAAAAGAUCCAAACUUGAAUAAUUUCUUCGCUAGAUUCCCAAAGCUAUCUAUUUGUAUAAGCAAAACCUAAAAGGUAAAUUUUUUUUCAAUGCUACAAGGAAAGCUUGCAAUAUUUCUGGUACAUAGUGAAAUCUCCCAAAAACAUUUCAAAUACGACGCUUACAUUGUUUACUCCCCGUUUCUUAUAAAACUGUAUCGAGAAAAAACUACCAUUAAUCUUAAAUGAUACAUUAAUACAAAGGUUUGACAAUUUUUACAUAUUGAAGGUGUAGAUUAUUUCGAAGGUACAAUAAGGUAGAACUAUUUCAACACUACGAUUCCAAAAAGUUAUAUUUCUCUAUGAAAAAUCAAAAGGUCCAAAUUUGAAUAAUUUCUCGCUAGAUUCUCAAAGCUAUAUUUGCUCAAGCAAACCGAAAAGUCUAUUUUUAUUUGAAUGAUACAAAGAAAGCUUGCAAAAUUUCUGGUUGAAACUGAAAUCUCCCAACAACAUUUCAAAUACGACGCAUACAUUUUUUACUCCCCGUUUCUUAUAAAUCUGUAUCAAGAAAAAACUACAAUAUAUCUUAAAUGAUAGGUUAAUAUAAAGGUUUGACAAUUUUUUCACAUCGAAGGUGUCGAUUAUUUCGAAGGUACAAUAAGGUAGAACUAUUUCAACACUACGAUUCCAAAAAGUUACAUUCCUCUAUGAAAAAUCAAAAGAUCCAAACUUGAAUAAUUUCUUCGCUAGAUUGCCAAAGCUAUAUUUGUCUUGGCAAAACCUAAAAGGUAAAUUUUUUUUCAAUGCUACAAGGAAAGCUUGCAAUAUUUCUGGUACAAAGUGAAAUCUUCAAAAAACAUUUCAAAUACGACGCAUACAUUAUUUACUCCCCGUUUCUUAUAAAACUAUAUCAAGAAAAAACUACAAUAAAUCUUAAAUGAUACAUUAAUACAAAGGUUUGACAAUUUUUCACAUUGAAGGCGUAGGUUACUUCGAAGGUACAAUAAGGUAGAACUAUUUCAACACUACGAUUCCAAAAAGUUACAUUUCUAAAUAAAAAAUCAAAAGAUCCAAACUUGAAUAAUUUCUUCGCUAGAUUCCCAAAGCUAUAUUUGUCUAAGCAAAACCUAAAAGGUAAAUUUUUUUUCAAUGCUACAAGGAAAGCUUGCUAUAUUUCUGGUACAAAAAGAAAUCUUCCAAAAACAUUUCAAAUACGACGCAUACAUUGUUUACUCCCCGUUUCUUAUAAAACUAUAUCAAGAAAAAAUUACAAUAAAUCUUAAAUGAUAAUUAAUACAAAUGUUUGACAAUUUUUGCACAUUGAAGGUGUAGGUUACUUCGAAGGUACAAUAAGGUAGAACUAUUUCAGCACUACGAUUCCAAAAAGUUACAUUUCUCUAUGAAAAAUCAAAAGAUCCAAACUUGAAUAAUUUCGUCGCUAGAUUCCCAAAGCUAUAUAUUUGUAUAAGCAAAACCUAAAAGGUAAAUUUUUUUCAAUGCUACAAGGAAAGCUUGCAAUAUUUCUGGUACAAAGUGAAAUCCCCCAAAAACAUUUCAAAUACGACGCUUACAUUGUUUACUCCCCGUUUCUUAUAAAACUAUAUCGAGAAAAAACUACCAUUAAUCUUAAAUGAUACAUUAAUACAAAGGUUUGACAAUUUUUACAUAUUGAAGGUGUAGAUUAUUUCGAAGGUACAAUAAGGUAGAACUAUUUCAACACUACGAUUCCAAAAAGUUAUAUUUCUCUAUGAAAAAUCAAAAGGUCCAAAUUUGAAUAAUGUCUCGCUAGAUUCUCAAAGCUAUAUUUGCUCAAGCAAACCGAAAAGUCUAUUUUUAUUUGAAUGAUACAAAGAAAGCUUGCAAAAUUUCUGGUUGAAACUGAAAUCUCCCAACAACAUUUCAAAUACGACGCAUACAUUUUUUACUCCCCGUUUCUUAUAAAUCUGUAUCAAGAAAAAACUACAAUAUAUCUUAAAUGAUACAUUAAUACAAAGGUUUGACAAUUUUUUCACAUUGAAGGUGUCGAUUAUUUCGAAGGUACAAUAAGCUAGAACUAUUUCAACACUACGAUUCCAAAAAGCUACAUUUCUCCAUGAAAAAUCAAAAGAUCCAAACUUGAAUAAUUUCUAAAAGUUUCCCAAAGCUCUAUUGGUCUAAGCAAAACCUAAAAGGUAAAUCAUUGUUCAAUGCUACAACGAAAGCUUGCAAUAUUACUGAUACAAAGUGAAAUCUCCCAAAAACAUUUCAAAUACGACGCAUAUAUUUUUUACUCCCCGUUUCUUAUAAAACUAUAUCAAGAAAAAACUACAAAAAAUCUUAAAUGAUAGAUUAAUAUAAAGGUUUGACAAUUUUUUCACAUUGAAGGUGUCGAUUAUUUCGAAGGUACAAUAAGGUAGAACUAUUUCAACACUACGAUUCCAAAAAGUUACAUUUCUCCAUAAAAAUCAAAAGAUCCAAACUUGAAUAAUUUCUUCGCUAGAUUCCCAAAGCUAUAUUUGUCUAAGCAAAACCUAAAAGGUAAAUUUUUUUUCAAUGCUACAAGGAAAGCUUGCAAUAUUUCUGGUACAAAAAGAAAUCUUCAAAAAACAUUUCAAAUACGACGCAUACAUUAUUUACUCCCCGUUUCUUAUAAAACUAUAUCAAGAAAAAACUACAAUAAAUCUUAAAUGAUACAUUAAUACAAAGGUUUGACAAUUUUUGCACAUUGAAGGCGUAGGUUACUUCGAAGGUACAAUAAGGUAGAACUAUUUCAACACUACGAUUCCAAAAAGUUACAUUUCUAAAUAAAAAAUCAAAAGAUCCAAACUUGAAUAAUUUCUUCGCUAGAUUCCCAAAGCUAUAUUUGUCUAAGCAAAACCUAAAAGGUAAAUUUUUUUUCAAUGCUACAAGGAAAGCUGGCUAUAUUUCUGGUACAAAAAGAAAUCUUCCAAAAACAUUUCAAAUACGACGCAUACAUUGUUUACUCCCCGUUUCUUAUAAAACUAUAUCAAGAAAAAAUUACAAUAAAUCUUAAAUGAUAAUUAAUACAAAUGUUUGACAAUUUUUGCACAUUGAAGGUGUAGGUUACUUCGAAGGUACAAUAAGGUAGAACUAUUUCAGCACUACGAUUCCAAAAAGUUACAUUUCUCUAUGAAAAAUCAAAAGAUCCAAACUUGAAUAAUUUCUUCGCUAGAUUCCCAAAGCUAUCUAUUUGUAUAAGCAAAACCUAAAAGGUAAAUUUUUUUUCAAUGCUACAAGGAAAGCUUGCAAUAUUUCUGGUACAAAGUGAAAUCUCCCAAAAACAUUUAAAAUACGACGCUUACAUUGUUUACUCCCCGUUUCUUAUAAAACUAUAUCGAGAAAAAACUACCAUUAAUCUUAAAUGAUACAUUAAUACAAAGGUUUGACAAUUUUUACAUAUUGAAGGUGUAGAUUAUUUCGAAGGUACAAUAAGGUAGAACUAUUUCAACACUACGAUUCCAAAAAGUUAUAUUUCUCUAUGAAAAAUCAAAAGGUCCAAAUUUGAAUAAUGUCUCGCUAGAUUCUCAAAGCUAUAUUUGCUCAAGCAAACCGAAAAGUCUAUUUUUAUUUGAAUGAUACAAAGAAAGCUUGCAAAAUUUCUGGUUGAAACUGAAAUCUCCCAACAACAUUUCAAAUACGACGCAUACAUUUUUUACUCCCCGUUUCUUAUAAAUCUGUAUCAAGAAAAAACUACAAUAUAUCUUAAAUGAUAGGUUAAUAUAAAGGUUUGACAAUUUUUUCACAUUGAAGGUGUCGAUUAUUUCGAAGGUACAAUAAGGUAGAACUAUUUCAACACUACGAUUCCAAAAAGUUACAUUCCUCUAUGAAAAAUCAAAAGAUCCAAACUUGAAUAAUUUCUUCGCUAGAUUGCCAAAGCUAUAUUUGUCUUGGCAAAACCUAAAAGGUAAAUUUUUUUUCAAUGCUACAAGGAAAGCUUGCAAUAUUUCUGGUACAAAGUGAAAUCUUCAAAAAACAUUUCAAAUACGACGCAUACAUUAUUUACUCCCCGUUUCUUAUAAAACUAUAUCAAGAAAAAACUACAAUAAAUCUUAAAUGAUACAUUAAUACAAAGGUUUGACAAUUUUUGCACAUUGAAGGCGUAGGUUACUUCGAAGGUACAAUAAGGUAGAACUAUUUCAACACUACGAUUCCAAAAAGUUACAUUUCUAAAUAAAAAAUCAAAAGAUCCAAACUUGAAUAAUUUCUUCGCUAGAUUCCCAAAGCUAUAUUUGUCUAAGCAAAACCUAAAAGGUAAAUUUUUUUUCAAUGCUACAAGGAAAGCUUGCUAUAUUUCUGGUACAAAAAGAAAUCUUCCAAAAACAUUUCAAAUACGACGCAUACAUUGUUUACUCCCCGUUUCUUAUAAAACUAUAUCAAGAAAAAAUUACAAUAAAUCUUAAAUGAUAAUUAAUACAAAUGUUUGACAAUUUUUGCACAUUGAAGGUGUAGGUUACUUCGAAGGUACAAUAAGGUAGAACUAUUUCAGCACUACGAUUCCAAAAAGUUACAUUUCUCUAUGAAAAAUCAAAAGAUCCAAACUUGAAUAAUUUCUUCGCUAGAUUCCCAAAGCUAUAUAUUUGUAUAAGCAAAACCUAAAAGGUAAAUUUUUUUUCAAUGCUACAAGGAAAGCUUGCAAUAUUUCUGGUACAAAGUGAAAUCUCCCAAAAACAUUUCAAAUACGACGCUUACAUUGUUUACUCCCCGUUUCUUAUAAAACUAUAUCGAGAAAAAACUACCAUUAAUCUUAAAUGAUACAUUAAUACAAAGGUUUGACAAUUUUUACAUAUUGAAGGUGUAGAUUAUUUCGAAGGUACAAUAAGGUAGAACUAUUUCAACACUACGAUUCCAAAAAGUUAUAUUUCUCUAUGAAAAAUCAAAAGGUCCAAAUUUGAAUAAUGUCUCGCUAGAUUCUCAAAGCUAUAUUUGCUCAAGCAAACCGAAAAGUCUAUUUUUAUUUGAAUGAUACAAAGAAAGCUUGCAAAAUUUCUGGUUGAAACUGAAAUCUCCCAACAACAUUUCAAAUACGACGCAUACAUUUUUUACUCCCCGUUUCUUAUAAAUCUGUAUCAAGAAAAAACUACAAUAUAUCUUAAAUGAUACAUUAAUACAAAGGUUUGACAAUUUUUUCACAUUGAAGGUGUCGAUUAUUUCGAAGGUACAAUAAGCUAGAACUAUUUCAACACUACGAUUCCAAAAAGCUACAUUUCUCCAUGAAAAAUCAAAAGAUCCAAACUUGAAUAAUUUCUAAAAGUUUCCCAAAGCUAUAUUGGUCUAAGCAAAACCUAAAAGGUAAAUCAUUGUUCAAUGCUACAACGAAAGCUUGCAAUAUUACUGAUACAAAGUGAAAUCUCCCAAAAACAUUUCAAAUACGACGCAUAUAUUUUUUACUCCCCGUUUCUUAUAAAACUAUAUCAAGAAAAAACUACAAUAUAUCUUAAAUGAUAGGUUAAUAUAAAGGUUUGACAAUUUUUUCACAUUGAAGGUGUCGAUUAUUUCGAAGGUACAAUAAGGUAGAACUAUUUCAACACUACGAUUCCAAAAAGUUACAUUCCUCUAUGAAAAAUCAAAAGAUCCAAACUUGAAUAAUUUCUUCGCUAGAUUGCCAAAGCUAUAUUUGUCUUGGCAAAACCUAAAAGGUAAAUUUUUUUUCAAUGCUACAAGGAAAGCUUGCAAUAUUUCUGGUACAAAGUGAAAUCUUCAAAAAACAUUUCAAAUACGACGCAUACAUUAUUUACUCCCCGUUUCUUAUAAAACUAUAUCAAGAAAAAACUACAAUAAAUCUUAAAUGAUACAUUAAUACAAAGGUUUGACAAUUUUUGCACAUUGAAGGCGUAGGUUACUUCGAAGGUACAAUAAGGUAGAACUAUUUCAACACUACGAUUCCAAAAAGUUACAUUUCUAAAUAAAAAAUCAAAAGAUCCAAACUUGAAUAAUUUCUUCGCUAGAUUCCCAAAGCUAUAUUUGUCUAAGCAAAACCUAAAAGGUAAAUUUUUUUUCAAUGCUACAAGGAAAGCUUGCUAUAUUUCUGGUACAAAAAGAAAUCUUCCAAAAACAUUUCAAAUACGACGCAUACAUUGUUUACUCCCCGUUUCUUAUAAAACUAUAUCAAGAAAAAAUUACAAUAAAUCUUAAAUGAUAAUUAAUACAAAUGUUUGACAAUUUUUGCACAUUGAAGGUGUAGGUUACUUCGAAGGUACAAUAAGGUAGAACUAUUUCAGCACUACGAUUCCAAAAAGUUACAUUUCUCUAUGAAAAAUCAAAAGAUCCAAACUUGAAUAAUUUCUUCGCUAGAUUCCCAAAGCUAUAUAUUUGUAUAAGCAAAACCUAAAAGGUAAAUUUUUUUUCAAUGCUACAAGGAAAGCUUGCAAUAUUUCUGGUACAAAGUGAAAUCUCCCAAAAACAUUUCAAAUACGACGCUUACAUUGUUUACUCCCCGUUUCUUAUAAAACUAUAUCGAGAAAAAACUACCAUUAAUCUUAAAUGAUACAUUAAUACAAAGGUUUGACAAUUUUUACAUAUUGAAGGUGUAGAUUAUUUCGAAGGUACAAUAAGGUAGAACUAUUUCAACACUACGAUUCCAAAAAGUUAUAUUUCUCUAUGAAAAAUCAAAAGGUCCAAAUUUGAAUAAUGUCUCGCUAGAUUCUCAAAGCUAUAUUUGCUCAAGCAAACCGAAAAGUCUAUUUUUAUUUGAAUGAUACAAAGAAAGCUUGCAAAAUUUCUGGUUGAAACUGAAAUCUCCCAACAACAUUUCAAAUACGACGCAUACAUUUUUUACUCCCCGUUUCUUAUAAAUCUAUAUCAAGAAAAAACUACAAUAUAUCUUAAAUGAUACAUUAAUACAAAGGUUUGACAAUUUUUUCACAUUGAAGGUGUCGAUUAUUUCGAAGGUACAAUAAGCUAGAACUAUUUCAACACUACGAUUCCAAAAAGCUACAUUUCUCCAUGAAAAAUCAAAAGAUCCAAACUUGAAUAAUUUCUAAAAGUUUCCCAAAGCUAUAUUGGUCUAAGCAAAACCUAAAAGGUAAAUCAUUGUUCAAUGCUACAACGAAAGCUUGCAAUAUUACUGAUACAAAGUGAAAUCUCCCAAAAACAUUUCAAAUACGACGCAUAUAUUUUUUACUCCCCGUUUCUUAUAAAACUAUAUCAAGAAAAAACUACAAAAAAUCGUAAAUGAUAGAUUAAUAUAAAGGUUUGACAAUUUUUUCACAUUGAAGGUGUCGAUUAUUUCGAAGGUACAAUAAGGUAGAACUAUUUCAACACUACGAUUCCAAAAAGUUACAUUUCUCCAUAAAAAUCAAAAGAUCCAAACUUGAAUAAUUUCUUCGCUAGAUUCCCAAAGCUAUAUUUGUCUAAGCAAAACCUAAAAGGUAAAUUUUUUUCAAUGCUACAAGGAAAGCUUGCAAUAUUUCUGGUACAAAAAGAAAUCUUCCAAAAACAUUUCAAAUACGACGCAUACAUUGUUUACUCCCCGUUUCUUAUAAAUCUAUAUCAAGAAAAAACUACAAUAAAUCUUAAAUGAUACAUUAAUACAAAGGUUUGACAAUUUUUUCACAUUGAAGGUGUCGAUUAUUUCGAAGGUACAAUAAGCUAGAACUAUUUCAACACUACGAUUCCAAAAAGUUACAUUUCUCCAUGAAAAAUCAAAAGAUCCAAACUUGAAUAAUUUCUUCGCUAGUUUCCCAAAGGUAUAUUGGUCUAAGCAAAACCUAAAAGGUAAAUCAUUGUUCAAUGCUACAACGAAAGCUUGCAAUAUUACUGAUACAAAGUGAAAUCUCCCAAAAACAUUUCGAAUACGACGCAUAUAUUUUUUACUCCCCGUUUCUUAUAAAACUAUAUCAAGAAAAAACUACAAAAAAUCUUAAAUGAUAGAUUAAUAUAAAGGUUUGACAAUUUUUUCACAUUGAAGGUGUCGAUUAUUUCGAAGGUACAAUAAGGAAGAACUAUUUCAACACUACGAUUCCAAAAAGUUACAUGUCUCCAUAAAAAUCAAAAGAUCCAAACUUGAAUAAUUUCUUCGCUAGAUUCCCAAAGCUAUAUUUGUCUAAGCAAAACCUAAAAGGUAAAUUUUUUUUCAAUGCUACAAGGAAAGCUUGCAAUAUUUCUGGUACAAAAAGAAAUCUUCCAAAAACAUUUCAAAUACGACGCAUACAUUGUUUACUCCCCGUUUCUUAUAAGACUAUAUCAAGAAAAAACUACAAAAAAUCUUAAGUGAUAGAUUAAUAUAAAGGUUUGACAAUUUUUUCACAUUGAAGGUGUCGAUUAUUUCGAAGGUACAAUAAGGUAGAAGUAUUUCAACACUAAGAUUCCAAAAAGUUACAUUUCUCCAUGAAAGAUCAAAAGAUCCAAACUUGAAUAAUUUCUUCGCUAGAUUCCCAAAGCUAUCUAUUUGUAUAAGCAAAACCUAAAAGGUAAAUUUUUUUUCAAUGCUACAAGGAAAGCUUGCAAUAUUUCUGGUACAAAGUGAAAUCUCCCAAAAACAUUUAAAAUACGACGCUUACAUUGUUUACUCCCCGUUUCUUAUAAAACUAUAUCGAGAAAAAACUACCAUUAAUCUUAAAUGAUACAUUAAUACAAAGGUUUGACAAUUUUUACAUAUUGAAGGUGUAGAUUAUUUCGAAGGUACAAUAAGGUAGAACUAUUUCAACACUACGAUUCCAAAAAGUUAUAUUUCUCUAUGAAAAAUCAAAAGGUCCAAAUUUGAAUAAUGUCUCGCUAGAUUCUCAAAGCUAUAUUUGCUCAAGCAAACCGAAAAGUCUAUUUUUAUUUGAAUGAUACAAAGAAAGCUUGCAAAAUUUCUGGUUGAAACUGAAAUCUCCCAACAACAUUUCAAAUACGACGCAUACAUUUUUUACUCCCCGUUUCUUAUAAAUCUGUAUCAAGAAAAAACUACAAUAUAUCUUAAAUGAUAGGUUAAUAUAAAGGUUUGACAAUUUUUUCACAUUGAAGGUGUCGAUUAUUUCGAAGGUACAAUAAGGUAGAACUAUUUCAAAACUACGAUUCCAAAAAGUUACAUUCCUCUAUGAAAAAUCAAAAGAUCCAAACUUGAAUAAUUUCUUCGCUAGAUUGCCAAAGCUAUAUUUGUCUUGGCAAAACCUAAAAGGUAAAUUUUUUUUCAAUGCUACAAGGAAAGCUUGCAAUAUUUCUGGUACAAAGUGAAAUCUUCAAAAAACAUUUCAAAUACGACGCAUACAUUAUUUACUCCCCGUUUCUUAUAAAACUAUAUCAAGAAAAAACUACAAUAAAUCUUAAAUGAUACAUUAAUACAAAGGUUUGACAAUUUUUUCACAUUGAAGGUGUCGAUUAUUUCGAAGGUACAAUAAGCUAGAACUAUUUCAACACUACGAUUCCAAAAAGUUACAUUUCUCCAUGAAAAAUCAAAAGAUCCAAACUUGAAUAAUUUCUUCGCUAGUUUCCCAAAGGUAUAUUGGUCUAAGCAAAACCUAAAAGGUAAAUCAUUGUUCAGUGCUACAACGAAAGCUUGCAAUAUUACUGAUACAAAGUGAAAUCUCCCAAAAACAUUUCGAAUACGACGCAUAUAUUUUUUACUCCCCGUUUCUUAUAAAACUAUAUCAAGAAAAAACUACAAAAAAUCUUAAAUGAUAGAUUAAUAUAAAGGUUUGACAAUUUUUUCACAUUGAAGGUGUCGAUUAUUUCGAAGGUACAAUAAGGUAGAACUAUUUCAACACUACGAUUCCAAAAAGUUACAUGUCUCCAUAAAAAUCAAAAGAUCCAAACUUGAAUAAUUUCUUCGCUAGAUUCCCAAAGCUAUAUUUGUCUAAGCAAAACCUAAAAGGUAAAUUUUUUUUCAAUGCUACAAGGAAAGCUUGCAAUAUUUCUGGUACAAAAAGAAAUCUUCCAAAAACAUUUCAAAUACGACGCAUACAUUGUUUACUCCCCGUUUCUUAUAAGACUAUAUCAAGAAAAAACUACAAAAAAUCUUAAGUGAUAGAUUAAUAUAAAGGUUUGACAAUUUUUUCACAUUGAAGGUGUCGAUUAUUUCGAAGGUACAAUAAGGUAGAAGUAUUUCAACACUAAGAUUCCAAAAAGUUACAUUUCUCCAUGAAAGAUCAAAAGAUCCAAACUUGAAUAAUUUCUUCGCUAGAUUCCCAAAGCUAUAUUGGUCUAAGCAAAACCUAAAAGGUAAAAAUUUUUUUAAUGCUACAACGAAAGCUUGCAAUAUUUCUGGUACAAAGUGAAAUCUCCCAAAAACAUUUCGAAUACGACGCAUAUAUUUUUUACUCCCCGUUUCUUAUAAAACUAUAUCAAGAAAAAACUACAAAAAAUCUUAAAUGAUAGAUUAAUAUAAAGGUUUGACAAUUUUUUCACAUUGAAGGUGUCGAUUAUUUCGAAGGUACAAUAAGGUAGAAGUAUUUCAACACUAAGAUUCCAAAAAGUUACAUUUCUCCAUGAAAGAUCAAAAGAUCCAAACUUGAAUAAUUUCUUCGCUAGAUUCCCAAAGCUAUAUUGGUCUAAGCAAAACCUAAAAGAUAACUCAUUUUUCAAUGCUACAACGAAAGCUUGCAAUAUUUCUGGUACAAAUUGAAAUCUCCCAAAAACAUUUCAAACACGACGCAUAUAUUUUUUACUCCCCGUUUCUUAUAAAACUAUAUCAAGAAAAAACUACAAAAAAUCUUAAAUGAUAGGUUAAUAUAAAGGUUUGACAAUUUUUUCACAUUGAAGGUGUCGAUUAUUUCGAAGGUACAAUAAGGUAGAACUAUUUCAACACUACGAUUCCAAAAAGUUACAUUUCUCCAUGAAAAAUCAAAAGAUCCAAACUUGAAUAAUUUCUUCGCUAGAUUCCAAAGCUAUAUUGGUCUAAGCAAAACCUAAAAGAUAACUCAUUUUUCAAUGCUACAACGAAAGCUUGCAAUAUUUCUGGUACAAAUUGAAAUCUCCCAAAAACAUUUCAAACACGACGCAUAUAUUUUUUACUCCCCGUUUCUUAUAAAACUAUAUCAAGAAAAAACUACAAAAAAUCUUAAAUGAUAGGUUAAUAUAAAGGUUUGACAAUUUUUUCACAUUGAAGGUGUCGAUUAUUUCGAAGGUACAAUAAGGUAGAACUAUUUCAACACUACGAUUCCAAAAAGUUACAUUUCUCCAUAAAAAAUCUAAAGAUCCAAACUUGAAUAAUUUCUUCGCUAGAUUCCCAAAGCUAUAUUUGUCUAAGCAAAACCUAAAAGGUAAAUUUUUUUUCAAUGCUACAAGGAAAGCUGGCUAUAUUUCUGGUACAAAAAGAAAUCUUCCAAAAACAUUUCAAAUACGACGCAUACAUUGUUUACUCCCCGUUUCUUAUAAAACUAUAUCAAGAAAAAAUUACAAUAAAUCUUAAAUGAUAAUUAAUACAAAUGUUUGACAAUUUUUGCACAUUGAAGGUGUAGGUUACUUCGAAGGUACAAUAAGGUAGAACUAUUUCAGCACUACGAUUCCAAAAAGUUACAUUUCUCUAUGAAAAAUCAAAAGAUCCAAACUUGAAUAAUUUCUUCGCUAGAUUCCCAAAGCUAUCUAUUUGUAUAAGCAAAACCUAAAAGGUAAACUUUUUUUCAAUGCUACAAGGAAAGCUUGCAAUAUUUCUGGUACAAAGUGAAAUCUCCCAAAAACAUUUCAAAUACGACGCUUACAUUGUUUACUCCCCGUUUCUUAUAAAACUAUAUCGAGAAAAAACUACCAUUAAUCUUAAAUGAUACAUUAAUACAAAGGUUUGACAAUUUUUACAUAUUGAAGGUGUAGAUUAUUUCGAAGGUACAAUAAGGUAGAACUAUUUCAACACUACGAUUCCAAAAAGUUAUAUUUCUCUAUGAAAAAUCAAAAGGUCCAAAUUUGAAUAAUUUCUCGCUAGAUUCUCAAAGCUAUAUUUGCUCAAGCAAACCGAAAAGUCUAUUUUUAUUUGAAUGAUACAAAGAAAGCUUGCAAAAUUUCUGGUUGAAACUGAAAUCUCCCAACAACAUUUCAAAUACGACGCAUACAUUUUUUACUCCCCGUUUCUUAUAAAUCUGUAUCAAGAAAAAACUACAAUAUAUCUUAAAUGAUAGGUUAAUAUAAAGGUUUGACAAUUUUUUCACAUUGAAGGUGUCGAUUAUUUCGAAGGUACAAUAAGGUAGAACUAUUUCAACACUACGAUUCCAAAAAGUUACAUUCCUCUAUGAAAAAUCAAAAGAUCCAAACUUGAAUAAUUUCUUCGCUAGAUUGCCAAAGCUAUAUUUGUCUUGGCAAAACCUAAAAGGUAAAUUUUUUUUCAAUGCUACAAGGAAAGCUUGCAAUAUUUCUGGUACAAAGUGAAAUCUUCAAAAAACAUUUCAAAUACGACGCAUACAUUAUUUACUCCCCGUUUCUUAUAAAACUAUAUCAAGAAAAAACUACAAUAAAUCUUAAAUGAUACAUUAAUACAAAGGUUUGACAAUUUUUCACAUUGAAGGCGUAGGUUACUUCGAAGGUACAAUAAGGUAGAACUAUUUCAACACUACGAUUCCAAAAAGUUACAUUUCUAAAUAAAAAAUCAAAAGAUCCAAACUUGAAUAAUUUCUUCGCUAGAUUCCCAAAGCUAUAUUUGUCUAAGCAAAACCUAAAAGGUAAAUUUUUUUUCAAUGCUACAAGGAAAGCUUGCUAUAUUUCUGGUACAAAAAGAAAUCUUCCAAAAACAUUUCAAAUACGACGCAUACAUUGUUUACUCCCCGUUUCUUAUAAAACUAUAUCAAGAAAAAAUUACAAUAAAUCUUAAAUGAUAAUUAAUACAAAUGUUUGACAAUUUUUGCACAUUGAAGGUGUAGGUUACUUCGAAGGUACAAUAAGGUAGAACUAUUUCAGCACUACGAUUCCAAAAAGUUACAUUUCUCUAUGAAAAAUCAAAAGAUCCAAACUUGAAUAAUUUCUUCGCUAGAUUCCCAAAGCUAUAUAUUUGUAUAAGCAAAACCUAAAAGGUAAAUUUUUUUCAAUGCUACAAGGAAAGCUUGCAAUAUUUCUGGUACAAAGUGAAAUCCCCCAAAAACAUUUCAAAUACGACGCUUACAUUGUUUACUCCCCGUUUCUUAUAAAACUAUAUCGAGAAAAAACUACCAUUAAUCUUAAAUGAUACAUUAAUACAAAGGUUUGACAAUUUUUACAUAUUGAAGGUGUAGAUUAUUUCGAAGGUACAAUAAGGUAGAACUAUUUCAACACUACGAUUCCAAAAAGUUAUAUUUCUCUAUGAAAAAUCAAAAGGUCCAAAUUUGAAUAAUGUCUCGCUAGAUUCUCAAAGCUAUAUUUGCUCAAGCAAACCGAAAAGUCUAUUUUUAUUUGAAUGAUACAAAGAAAGCUUGCAAAAUUUCUGGUUGAAACUGAAAUCUCCCAACAACAUUUCAAAUACGACGCAUACAUUUUUUACUCCCCGUUUCUUAUAAAUCUGUAUCAAGAAAAAACUACAAUAUAUCUUAAAUGAUACAUUAAUACAAAGGUUUGACAAUUUUUUCACAUUGAAGGUGUCGAUUAUUUCGAAGGUACAAUAAGCUAGAACUAUUUCAACACUACGAUUCCAAAAAGCUACAUUUCUCCAUGAAAAAUCAAAAGAUCCAAACUUGAAUAAUUUCUAAAAGUUUCCCAAAGCUAUAUUGGUCUAAGCAAAACCUAAAAGGUAAAUCAUUGUUCAAUGCUACAACGAAAGCUUGCAAUAUUACUGAUACAAAGUGAAAUCUCCCAAAAACAUUUCAAAUACGACGCAUACAUUGUUUACUCCCCGUUUCUUAUAAGACUAUAUCAAGAAAAAACUACAAAAAAUCUUAAGUGAUAGAUUAAUAUAAAGGUUUGACAAUUUUUUCACAUUGAAGGUGUCGAUUAUUUCGAAGGUACAAUAAGGUAGAAGUAUUUCAACACUAAGAUUCCAAAAAGUUACAUUUCUCCAUGAAAGAUCAAAAGAUCCAAACUUGAAUAAUUUCUUCGCUAGAUUCCCAAAGCUAUAUUGGUCUAAGCAAAACCUAAAAGGUAAAAAUUUUUUUAAUGCUACAACGAAAGCUUGCAAUAUUUCUGGUACAAAGUGAAAUCUCCCAAAAACAUUUCGAAUACGACGCAUAUAUUUUUUACUCCCCGUUUCUUAUAAAACUAUAUCAAGAAAAAACUACAAAAAAUCUUAAAUGAUAGAUAAUAUAAAGGUUUGACAAUUUUUUCACAUUGAAGGUGUCGAUUAUUUCGAAGGUACAAUAAGGUAGAAGUAUUUCAACACUAAGAUUCCAAAAAGUUACAUUUCUCCAUGAAAGAUCAAAAGAUCCAAACUUGAAUAAUUUCUUCGCUAGAUUCCCAAAGCUAUAUUUGUCUAAGCAAAACCUAAAAGGUAAAUUUUUUUCAUUGCUACAACGAAAGCUUGCAAUAUUGCUGGCACAAAUUGAAAUCUUCUUAAAACAUUUCAACUGCGACGCAUAAAUUAUUUACUCCCCGUUUCCUAUUAAACUAUAUCAAGAAAACACUACAAAAAAUCUUAAAUGAUAGAUCAACACAAAGAUUUGAUAAUUUUUUCACAUUGAAGGUGUAGAAUAUUUCGAAGGUACAAAAAGGUACAAUGAUUUCAACACUACGAUUCCAAAAAUUUUAAUUUCUCUAUGAAAAAUCAAAAGAUCAAAACUUGAAUAAUUUCUUCGCUAGAUUCCCAAAGCUAUAUUUGUCUAAGCAAAACCUAAAAGGUAAAUUUUUUUUCAAUGCUAUAAGGAAAGCUUGCAAUAUUUCUGGUAGAAAGUGAAAUCUCCCAAAAACAUUUAAAAUACGACGCAUAUAUUGUUUACUCCCUGUUCCUUAUAAAACGAUAUCAAGAAAACAGUACAAAAAUUUUAAAUAAUACAUUAAUACAAAGUUUUGACAAUUUUUUCACAUUCAAGGAGUAGAAUAUUUCGAAGGUGCAAUAAGGUAGAAAUAUUUCAACACUAUGAUUCCAAAAAGUUACAUUCCUCUAUGAAAAAUCAAAAGAUCCAAACUUGAAUAAUUUCUUCGCUAGAUUCCCAAAGCUAUAUUUGUCUAAGCAAAACCUAAAAGGUAAAUUUUUUCAAUGCUACAACGAAAGCUUGCAAUAUUUUUGAUACAAAGUGAACUCUUCCAAAAACAUUUCAAAUACGACCGAGUCAUUUUUACUUCCCGUUUCUUAUUAAACUAUAUCAAGAAAAAACUACAAAAAAUCUUAAAUGAUAGAUCAACACAAAGAUUUGACAAUUUUUUCACAUUCAAGGAGUAGAAUAUUUCGAAGGUACAAUAAGGUAGAAAUAUUUCAACACUAUGAUUCCAAAAAGUUACAUUCCUCUAUGAAAAAUCAAAAGAUCCAAACUUGAAUAAUUUCUUCGCUAGAUUCCCAAAGCUAUAUUUGUCUAAGCAAAACCGAAAAGGUAAAUUUUUUUUCAAUGCUACAAAGAAAGCUUGCAAUAUUUCUGGUAGAAAGUGAAAUCUCCCAAAAACAUUUAAAAUACGACGCAUAAAUUGUUUACUCCCUGUUUCUUAUAAAACGAUAUCAAGAAAACAGUACAAAGAUUUUAAAUAAUACAUUAAUACAAAGUUUUGACAAUUUUUUCACAUUCAAGGAGUAGAAUAUUUCGAAGGUACAAAAAGGUACAAUGAUUUCAACACUAUGAUUCCAAAAAGUUAUAUUCCUCUAUGAAAAAUCGAAAGAUCCAAACUUGAAUAAUUUCUUCGCUAGAUUCCCAAAGUUAUAUUUGUCUUAGCAAAACCUAAAAGGUAAUUUUUUUUCAAUGCUACAGCGAAAGCUUGCAAUAUUUUUGGUACAAAGUGAACUCUUCCAAAAACAUUUCAAAUACGACGGAUUCAUUUUUGCUUCCCGUUUCUUAUUAAACUAUAUCAAGAAAAAACUACAAAAAAUCUUAAAUGAUAGAUCAACACAAAGAUUUGACAAUUUUUUCACAUUGAAGGUGUAGAAUAUUUCGAAGGUACAAAAAGGUACAAUGAUUUCAACACUACGAUUCCAAAAAGUUAUAUUCCUCUAUAAAAAAUCAAAAUCCAAACUUGAAUAGUUUCUUCGCUAGAUUGCCAAAGCUAUAUUUGUCUUAGCAAAACCUAAAAGGUAAAUUUUUUUUCAAUGCUACAAGGAAAGCUUGCAAUAUUUCUGGUACAAAGUGAAAUCUUCCAAAAACAUUUCAAAUACGACGCAUACAUUAUUUACACCCCGUUUCUUAUAAAACUAUAUCAAGAAAUACUACAAUAAAUCUUAAAUGAUACAUUAAUACAAAGUUUUGACAAUUUUUGCACAUUGAAGGUGUAGGUUACUUCGAAGGCACAAUAAGGUAGAACUAUUUCAGCACUACGAUUCCAAAAAGUUACAUUUCUCUAUGAAAAAUCAAAAGAUCCAAACUUGAAUAAUUUCUUCGCUAGAUUCCCAAAGCUAUGUUGGUCUAAGCAAAACCUAAAAGGUAAAAUUUUUUUUCAAUGCUACAACGACAGCUUGCAGUAUUUCUGGUACAAUGUGAAAUCUCCCAAAAACAUUUCAAAUACGACGCAUAUAUUUUUUACUCCCCGUUUCUUAUAAAUCUAUAUCAAGAAAAAACUACAAUAAAUCUUAAGUGAUACAUUAAUACAAAGGUUUGACAAUUUUUUCACAUAGAUGGUGUCGAUUAUUUCGAAGGUACAAUAAGGUAGAACUAUUUCAGCACUAUGAUUCCAAAAAGUUACAUUUCUCUAUGCAAAAUCAAAAGAUCCAAACUUGAAUAAUUUCUUCGCUAGAUUCCCAAAGCUAUAUUUGUCUAAGCAAAACCUAAAAGGUAAAUUUUUUUCAUUGCUACAACGAAAGCUUGCAAUAUUGCUGGCACAAAUUGAAAUCUUCUUAAAACAUUUCAACUGCGACGCAUAAAUUGUUUACUCCCCGUUUCCUAUUAAACUAUAUCAAGAAAACACUACAAAAAAUCUUAAAUGAUAGAUCAACACAAAGAUUUGAUAAUUUUUUCACAUUGAAGGUGUAGAAUAUUUCGAAGGUACAAAAAGGUACAAUGAUUUCAACACUAUGAUUCCAAAAAUUUUAAUUUCUCUAUGAAAAAUCAAAAGAUCAAAACUUGAAUAAUUUCUUCGCUAGAUUCCCAAAGCUAUAUUUGUCUAAGCAAAACCUAAAAGGUAAAUUUUUUUUCAAUGCUAUAAGGAAAGCUUGCAAUAUUUCUGGUAGAAAGUGAAAUCUCCCAAAAACAUUUAAAAUACGACGCAUAUAUUGUUUACUCCCUGUUCCUUAUAAAACGAUAUCAAGAAAACAGUACAAAAAUUUUAAAUAAUACAUUAAUACAAAGUUUUGACAAUUUUUUCACAUUCAAGGAGUAGAAUAUUUCGAAGGUGCAAUAAGGUAGAAAUAUUUCAACACUAUGAUUCCAAAAAGUUACAUUCCUCUAUGAAAAAUCAAAAGAUCCAAACUUGAAUAAUUUCUUCGCUAGAUUCCCAAAGCUAUAUUUGUCUAAGCAAAACCUAAAAGGUAAAUUUUUUCAAUGCUACAACGAAAGCUUGCAAUAUUUUUGAUACAAAGUGAACUCUUCCAAAAACAUUUCAAAUACGACCGAGUCAUUUUUACUUCCCGUUUCUUAUUAAACUAUAUCAAGAAAAAACUACAAAAAAUCUUAAAUGAUAGAUCAACACAAAGAUUUGACAAUUUUUUCACAUUCAAGGAGUAGAAUAUUUCGAAGGUACAAUAAGGUAGAAAUAUUUCAACACUAUGAUUCCAAAAAGUUACAUUCCUCUAUGAAAAAUCAAAAGAUCCAAACUUGAAUAAUUUCUUCGCUAGAUUCCCAAAGCUAUAUUUGUCUAAGCAAAACCGAAAAGGUAAAUUUUUUUUCAAUGCUAUAAGGAAAGCUUGCAAUAUUUCUGGUAGAAAGUGAAAUCUCCCAAAAACAUUUAAAAUACGACGCAUAAAUUGUUUACUCCCUGUUUCUUAUAAAACGAUAUCAAGAAAACAGUACAAAGAUUUUAAAUAAUACAUUAAUACAAAGUUUUGACAAUUUUUUCACAUUCAAGGAGUAGAAUAUUUCGAAGGUACAAAAAGGUACAAUGAUUUCAACACUAUGAUUCCAAAAAGUUAAAUUCCUCUAUGAAAAAUCGAAAGAUCCAAACUUGAAUAAUUUCUUCGCUAGAUUCCCAAAGUUAUAUUUGUCUUAGCAAAACCUAAAAGGUAAUUUUUUUUCAAUGCUACAGCGAAAGCUUGCAAUAUUUUUGGUACAAAGUGAACUCUUCCAAAAACAUUUCAAAUACGACGGAUUCAUUUUUGCUUCCCGUUUCUUAUUAAACUAUAUCAAGAAAAAACUACAAAAAAUCUUAAAUGAUAGAUCAACACAAAGAUUUGACAAUUUUUUCACAUUGAAGGUGUAGAAUAUUUCGAAGGUAUAAAAAGGUACAAUGAUUUCAACACUACGAUUCCAAAAAGUUAUAUUCCUCUAUGAAAAAUCAAAAGAUCCAAACUUGAAUAAUUUCUUCGCUAGAUUGCCAAAGCUAUAUUUGUCUUAGCAAAACCUAAAAGGUAAAUUUUUUUUCAAUGCUACAAGGAAAGCUUGCAAUAUUUCUGGUACAAAGUGAAAUCUUCCAAAAACAUUUCAAAUACGACGCAUACAUUAUUUACUCCCCGUUUCUUAUAAAACUAUAUCAAGAAAAAAUUACAAUAAAUCUUAAAUGAUACAUUAAUACUAAGGUUUGACAAUUUUUGCACAUUGAAGGUGUAGGUUACUUCGAAGGCACAAUAAGGUAGAACUAUUUCAGCACUACGAUACCAAAAAGUUACAUUUCUCUAUGAAAAAUCAAAAGAUCCAAACUUGAAUAAUUUCUUCGCUAGAUUCCCAAAGCUAUGUUGGUCUAAGCAAAACCUAAAAGGUAAUAUUUAUUUUCAAUGCUACAACGAAAGCUUGCAAUAUUUCUGGUACAAAGUGAAAUCUCCCAAAAACAUUUCAAAUACGACGCAUAUAUUUUUUACUCCCCGUUUCUUAUAAAUCUAUAUCAAGAAAAAACUACAAUAAAUCUUAAGUGAUACAUUAAUACAAAGGUUUGACAAUUUUUUCACAUUGAAGGUGUCGAUUAUUUCGAAGGUACAAUAAGGUAGAACUAUUUCAGCACUACGAUUCCAAAAAGUUACAUUUCUCUAUGAAAAAUCAAAAGAUCCAAACUUGAAUAAUUUCUUCGCUAGAUUCCCAAAGCUAUAUUUGGCUAAGCAAAACCUAAAAGGUAAAUUUUUUUCAAUGCUACAACGAAAGCUUGCAAUAUUGCUGGUACAAAUUGAAAUCUUCUUAAAGCAUUUCAACUGCGACGCAUAAAUUGUUUACUCCCCGUUUCUUAUUAAACUAUAUCAAGAAAACACUACAAAAAAUCUUAAAUGAUAGAUCAACACAAAGAUUUGAUAAUUUUUUCACAUUGAAGGUGUAGAAUAUUUCGAAGGUACAAAAAGGUACAAUCAUUUCAACACUACGAUUCCAAAAAUUUUAAUUUCUCUAUGAAAAAUCAAAAAGCAAAACCUAAAAGGUAAAUUUUUUUUCAAUGCUACAAGUAAAGCUUGCAAUAUUUCUGGUAGAAAGUGAAAUCUCCCAAAAACAUUUAAAAUACGACGCUUACAUUGUUUACUACCUGUUUCUUAUAAAACGAUAUCAAGAAAACAGUACAAAAAAUCUUGAAUAAUACAUUAAUACAAAGGUUUGACAAUUUUUUCACAUUGAAGGAGUAGAAUAUUUCGAAGGUACAAUAAGGUAGAACUAUUUCAACACUAUGGUUCCAAAAAGUUAUAUUCCUCUAUGAAAAAUCAAAAGAUCCAAACUUGAAUAAAGUCUUCGCUAGAUUCCCAAAGCUAUAUUUGUCUAAGCAAAACCUAAAGGGUAAAUUUUUUUCAAUGCUACAAAGAAAGCUUGCAAUAUAUCUGGUAGAAAGUGAAAUCUUCCAAAAACAUUUCAAAUACGACGCAUUCAUUUUUACUCCCCGUUUCUUAUGAAACUAUAUCAAGAAAAAACUACAAAAAAUCUUGAAUAAUACAUUAAUACAAAGGUUUGACAAUUUUUUCACAUUGAAAGAGUAGAAUAUUUCGAAGGUACAAUAAGGUAGAACUGUUCCAACACUAUGAUUCCAACUACCAUUAAUCUUAGAUGAUACAUUAAUACAAAGGUUUGACAAUUUUUGCAAAUUGAAGGUGUAGAUUAUUUCGAAGGUACAACAAGGUGCAAUGGUUUCAAAACUACGAUUCCAAAAAGUUACAUUUCUCUAUAAAAAAUCAAAAGAUUUAAACAUAAAUAAUUUCUUCGCUAGAUUCCCAAGGUUAUAUUUGUCUAAGCAAAAUCUGAAAGAUAAAUUUUUGUUCAAUGCUACAAAGUGAAAUCUCCCAAAAACAUUUCAAAUACGACGCUGACGUUGUUUAAUCCCCGUUUCUUAUAAAACUAUAUCAAGAAAAAACUACAAUAAAUCUUAAAUGAUACAUUAAUACAAAGGUUUGACAAUUUUUGCACAUUGAAGGUGUAGAUUAUUUCGAAGGUACAAUAAGGUAGAACUAUUUCAACACUACGAUUCCAAAAGUUACAAUCCUCUAUGAAAAAUCAAAAGAUCCAAACUUGAAUAAUUGCUUCGCUAGAUUGCGAAAGCUAUAUUUGUCUAAGCAAAGCCUAAAAGGUAAAAUUUUUUUUUAUUCCAACGAAAGUUUGCAAUAUUUCCUGUACAAAGUGAAAUCUCCCAAAAAGAUUUCAAAUACGACGCAUACAUUUUUUACUCACCGUUUCUUAUAAAACUAUAUCAAGAAAAAACUACAAUAAAUUUUAAAUGAUACAUUAAUACAAAGGUUUGACAAUUUUUGCACAUUGCAGCUGUAGGUUACUUCGAAGGUACAAUAAUUUAGAACUAUUUCAGCACUACGAUUCCAAAAAGUUACAUUUCUCCAUGAAAAAUCAAAAGAUCCAAACUUGAAUAAUUUCUUCGCUAGAUUCCCAAAGCUAUAUUUGUCUAAGCAAAACCUAAAAGGUAAAAUUUUUUUUCAAUGCUACAACGAAAGCUUGCAAUAUUUCUGGUACAAAGUGAAGUCUUCCAAAAACAUUUCAAAUACGACGCUUACAUUGUUUACCCCCCGUUUCUUAUAAAACUAUGUCAAGAAAAAACUACCAUUAAUCUUAGAUGAUACAUUAAUACAAAGGUUUGACAAUUUUUGCAUAUUGAAGGUGUAGAUUAUUUCGAAGGUACAACAAGGUACAAUGAUUUCAACACUACGAUUCCAAAGUUACAUUUCUACAUGAAAAAUCAAAAGAUCCAAACUUGACUAAUUUCUUCGCUAGAUUCCCAAAGCUAUAUUGGCCUAAGCCAAACCUAAAAGGUAACUAAUUUUUCAAUGCUAAAACGAAAGUUUGCAAUAUUUCUGGUACAAAGUGAAAUCUUCCAAAAACAUUUCAAAUACGACGCAUACAUUGUUUACUCCCCGUUUCUUAUAACACUAUAUCAAGAAAAAACUACAAUAAAUCUUGAAUGAUACAUUAAUACAAAGGUUUGACAAUUUUUGCACAUUGAAGGUGUAGGUUACUUCGAAGCUACAAUAAGGUAGAACUAUUUCAACACUAUUCUUCCAAAAAGUUACAUUCCUCCAAGAAAAAUAAAAAGAUCCAAACUUGAAUAAUUUCUUCGCUAGAUUCCCAAAGCUAUAUUUGACUAAGCAAAACCUAAAAGGUAAAUUUUUUUUCAAUAAAGUCUUCGUUAAAGCUUGCAAUAUUUUUGGUACAAAGUGAAAUCUUCCAAAAACAUUUCAAAUACGACGCAUUCAUUUUUAUUCCCGUUUCUUAUGAAACUAUAUCAAGAAAAAACUACAAAAAAUCCUGAAUAAUACAUUAAUACAAAGGUUUGACAAUUUUUUCACAUUGAAAGAGUAGAAUAUUUCGAAGGUACACUAAGGUAGAACUGUUCCAACACUAUGAUUCCAAAAAGUUACAUUCCUCUAUGAAAAAUCAAAAGAUCCAAACUUGAAUAAAGUCUUCGCUAGAUUCCCAAAGCUGUAUUUGUCUAAGCAAAACCUAAAAGAUAAAUUUUUUUGAAUGCUACAACGAAAGCUUGCAAUAUUUUUGAUAGAAAGUGAAAUCUUCCAAAAACAUUUCAAAUACGACGGAUUCAUUUUUACUCCCCGUUUCUUAUUAAACUAUAUCAAGAAAAAACUACAAAAAAUCUCGAAUGAUACACUAACACAAAGGUUUGACAAUUUUUUCACAUUGAAGGAGUAGAAUAUUUCGAAGGUACAAUAAGGUAGAACUAUUUCAACACUACGAUUCCAAAAAGUUAUAUUCCUCUAUGAAAAAUCAAAAGAUCCAAACUUGAAUAAUUUCCUCGCUAGAUUCCCAAAGCUAUAUUUGUCUAAGCCAAACCUACAAGGUAAAAUUUUUUUUCAAUGCGACAACUAAAGCUUGCAAUAUUUCUGGUACAAAGUGAAAUCUUCCAAAAACAUUUCAAAUACGACGCUUACAUUGUUUACCCCCCGUUUCUUAUAAAACUAUGUCAAGAAAAAACUACCAUUAAUCUUAGAUGAUACAUUAAUACAAAGGUUUGACAAUUUUUGCAUAUUGAAAGUGUAGAUUAUUUCGAAGGUACAACAAGGUACAAUGAUUUCAACACUACGAUUCCAAAGUCACAUUUCUACAUGAAAAAUCAAAAGAUCCAAACUUGACUAAUUUCUUCGCUAGAUUCCCAAAGCUAUAUUGGCCUAAGCAAAACCUAAAAGGUAACUAAUUUUUCAAUGCUAAAACGAAAGUUUGCAAUAUUUCUGGUACAAAGUGAAAUCUUCCAAAAACAUUUCAAAUACGACGCAUACAUUGUUUACUCCCCGUUUCUUAUAACACUAUAUCAAGAAAAAACUACAAUAAAUCUUAAAUGAUACAUUAAUACAAAGGUUUGACAAUUUUUGCACAUUGAAGGUGUAGGUUACUUCGAAGCUACAAUAAGGUAGAACUAUUUCAACACUAUUCUUCCAAAAAGUUACAUUUCUCCAAGAAAAAUAAAAAGAUCCAAACUUGAAUAAUUUCUUCGCUAGAUUCCCAAAGCUAUAUUUGACUAAGCAAAACCUAAAAGGUAAAUUUUUUUUCAAUAAAGUCUUCGCUAAAGCUUGCAAUAUUUUUGGUACAAAGUGAAAUCUUCCAAAAACAUUUCAAAUACGACGCAUUCAUUUUUAUUCCCGUUUCUUAUGAAACUAUAUCUAAAAAAACUACAAAAAAUCUUGAAUAAUACAUUAACACAAAGGUUUGACAAUUUUUUCACAUUGAAAGAGUAGAAUAUUUCGAAGGUACAAUCAGGUAGAACUGUUCCAACACUAUGAUUCCAAAAAGUUACAUUCCUCUAUGAAAAAUCAAAAGAUCCAAACUUGAAGAAAGUCUUCGCUAGAUUCCCAAAGCUGUAUUUGUCCAAGCAAAACCUAUAAGAUAAAUCUUUUUGAAUGCUACAACGAAAGCUUGCAAUAUUUUUGAUAGAAAGUGAAAUCUUCCAAAAACAUUUCAAAUACGACGGAUUCAUUUUUACUCCCCGUUUCUUAUUAAACUAUAUCAAGAAAAAACUACAAAAAAUCUCGAAUGAUACACUAACACAAAGGUUUGACAAUUUUUUCACAUUGAAGGAGUAGAAUAUUUCGAAGGUACAAUAAGGUAGAACUAUUUCAACACUACGAUUCCAAAAAGUUAUAUUCCUCUGACAAAUCAAAAGAUCCAAACUUAAAUAAUUUCUUCGCUAGAUUCUCAAAGAUAAAUUUGUCUAAGCAAAACCUAAAAGGUAAAUUUUUUUCAAUGCUACAACGAAAGCUUGCAAUAUUUCUGGUACAAAGUGAAAUCUUCCAAACACAUUUCAAAUACGACGCUUACAUUGUUUACCCCCCGUUUCUUAUAAAACUAUAUCAAGAAAAAACUACCAUUAAUCUUAAAUGAUACAUUGAUACAAAAGUUUGACAAUUUUUGCAUAUUGAAGUUGUAGAUUAUUUCGAAGGUACAAUAGGGUAGAACUAUUUCAACACUACGAUUCCAAAAAGUUACAUUCCUCUAUGAAAAAUCAAAAGAUCCAAACUUGAAUAAUUUCUUCGCUAGAUUCCCAAAGCUAUAUUUGUCUAAGCAAAACCUAAAAGGUAAAAUUUUUUUUCAAUGCUACAACGAAAGCUUGCAAUAUUUCUGGUACAAAGUGAAAUCUUCCAAAAACAUUUCAAAUACGACGCUUACAUUGUUUACCCCCCGUUUCUUAUAAAACUAUGUCAAGAAAAAACUACCAUUAAUCUUAGAUGAUACAUUAAUACAAAGGUUUGACAAUUUUUGCAUAUUGAAGGUGUAGAUUAUUUCGAAGGUACAACAAGGUACAAUGAUUUCAACAAUACGAUUCCAAAAAGUUACAUUCCUCUAUGAAAAAUCAAAAGAUCCAAACUUCAAUAAUUGCUUAGCUAGAUUCCCAAGGUAAUAUUUGUCUAAGCAAAACCUAAAAGGUAAAUUUUUGUUCAAUGCUUCAACGAAAGCUUGCAAUAUUUCUGGUACAAAGUGAAAUCUCCCAAAAACAUUUCAAAUACGACUCAUAUAUUUUUUACUCCCAGUUUCUUAUAAACCGUUAUCAAGAAAAAACUACAAAAAAUCUUAUAUGGUAGAUUAAUACAAAGGUUUGGCAAUUGUUUCACAUUGAAUGUGUAGAUUAUUUCGAAGGUACAAUAAGGUAGAACUAUUUCAACACUACGAUUCCAAAGUUACAUUUCUACAUGAAAAAUCAAAAGAUCCAAACUUGACUAAUUUCUUCGCUAGAUUCCCAAAGCUAUAUUGGCCUAAGCAAAACCUAAAAGGUAACUAAUUUUUCAAUGCUAAAACGAAAGAUUGCAAUAUUUCUGGUACAAAGUGAAAUCUUCCAAAAACAUUUCAAAUACGACGCAUACAUUGUUUACUCCCCGUUUCUUAUAACACUAUAUCAAGAAAAAAACUACAAUAAAUCUUAAAUGAUACAUUAAUACAAAGGUUUGACAAUUUUUGCACAGUGAAGGUGUAGGUUACUUCGAAGCUACAAUAAGGUAGAACUAUUUCAACACUAUUCUUCCAAAAAGUUACAUUCCUCCAAGAAAAAUAAAAAGAUCCAAACUUGAAUAAUUUCUUCGCUAGAUUCCCAAAGCUAUAUUUGACUAAGCAAAACCUAAAAGGUAAAUUUUUUUUCAAUAAAGUCUUCGCUAAAGCUUGCAAUAUUUUUGGUACAAAGUGAAAUCUUCCAAAAACAUUUCAAAUACGACGCAUUCAUUUUUAUUCCCGUUUCUUAUGAAACUAUAUCAAGAAAAAACUACAAAAAAUCUUGAAUAAUACAUUAAUACAAAGGUUUGACAAUUUUUUCACAUUGAAAGAGUAGAAUAUUUCGAAGGUACAAUAAGGUAGAACUGUUCCAACACUAUGAUUCCAACUACCAUUAAUCUUAGAUGAUACAUUAAUACAAAGGUUUGACAAUUUUUGCAAAUUGAAGGUGUAGAUUAUUUCGAAGGUACAACAAGGUGCAAUGGUUUCAAAACUACGAUUCCAAAAAGUUACAUUUCUCUAUAAAAAAUCAAAAGAUUUAAACAUAAAUAAUUUCUUCGCUAGAUUCCCAAGGUUAUAUUUGUCUAAGCAAAAUCUGAAAGGUAAAUUUUUGUUCAAUGCUACAAAGUGAAAUCUCCCAAAUACAUUUCAAAUACGACGCUGACGUUGUUUAAUCCCCGUUUCUUAUAAAACUGUAUCAAGAAAAAACUACAAUAAAUCUUAAAUGAUACAUUAAUACAAAGGUUUGACAAUUUUUGCACAUUGAAGGUGUAGAUUAUGUCGAAGGUACAAUAAGGUAGAACUAUUUCAACACUACGAUUCCAAAAGUUACAUUCCUCUAUGAAAAAUCAAAAGAUCCAAACUUGAAUAAUUGCUUCGCUAGAUUGCGAAAGCUAUAUUUGUCUAAGCAAAGCCUAAAAGGUAAAAUUUUUUUUUAUUCCAACGAAAGUUUGCAAUAUUUCCUGUACAAAGUGAAAUCUCCCAAAAAGAUUUCAAAUACGACGCAUACAUUUUUUACUCACCGUUUCUUAUAAAACUAUAUCAAGAAAAAACUACAAUAAAUUUUAAAUGAUACAUUAAUACAAAGGUUUGACAAUUUUUGCACAUUGCAGCUGUAGGUUACUUCGAAGGUACAAUAAUUUAGAACUAUUUCAGCACUACGAUUCCAAAAAGUUACAUUUCUCCAUGAAAAAUCAAAAGAUCCAAACUUGAAUAAUUUCUUCGCUAGAUUCCCAAAGCUAUAUUUGUCUAAGCAAAACCUAAAAGGUAAAAUUUUUUUUCAAUGCUACAACGAAAGCUUGCAAUAUUUCUGGUACAAAGUGAAGUCUUCCAAAAACAUUUCAAAUACGACGCUUACAUUGUUUACCCCCCGUUUCUUAUAAAACUAUGUCAAGAAAAAACUACCAUUAAUCUUAGAUGAUACAUUAAUACAAAGGUUUGACAAUUUUUGCAUAUUGAAGGUGUAGAUUAUUUCGAAGGUACAACAAGGUACAAUGAUUUCAACACUACGAUUCCAAAGUUACAUUUCUACAUGAAAAAUCAAAAGAUCCAAACUUGACUAAUUUCUUCGCUAGAUUCCCAAAGCUAUAUUGGCCUAAGCAAAACCUAAAAGGUAACUAAUUUUUCAAUACUAAAACGAAAGUUUGCAAUAUUUCUGGUACAAAGUGAAAUCUUCCAAAAACAUUUCAAAUACGACGCAUACAUUGUUUACUCCCCGUUUCUUAUAACACUAUAUCAAGAAAAAACUACAAUAAAUCUUGAAUGAUACAUUAAUACAAAGGUUUGACAAUUUUUGCACAUUGAAGGUGUAGGUUACUUCGAAGCUACAAUAAGGUAGAACUAUUUCAACACUAUUCUUCCAAAAAGUUACAUUCCUCCAAGAAAAAUAAAAAGAUCCAAACUUGAAUAAUUUCUUCGCUAGAUUCCCAAAGCUAUAUUUGACUAAGCAAAACCUAAAAGGUAAAUUUUUUUUCAAUAAAGUCUUCGCUAAAGCUUGCAAUAUUUUUGGUACAAAGGGAAAUCUUCCAAAAACAUUUCAAAUACGACGCAUUCAUUUUUAUUCCCGUUUCUUAUGAAACUAUAUCAAGAAAAAACUACAAAAAAUCUUGAAUAAUACAUUAAUACAAAGGUUUGACAAUUUUUUCACAUUGAAAGAGUAGAAUAUUUCGAAGGUACAAUAAGGUAGAACUGUUCCAACACUAUGAUUCCAAAAAGUUACAUUCCUCUAUGAAAAAUCAAAAGAUCCAAAGUUGAAUAAAGUCUUCGCUAGAUUCCCAAAGCUGUAUUUGUCUAAGCAAAACCUAAAAGAUAAAUCUUUUUGAAUGCUACAACGAAAGCUUGCAAUAUUUUUGAUAGAAAGUGAAAUCUUCCAAAAACAUUUCAAAUACGACGGAUUCAUUUUUACUCCCCGUUUCUUAUUAAACUAUAUCAAGAAAAAACUACAAAAAAUCUCGAAUGAUACACUAACACAAAGGUUUGACAAUUUUUUCACAUUGAAGGAGUAGAAUAUUUCGAAGGUACAAUAAGGUAGAACUAUUUCAACACUACGAUUCCAAAAAGUUAUAUUCCUCUAUGAAAAAUCAAAAGAUCCAAACUUGAAUAAUUUCCUCGCUAGAUUCCCAAAGCUAUAUUUGUCUAAGCAAAACCUAAAAGGUAAAAUUUUUUUUCAAUGCUACAACGAAAGCUUGCAAUAUUUCUGGUACAAAGUGAAAUCUUCCAAAAACAUUUCAAAUACGACGCUUACAUUGUUUACCCCCCGUUUCUUAUAAAACUAUGUCAAGAAAAAACUACCAUUAAUCUUAGAUGAUACAUUAAUACAAAGGUUUGACAAUUUUUGCAUAUUGAAGGUAUAGAUUAUUUCGAAGGUACAACAAGGUACAAUGAUUUCAAAACUACGAUUCCAAAAAGUUACAUUUCUCUAUGAAAAAUCAAAAGAUUUAAACAUAAAUAAUUUCUUCGCUAGAUUCCCAAGGUUAUAUUUGUCUAAGCAAAAUCUGAAAGGUAAAUUUUUGUUCAAUGCUACAAAGUGAAAUCUCCCAAAUACAUUUCAAAUACGACGCUGACGUUGUUUAAUCCCCGUUUCUUAUAAAACUGUAUCAAGAAAAAACUACAAUAAAUCUUAAAUGAUACAUUAAUACAAAGGUUUGACAAUUUUUGCACAUUGAAGGUGUAGAUUAUGUCGAAGGUACAAUAAGGUAGAACUAUUUCAACACUACGAUUCCAAAAGUUACAUUCCUCUAUGAAAAAUCAAAAGAUCCAAACUUGAAUAAUUGCUUUGCUAGAUUGCGAAAGCUAUAUUUGUCUAAGCAAAGCCUAAAAGGUAAAAUUUUUUUUUAUUCCAACGAAAGUUUGCAAUAUUUCCUGUACAAAGUGAAAUCUCCCAAAAAGAUUUCAAAUACGACGCAUACAUUUUUUACUCACCGUUUCUUAUAAAACUAUAUCAAGAAAAAACUACAAUAAAUUUUAAAUGAUACAUUAAUACAAAGGUUUGACAAUUUUUGCACAUUGCAGCUGUAGGUUACUUCGAAGGUACAAUAAUUUAGAACUAUUUCAGCACUACGAUUCCAAAAAGUUAUAUUCCUCUGAAAAAUCAAAAGAUCCAAACUUGAAUAAUUUCUUCGCUAGAUUCUCAAAGAUAUAUUUGUCUAAGCAAAACCUAAAAGGUAAAUUUUUUUCAAUGCUACAACGAAAGCUUGCAAUAUUUCUGGUACAAAGUGAAAUCUUUCAAAAACAUUUCAAAUACGACGCUUACAUUGUUUACCCCCCGUUUCUUAUAAAACUAUAUCAAGAAAAAACUACCAUUAAUCUUAAAUGAUACAUUGAUACAAAAGUUUGACAAUUUUUGCAUAUUGAAGUUGUAGAUUAUUUCGAAGGUACAAUAGGGUAGAACUAUUUCAACACUAUGAUUCCAAAAAGUUACAUUCCUCUAUGAAAAAUCAAAAGAUCCAAACUUGAAUAAUUUCUUCGCUAGAUUCCCAAAGCUAUAUUUGUCUAAGCAAAACCUAAAAGGUAAAUUUUUUUCAAUGCUACAAAGAAAGCUUGCAAUAUAUCUGGUAGAAAGUGAAAUCUUCCAAAAACUUUUCAAAUACGACGCAUUCAUUUUUACUCUCCGUUUCUUAUGAAACUAUAUCAAGAAAAAACUACAAAAAAUCUUGAAUAAUACAUUAAUACUAAGGUUUGACAAUUUUUUCACAUUGAAAGAGUAGAAUAUUUCGAAGGUACAAUAAGGUAGAACUAUUUCAACACUACGAUUCCAAAAAGUUAUAUUCCUCUGAAAAAUCAAAAGAUCCAAACUUGAAUAAUUUCUUCGCUAGAUUCUCAAAGAUAUAUUUGUCUAAGCAAAACCUAAAAGGUAAAUUUUUUUCAAUGCUACAACGAAAGCUUGCAAUAUUUCUGGUACAAAGUGAAAUCUUUCAAAAACAUUUCAAAUACGACGCUUACAUUGUUUACCCCCCGUUUCUUAUAAAACUAUAUCAAGAAAAAACUACCAUUAAUCUUAAAUGAUACAUUGAUACAAAAGUUUGACAAUUUUUGCAUAUUGAAGUUGUAGAUUAUUUCGAAGGUACAAUAGGGUAGAACUAUUUCAACACUAUGAUUCCAAAAAGUUACAUUCCUCUAUGAAAAAUCAAAAGAUCCAAACUUGAAUAAUUUCUUCGCUAGAUUCCCAAAGCUAUAUUUGUCUAAGCAAAACCUAAAAGGUAAAUUUUUUUCAAUGCUACAAAGAAAGCUUGCAAUAUAUCUGGUAGAAAGUGAAAUCUUCCAAAAACUUUUCAAAUACGACGCAUUCAUUUUUACUCUCCGUUUCUUAUGAAACUAUAUCAAGAAAAAACUACAAAAAAUCUUGAAUAAUACAUUAAUACUAAGGUUUGACAAUUUUUUCACAUUGAAAGAGUAGAAUAUUUCGAAGGUACAAUAAGGUAGAACUGUUCCAACACUAUGAUUCCAACUACCAUUAAUCUUAGAUGAUACAUUAAUACAAAGGUUUGACAAUUUUUGCAAAUUGAAGGUGUAGAUUAUUUCGAAGGUACAACAAGGUGCAAUGGUUUCAAAACUACGAUUCCAAAAAGUUACAUUUCUCUAUAAAAAAUCAAAAGAUUUAAACAUAAAUAAUUUCUUCGCUAGAUUCCCAAGGUUAUAUUUGUCUAAGCAAAAUCUGAAAGGUAAAUUUUUGUUCAAUGCUACAAAGUGAAAUCUCCCAAAUACAUUUCAAAUACGACGCUGACGUUGUUUAAUCCCCGUUUCUUAUAAAACUGUAUCAAGAAAAAACUACAAUAAAUCUUAAAUGAUACAUUAAUACAAAGGUUUGACAAUUUUUGCACAUUGAAGGUGUAGAUUAUGUCGAAGGUACAAUAAGGUAGAACUAUUUCAACACUACGAUUCCAAAAGUUACAUUCCUCUAUGAAAAAUCAAAAGAUCCAAACUUGAAUAAUUGCUUUGCUAGAUUGCGAAAGCUAUAUUUGUCUAAGCAAAGCCUAAAAGGUAAAAUUUUUUUUUAUUCCAACGAAAGUUUGCAAUAUUUCCUGUACAAAGUGAAAUCUCCCAAAAAGAUUUCAAAUACGACGCAUACAUUUUUUACUCACCGUUUCUUAUAAAACUAUAUCAAGAAAAAACUACAAUAAAUUUUAAAUGAUACAUUAAUACAAAGGUUUGACAAUUUUUGCACAUUGCAGCUGUAGGUUACUUCGAAGGUACAAUAAUUUAGAACUAUUUCAGCACUACGAUUCCAAAAAGUUACAUUUCUCCAUGAAAAAUCAAAAGAUCCAAACUUGAAUAAUUUCUUCGCUAGAUUCCCAAAGCUAUAUUUGUCUAAGCAAAACCUAAAAGGUAAAAUUUUUUUUCAAUGCUACAACGAAAGCUUGCAAUAUUUCUGGUACAAAGUGAAGUCUUCCAAAAACAUUUCAAAUACGACGCUUACAUUGUUUACCCCCCGUUUCUUAUAAAACUAUGUCAAGAAAAAACUACCAUUAAUCUUAGAUGAUACAUUAAUACAAAGGUUUGACAAUUUUUGCAUAUUGAAGGUGUAGAUUAUUUCGAAGGUACAACAAGGUACAAUGAUUUCAACACUACGAUUCCAAAGUUACAUUUCUACAUGAAAAAUCAAAAGAUCCAAACUUGACUAAUUUCUUCGCUAGAUUCCCAAAGCUAUAUUGGCCUAAGCAAAACCUAAAAGGUAACUAAUUUUUCAAUGCUAAAACGAAAGUUUGCAAUAUUUCUGGUACAAAGUGAAAUCUUCCAAAAACAUUUCAAAUACGACGCAUACAUUGUUUACUCCCCGUUUCUUAUAACACUAUAUCAAGAAAAAACUACAAUAAAUCUUGAAUGAUACAUUAAUACAAAGGUUUGACAAUUUUUGCACAUUGAAGGUGUAGGUUACUUCGAAGCUACAAUAAGGUAGAACUAUUUCAACACUAUUCUUCCAAAAAGUUACAUUCCUCCAAGAAAAAUAAAAAGAUCCAAACUUGAAUAAUUUCUUCGCUAGAUUCCCAAAGCUAUAUUUGACUAAGCAAAACCUAAAAGGUAAAUUUUUUUUCAAUAAAGUCUUCGCUAAAGCUUGCAAUAUUUUUGGUACAAAGGGAAAUCUUCCAAAAACAUUUCAAAUACGACGCAUUCAUUUUUAUUCCCGUUUCUUAUGAAACUAUAUCAAGAAAAAACUACAAAAAAUCUUGAAUAAUACAUUAAUACAAAGGUUUGACAAUUUUUUCACAUUGAAAGAGUAGAAUAUUUCGAAGGUACAAUAAGGUAGAACUGUUCCAACACUAUGAUUCCAACUACCAUUAAUCUUAGAUGAUACAUUAAUACAAAGGUUUGACAAUUUUUGCAAAUUGAAGGUGUAGAUUAUUUCGAAGGUACAACAAGGUGCAAUGGUUUCAAAACUACGAUUCCAAAAAGUUACAUUUCUCUAUAAAAAAUCAAAAGAUUUAAACAUAAAUAAUUUCUUCGCUAGAUUCCCAAGGUUAUAUUUGUCUAAGCAAAAUCUGAAAGGUAAAUUUUUGUUCAAUGCUACAAAGUGAAAUCUCCCAAAUACAUUUCAAAUACGACGCUGACGUUGUUUAAUCCCCGUUUCUUAUAAAACUGUAUCAAGAAAAAACUACAAUAAAUCUUAAAUGAUACAUUAAUACAAAGGUUUGACAAUUUUUGCACAUUGAAGGUGUAGAUUAUGUCGAAGGUACAAUAAGGUAGAACUAUUUCAACACUACGAUUCCAAAAGUUACAUUCCUCUAUGAAAAAUCAAAAGAUCCAAACUUGAAUAAUUGCUUCGCUAGAUUGCGAAAGCUAUAUUUGUCUAAGCAAAGCCUAAAAGGUAAAAUUUUUUUUUAUUCCAACGAAAGUUUGCAAUAUUUCCUGUACAAAGUGAAAUCUCCCAAAAAGAUUUCAAAUACGACGCAUACAUUUUUUACUCACCGUUUCUUAUAAAACUAUAUCAAGAAAAAACUACAAUAAAUUUUAAAUGAUACAUUAAUACAAAGGUUUGACAAUUUUUGCACAUUGCAGCUGUAGGUUACUUCGAAGGUACAAUAAUUUAGAACUAUUUCAGCACUACGAUUCCAAAAAGUUACAUUUCUCCAUGAAAAAUCAAAAGAUCCAAACUUGAAUAAUUUCUUCGCUAGAUUCCCAAAGCUAUAUUUGUCUAAGCAAAACCUAAAAGGUAAAAUUUUUUUUCAAUGCUACAACGAAAGCUUGCAAUAUUUCUGGUACAAAGUGAAGUCUUCCAAAAACAUUUCAAAUACGACGCUUACAUUGUUUACCCCCCGUUUCUUAUAAAACUAUGUCAAGAAAAAACUACCAUUAAUCUUAGAUGAUACAUUAAUACAAAGGUUUGACAAUUUUUGCAUAUUGAAGGUGUAGAUUAUUUCGAAGGUACAACAAGGUACAAUGAUUUCAACACUACGAUUCCAAAGUUACAUUUCUACAUGAAAAAUCAAAAGAUCCAAACUUGACUAAUUUCUUCGCUAGAUUCCCAAAGCUAUAUUGGCCUAAGCAAAACCUAAAAGGUAACUCAUUUUUCAAUGCUACAACGAAAGCUUGCAAUAUUUCUGGUACAAAGUGAAAUCUCCCAAAAACAUUUCAGAUACGACGCAUAUAUUUUUUACACCCCGUUUCUUAUAAAACUAUAUCAAGAAAAAACUACAAUAAAUCUUAAAUGAUACAUUAAUACAAAGGUUUGAUAAUUUUUUCACAUUGAAGGAGUAGAAUAUUUCGAAGGUACAAUAAGGUAGAACUAUUUCAACACUACGAUUCCAAAAAGUUACAUUUCUCUAUGAAAAAUCAAAAGAUCCAAACUUGAAUAAUUUCUUCGCUAGAUUCCCAAAGCUAUAUUUGUCUAAGCAAAACCUAAAAGGUAAAUUUUUUUCAAUGCUACAACGAAAGCUUGCAAUAUUUCUGGUACAAAGUGAAAUCUUCUAAAAAUAUUUCAAAUACGACGCAUACAUUGUUUACUCCCCGUUUCUUAAACUACUUGUAUCAAGAAAACACUACAAAAAAUCUUAAAUGAUAGAUCAACACAAAGAUUUGACAAUUUUUUCACAUUGAAGGUGUAGAAUAUUUCGAAGGUACGAAAAGGUAGAACUAUUUCAACACUACGAUUCCAAAAGUUACAUUCUUCUAUGAGAAAUGAGAAGAUCCAAACUUAAAUAAUUUCUUCGCUAUUUUCUCGAAGCAAUAUUUGUCUAAGCAAAACCUGAAAGGUAAAUUUUUAUUCAAUGCUACAACGAAAGCUUGCAAUAUUUUUGGUACAAAGUAAAAUCUUCCAAAAACAUGUCAAAUGCGACGCAUUCAUUUUUACUCCCUGUUUCCUAUUAAAUUAUAUCAAGAAAAAGCUACAAAAAAUCUUUAAUAAUACAUUACUACAAAGGUUUUACAAUUUUUUCACAUGGAAGGAGUAGAAUAUUUCGAAGGUACAGUAAGGUAGAACUGUUUCAGCACUAUGAUUCCAAAAAGUUACAUUCCUCUAUGAAAAAUCAAAAGAUCCAAACUUGAAUAAUUUUUUCGCUAGAUUCCCAAAGCUAUAUUUGUCUAAGCAAAACCUAAAAGGUAAAUUUUUUUCAAUGCUACAACGAAAGCUUGCAAUAUUGCUGGUACAAGGUGAAAUCUUCUAAAAACAUUUCAAAUACGACGCAUACAUUGUUUACUCCCCGUUUCUUAUUAAACUAUAUCAAGAAAACACUACAAAAAUCUUAAAUGAUAGACCAACACAAAGAUUUGACAAUUUUUCACAUUGAAAGUGUAGAAUAUUUCGAAGGUACAAAAAGGUACAAUGAUUUUAACACUACAAUUCCAAAAAGUUGUAUUUCUCUAUGAAAAAUCAAAAGUUCCAAACUUAAGUAAUUUCUUCGCUAGAUUCCCAAAGCUAUAUUUGUCUAAGCAAAACCUAAAAGGUAAAUUUCUUUUAAAUGCUACAACGAAAGCUUGCAAUAUUUCUGGUAGAAAGUCAAAUCUCCCAAAAACAUUUAAAAUACGACGCAUACAUUGUUUACUACUCUGUACUCUGAAAACAGUACAAAAAAUCUUAAAUAAUACAUUAAUACAAAGGUUUGACAAUUUUUUCACAUUGAAGGAGUAGCAUAUUUUAAAGGUAGAAUAAGGUAGAACUAUUUCAACACUACGAUUCUAAAAAGGUACAUUCCUCUAUGAAAAAUCAAAAGAUCCAAACCUAAAUAAUUUCUUCGCUAGAUUCCCAAAGCUAUAUUUGUCUAAGCAAAACCUAAAAGGUAAAUUUUUUUCAAUGCUUCAACGAAAGCUUGCAAUAUUUCUGGUACAAAGUGAAAUCUUCUAAAACAUUUUAAAUACGACGCAUACAUUUUUUACUCCCUGUUUCUUAUAAAAUUAUAUCAAGACAAAACUACAAAAAAUCUUAAAUGAUAGAUAAACACAAAGAUUUGACAAUUUUUUCACAUUGAAGGUGUAGAUUAUUUCGAAGGUACAAUAUGGUACAAUGAUUUCAAAACUACGGUUCCAAAAAGUUACAUUUCUAUAGGAAAAAUCUAGAGAUCCAAACUUGAAUAAUUUCUUCGCUAGACUCUCAUAGCUAUAUUUGUCUAAGCAAAACCUAAAAGGUAAAUUUUUUUUCAUUGCUUCAAAGAAAGCUUGCAAUGUUUCUGGUACAAAGUGAAAUCUUCAAAAAUAUCUCAAAUACGACGCAUACAUGGUUUACUCCCCGUUUCUUAUAAAACUAUAUCAAGAAAAAACUACAAUAAAUCUUAAAUGAUACAUUAAAACAAAGGUUUGACAAUUUUUGCACAUUGAAGGUGUAGAGUGUAGAUCAUUUCGAAGGUACAAUAAGGUACAACUAUUUCAGCACUAGGAUUCCAAAAAGUUACAUUUCUCUAUGAAAAAUCAAAAGAUCCAAACUUGAAUAAUUUCUUUGCUAGAUUCCCAAAGUUAUAUUUGUCUAAGCAAAACCUAAAAGGUAAUUUUUUUUUAAAUGCUACAACGAAAGCUUGCAAUAUUUCUGGUACAUAAGUGAAAUCUCCCAAAAACAUUUCAACUACGACGCAUGCACUGUUUACUCCCCGUUUCUUAAAAAACAACAUCAAGAAAACAAAUCUUAAAUAAUACAUUAAUACAAAGGUUUGACAAUUUUUUCACGUUAAAGGAGUAGAUUAUUUCGAAGGUACAAUUAGGUAGAACUAUUUCAGCACUACGAUUCCAAAAAGUUACAUUUCUCUAUGAAAAAUCAAAAGAACCAAACUUGAAUAAUUUCUUCGCUAGAUAUCCAAAGCUAUAUUUGUCUAAGCAAAACCUAAAAGGUAAAUUUUUUUCAAUGCUACAACGAAAGCUUGCAAAAUCUCUGGUAGAAUGUGAAAUCUACAAAAACCUUUCAAAUACGUCGCUAACAUAUUUUACUUCCCGUUUCUUUUAAAACUAUAUCAAGAAAAAACUACAAAAAAAUUUAAAUGAUACAUUAAUACAAAGGAUUGGCAAAGCUUUUACAUCGAAAGUGUAGAUUAUUUCGAAAGUACAAUAACGUAGAGCUAUUCCGACGCUAUGUUUCUUAAAGUUGCAUUAUAUCAACAAUCAAAAGCUCCAAAAUUGAAUAAUUUCUUCGCUAGAUUCCUAAAAAUAUAUUUGCGUACGCAAGCUACAAAAACUCUUAAAUGAAACAUUAAUGCAAAGGUUUGACAAUUUUUUCACAUUGAAGGUGUAGAUUACUCGAAGAUACGAUAAGGUAGAAGUAUUUCGACGCUACGUUUCUAAAAAGUUACAUUUCUCUAUAAAAAAUGAAAAGACCCAAAGCUAAAUAAUUUCUUCGCCAGAUUCCUAAAGCUAUAUUUGUCUAAGCAAAACCGAAAAGGUAUAUAUAUGUAUUUUAAUUUGAAUGAUACAAGGAAUGCUUGCGAAAUUUCUCGUCCACAGUAAAAUCAACCAAAAACAUUUCAAAUACGACGCAUGCAUUUUUUACUUCCUGUUUCCAAUAAAACUAUAUCAAGCAAAAACUACAAAAAAUUUUAAAUGAUACAUUAAUACAAAGGUUUGGCCAUUUUUUUACAUCAAAGAUGUAGAUUUUUUCGAAAUAAGGUUCCAAGUCACAUUUCUCUAUAAAAAUCAAAAGGCUCAAAAUUGAAUAAUUUCUUCUCUAGAAUUCAAAAGCUAUAUUUGUCUAAACAAAACCGAAAAGGUCUAUUUCUAUUUGAAUGCUACAACGAAAGCUUUCAAGAAUUCUGGUCCACAGUGAAAUCUCCCAAAAAUAUUUCAAAUACGACGCAUAUACUUAUUUUUUAUUCCCCGUUUCUCAUAAAAGUAUAUUAGGAAAAAACAAAAAAAAAUCUUGAAUGAUACAUUAAUACAAAGGUUUGACAAUUUUAUCACAUCGAUGGUAUAGGUUAUUUCGAAGAUACGAUAAGGUAGAACUGUUUCGACGCUACGUUUCCAAAAAGUUACAUUUCUCUAUAAAAAAUCAAAAGGCUCAAAACUGAAUAAUUUCUUCGCUAGAUUCCCAAAGCUAUAUUUGUCUAAGCAAAACCGAAAAGGUGUAUUUUAAUUUAAGAAAUACUACAAAACUUGCGAAAUUUCUGGUCCACAGUGAAAUCAACCAAAAAAAUUUUAAAUACGACGCAUACAUUUGUUUCUCCCCGUUUCUUUUAUAACUAUAUCAAGCAAAGACUACAAAAAAUCUUAAGUGAUACAUUAAUACAAAUGUUUGACAAUUUUGCACAUUGAAGGUGUACAUUAUUUCGAAGGUACAAUAAGGUAGAAUUAUUUCGACGCUACGUUCCCAAAAAAUACAUUGCUCUAUAAAAAAUCAAAAUACCCAAAACUGAAUCAUUUCUUCGCUAGAUUCCCAGCUUGUGCGACGCAAAAUUUUACCAAUGCGGACGCGCCAUAACAUGAAAAAUAGUAUAACUUUGAUAAGUUGCUCAGUAUAAGCUUCUCCGAAUUUAUAUCAGGCAGGAAAGCUUACAAAUAUUUUCUUAUUUGCAAGAAAGAUAUGCAUGCUUACUAAAUAUCUAUGUCUCCUGAUGUCUUAUAUUUGUGAUUUUUUGAGAAAUUUAACCCUCUGUUGUUGAUGUAUUUUUUUCUUAUAAUUAGCUUUUUGUUGUUUUAAAGUGCUUUGGAUAAUAUGCACAAUGAACUGAAAGAGUUUUGCGGUUAUCUAAACUUUAACAGGGCUAUAUGAAGCCAGUUAACAAUAUUUUGGGGCACUGCUUAUUUCUUAGUUGUUCAAGCAUGUUUUUACGGUUAGUUGACCGCAUUCCACCGUAAUUUUAGAAAGUGUUUAGUUUUCGAAAACCUUUCUGUUUUUAAGAGUAUAAUAUAAUACCUACACUAUUAUAAUUGUGUAUCAGGAUAAAGGAUGUUUUGUCUUUAGAAUCCACUUUCUAAAGUUUAUCUGUGAAAGUACAAUGUGUUGCACUCUAACAUGUCUAACAUGCUUUUCGUCACGACUCACUUGAAUGUUGGAUUAAACAUUUAGUCUUAUUUAAUCACGGAUUUUUAACAUGUAUUAAAAUAAACUUAAUACAGAAAGCAUGAAUGUUUUGCUUUAGUUGCUUAUCCAGAAUACAUAAGUGUUAGUAGCAUAUGUUUGCAUUUCGUUCUUUAGGUGGUUAUCCAGAAUUAAAAUGUUGCCUUACAGUGUCACUUUUCCAGUAUUUGCAUUUGUGUCACAAAAACGCAAAAUACAUAUGAUGGUUUACUCGUUUGAGGCUUUAUUUGCACUUUUAAUAAUUUAACAAUGCUGUAUUUUUUACUAGAUUGUUUGGAGUUUUUUUAUUGUUGUCUUAAAAUUUUGAAGUCCUUAGAUUGGUGUGAUUUUAACAGUAAAGGGUAGAUAAUUUGGUUAUUGUAUGUAGUAGUUAGUAGCUAAGUACAGGAUUCUGACACAACCUAAUAAUAUAGAAGACCAUAAGACCAAGAAAAAAAAUUCCUUAAGGUGUACGAAGAAUAUCUGGGACAGGUACCGAGGGGACAGGAUAUGAAAUGCUAAGACUGAUAAUACAGGGAAAGAUAAGAGGCGGAACGAGUAUAGGAAGAAGUAGAGUAUCAUGGUUGAAGAAUUUAAGGGACUGGUUUAAAUGCAGUAUAGAACUCUUCAGAGUAUCUGUGGAUAGAGUAAAGAUAGUGAUUAUGAUAUCCAACGCCCGAUUGGGAAACUGAAGAAGUACCAAGUGGUAUUGGGAAGAAGAAGUAGGUACCAAGAAUACUAAAAGUUCUUAUACUUUUGUCAAGCAAAUAGGAGAGAUGAGUGAACGAUGUUUAAGGGAAAAUGGUCGAAUGCAUCCAAACAUAAUCGACAAAAAUCAGAUUUUGCUAUGUAGGUAUUAAUUAAAUUGUGAUCAUAAAAAAUGUACGUUUAACUUCUUUGGCUUUCCUCGCUACUUUAUGCAAGCUUCGCGAUUGCUUCCACAUCCUGGUUUACAAAAAUAUAUCUUACAUACAAGCAUCUGUCAGAGGCAGGCGUGGAAAAGGGAUAAGAGUGUAUCAAUAUGCAUGAAAACUGCAUAAUAUGCUAUGUACUGUGAUAGACUAACUGUAUUAGAAUUCCCACAAGCAUUAAAAUGGGAUCAAAGUAUAUACAUCCAUAUGCAUGAAAUAUGCUUUCUUCACGAAUAUAUGACUAACUAUUCUAGAAUUUAGGCGGUUUGUAUAAUGUAUAGUUCAAUUUAUUUGGUUUCUCAGGUAGUUUUAACAAUUUUAAAUAUCUGCUAUAGUUUGGAUACUUGCUAAAUAAUUCACAGCUGUUGAUGUACAUAUUCUUCUACACUUACCAAGUAAAUGGUAUUAAAAAUGUAUGUUUUAAGGUUUUGAUGCUUUGCUGUUGAACAUGUGCUUAUGUGAAGUUAUAGAUUGAGAGAGUUAUUAGCAGAUAAAGGAGAAAAGUCAAAAGAUGCUACUUUUGUUUAAAUCUACCAAGAUGACUGAAUUAAAGUCCACAUGCGUAGCGUGGGGGGUGGUUAGGUGUGCGUCAUAUAUGCGUAUAACUGGCGUAGCUGGUAAAGCCUAUAUACGCUGGGAUCCUCAAUUCUAUAACUAUAUAGGUUUUACUAUUUUUAUUAGAAAUAAUUUUAUGCUGAACAUGAGCUUAUGUGAUGUUAUAGAUUGAGAGAGUUAUUAGCAGAUAAAGGAUAACAGUCAAAAAAUGCUAUCUUUUGUUUAAAUCUGCCAAGAUGACCGAAUUGAAGUCCACAUGCGUAGCGUGUGGGGGUGGUUAGGUGUGCGUCAUAUAUGCGUAUAACUGGCGUAGCUGUUAAUGCAUACUGACGCCGGGUUCCUCAAUUCUAUAACUAUAUAGGUUCUACUAUUUUUAUUAGGAAUAAUUUGAUGCCGAACGUGAGGUUAUGUGAUGUUAUAGAUUGAGAGAGUUGUUAGCAGAUAAAGGAAAAAAGUCCAAAGAUGCUCUUUUGUUUUAAUCUGCCAAGAUGACUGAAUUGAAGUCCACAUGCGUAGCGUGUGGGGGUGGUUAGGUGUGCGUCAUAUAUGCGUAUAACUGGCGUAGCUGUUAAUGCAUAUUGACGCCGGGUUCUUCAAUUCUAUAACUACA
This 115797-nucleotide long non-coding RNA is filed under the name Diabrotica virgifera virgifera (western corn rootworm). RNAcentral describes it as "uncharacterized LOC126887013". The record is from RNAcentral. Lineage: Eukaryota; Metazoa; Arthropoda; Insecta; Coleoptera; Chrysomelidae.